This 95797-nucleotide long non-coding RNA is filed under the name Coffea arabica (coffee). RNAcentral describes it as "long non-coding RNA (CARA_LNC005320)". The record is from RNAcentral. Lineage: Eukaryota; Viridiplantae; Streptophyta; Magnoliopsida; Gentianales; Rubiaceae.
UAUCAAGUGAGGUAAAUUUUUUCAAAAACAAGUUUUUCAAUUGCAAUGCUACAGUAAUACACAAAUCAAUUCAAAAGAUAUUUCAUCCAUACAAUAUAUCAAACAUUUCAAAAAAUAUUUAUAGUAAAAGUUUUUCAUAUACACUGCUAUAGUAAAAUUUUUCAAAAGCACCCCCAAAAACAGCUAAUCCAAAUGGAUAGUCUUUUUGUAAUUACUAAGGGAGGUAAGUAAUUUUUUAAAACCUUAGGAGUGCUAGGUGAUGUUAAGAAAAACCUUAGAGGAGGUUUCUGAUAUUAUUGCUAUGAUUUAAGGGGUUGGGAGAGAAAAAAGGAUUUGAGUCUAGACUUUAAAUUAAAAAAUCAAUUUCAAGGAAAGAAUGAAAUUGGUGAACUGAUUAAGGAAAAUGAAUUUUUUUCUUGAAUCUAUAUUCUUGUAACCAAAGAAACACAGAAUGAAGUAAAUAGUCACUUAAAUAUGAAAUAUAUUCAUAUCAAUUUUCUCAACGGUGAAAUAUUAUUAAGAAAUAUAGAAUAAGAAAAAUACGAAAUAAGAAAAAAUGGCGCUUAGAUUGGUUCAAAGUUCAAACUCAUAAAUUUAAACCUUUGUAAUUGCAUCUGCACUUCUUAAGAUACACGAAUUUCAAAGUCAAUAUUAUAAUGGGCACAUACACCCCCUAUGAUUAAGCAGUUUAAAAAAUGCACCCCUUAUAAUUUAAAAGUAUCCACUUCCACUCCUUAUACUUUAGUGAAAAAUAAGAUAAAAUGGACACUACUAGUGAAAAUUUAACCAUAUACUAUCCAAAAACGCAACUAACCAUUUGUUUAUAGUAAUUUUAGACUUUAUUAACGUUUUCCCCACAUAAAUGUUUGCACUCUAUAAAAGAAGAUCAAACGUUUGGACUCCAAUCGUGAUAAUUUGAAUCUUUGUAUAGGUUGUAAAUGUUGAUUAGAGAUAUUUAUGGAAGAAAAAUAUUAUUAAAACCUCAUAUAAUUAGAAUAAGUAACUAGUUGCACUUAUUUCGUUAGGGAUAACAUCAUAAACCUGUCCUAAGGUUUCUCUCAAUAUCAUCUAGCAUUUCUAAGAUUUUAAAAAUAUCACUUACCUCUCUUACUUUUGUUAUUUGUGUUAAAAAGUUUUUGAAAACCCUAAACUACCCUUUGCUUGCUAUAUAAAAAUACUCUUAAACCACUUUGCUUAUUUCAAGAAAACCAUCACCUAAAAUACAAGCUCUAGUAGUACUACCGCAUCACAAUGCUAUAGUCCACAAAAAUAUAAUUUUGAAAAACAAAAAAGAUAUUUGUAAAGAAAUACAUUAGCAAAAUUUAACUUUGUGCUCAAAACUAAUUUCUUAUGAGCCUUAUAUUUUUUUUCUAACUUCUUCUCAAUCGAUCCCCAAGCUUUUAAAUUGUACUGAUCAUUAAAAAAAUCAACUCAAAAUAAACAAAGAAAUCAUAUCCCAUUCUAUCACAAUCACAAAAAGUAAAAAAUAAAUAAAAUUCAAUUUACUACAAAUUAUAAAUUAAAAAUCAUAUAAUCAUCCAAAAAAAUAAAUAAGAGAAAAUGUUGGAGAAAGAUGAAUUAGAAGAAAGUGACUUUUGGUUUCUUUUUUUUUUGGAAUUUUUUGAGCUCUAUUUAUUUGAUUGGUAAAUUACGUAUUUAGUGAAGGUUAAUAUAAUCUUUUUACAAUUACUAGAGGAGGAAAGUGACAUUUUCAAAACCUGUGAGGUACCAAGUGAUAUUAUGAUAAGCUUCAAGGGAGAUUUCUGAUAUCAUCCCAUUUCAUUAUUGCAAGUUCAAAAAGUACAAUUUGUUAUUGUAGCUAAGCAUAGUUAAUGACCAAUCUUAAAUAGACAAAUCUUAAACGGACACAUUUUUGAAUUUUUAGUUUGUCCUGCUUUUAUGUCGAUUCUUCUUUACAGUCUUUAUUCCCUUCCCUGAUAAUUAUCAGGAUUCAAGUAUUUGAAACUUUCUGGAAGUUGCAGCUAUAUAAAGUAUGUCGAUUCUUAUAUCUAUCCCUGAUGCAUUAUUAAGAUUCUAAGUAUUUGAAACUUUCUGGAAGUUGCAGAAAUAUGACAUUGAGCUUCGGGUACUGUAAAAGCGUGAAUUAACAAGGUAUUCAUCUUCAAAGAAUCCGUCAUAACAAGUAGCCUAAUUGAUUUUUUUUACCAUCAUGAAAAUCCAGGUUAACUUCGCUGACAAUUCAUUUUGCAAAUUUGUUUCUUGUAAAAGCAGAUACAAAGAACAUUUAGGAGGAAAGACAAGCUGGAAGACGAACCAACUCAACUCAAAACAAGUUGAACUCAGCAGCAGCUCUUCAACCAAUAAGUCCAGGAACUACAAGCCCCAUCUAGGUUCACCAUUCAACCAUGGAUGGGAUAGAAUAUGUAUUUGGUAUUUUCCACGUACAAACAGUAUGUCAAACCAAAACAAUCACUGAGACUACAAUUCCAUAGUUAUAUAUUUCACCAAACGUUCGAAGACUUUCGACAUACUUUGGUUUCACUUUACCAAUACAAACAGGUCAUGCGGUAAAGGAAACAUGCAAUUCAGAGGGGAAAAACAGACCAAAAGGAUUUCAGAACUCAUUGAAACCCAAAAAUCAGAUUAGACAAAUCAGAGGCCUGGUUAUCAAAUUAUAGCACAAAAAAGUAGUACAAUGGUAUACAAUCAGAAGCAGAAUUAUGGAAGUAAGGCUGGCAUCUAACAAACAGUGACAGGCAGGACAAAAAGACGAGUACAACAAAUUCCAAUGCAAGCUGCACCUGCUCUGAAUGUUUAAAAUCAAUGUAACAUUCAUAAUCAAGGACCAGAAAACAGAGUUGAUGGCUGAGUAUUCCAGAACAAGAAGCUAUUGACUCCUAGUCAAGAUGAUCACCUUUAGGCAAAAAUAUUUCUUAGAACACUGAGGAAUUAAGUCACUGCAGUCUAAGCUCUUGCACGUCUUAAAUUACCAAAUAGCCUACUUGAAAUAAAACAAAACUGAAUAAACACACGAGAUUUACUAAACUUCAAAGUGAAACCAAUUACUGUGAAACGCCCAACCACUUUGAGAAGUUCUCAAACUCGGUGUAAUCACUAUCUGAGAUCAUUGUUUUGUACCAUGACUUUCCAGCAGCUUUUACAGCAGACGUCUCCUCCUGUCAGAAGCAAAAAAUAGUAUAAUGAACAAGGGCUCAUUGAGGCAACAUUAGAACUAAAUAAUACCAAAUUGACCAAGUCAAGAAAGUUGGGGCCACUCAUGCCCAAAACAAGUCUUAGGCCCCUUCAACUAUUAUCAAGCAAAAGCAAAGAGAACAGGAUAGCAAGAAACUAUCAACCAAUGAUGACACUAAAACAAAAAAGUAAGACCCAUCGGUUACUGCAAACCAGUCAGAUAAAUCCAAAACUCUAUUAGAUCAGGUAUUUCAUCAUCAAUUAAAAAAGCACAAAGCCUAGAACCUGUAAAGUUGUUAGAAAUGAUCAAUCAUUACUCAGAACCCAUAAAGCCAGUUAAGACAUCUAGAAAAAGCCAGUCAAACAAAGCUACAGUGCCAGACAUGUAAUGAAACCAGAUUAUCAUUUAGAAUGUAACCAAGCAUGCUAAUUUAGGACAAGCAUCUAUUAAGAACGUCCAGGACAAGAUAAGAAAAUAUCAGCACACACACCAUAUCAUGUAAUACACAACUCUGCGCCCGAGUUCAUAUGUAUAGAAACAAAAGUCAGUAGCAAUAACCAAAACUACAACAAAGAAAGAAAAACAUCCAACGCACCACUACAUUGAAAAAAAAAGGACUUGAAAGCCAACUAAAAGGAUGAACCAGACAACCAAUAGAAACAAACAGAAGCACAAGUUGUGAUGUUAAUUAAGUUAACUUUGCAUCAUGAUAACAUUUUAAAUCAUCAAACUAAAUCACAGUGGGUUCCGAUAAUUAUUAGCUGUAUUCCUUCCAUCACAACUUGUCCAUAGUCAAAGCUAUUAUCAAUUAUCUAAAUUAACAUCAGUUGCAUGGCAGGAAGUCAUCUAAAUUCCUCAAUUCUUGUAUAUUAUUAGAGAACACAACAGCUUAUAAAGCCACUAAUGCUUGAUGCAAGAAAAUCUGAAUUUUUUAUUUACCAAAAGGGUUGAGCUUGUUUAUUAAAGACUCAAUCUGAAUCAUAUAGACAUCAAGGUUUUCAGUAGAAAAUGGAACACGCAUUCUGUAGCCUAAAGCAUACCAACACGGGCAGAUAGAUACAUCAUCUACAGUUGCAUCAAUAUUCCAACAGAAUCAAGCAUAGAAAGGAGAGGGAAAAAUAAUAAUAUAAACCAUAUACCUUCGUCAUUGGACUCCUCUUCUUGGCCAGCUUCUCCCUCUUAGCCUCAACACGCUGUUUCUCAGCCAAGAGAGCCAUCCUCCUAGCAGUCUUGGCAUAAGGAUUGAGCUUGAGCAAACAAUUCAAAUUCUUAAGAGGGUUCUUCUUCAUUGGUGCCCUCUUCACCACCUUCUUGAUUGGCCUCACCACAGAUUGCACCUCGUCAGAGUUGAUAAUUCUGGCCAAAUCACCAUUCACCAUCUUAGCCCUGGGCAAAACAUACCCCUUCUUCUUCAAGGAAGGCUUAUCAAAUGACCCGUAAAUCUCAUCCAAUUUCUCAAAUGCUGAUUUCGUCCAAACAAUAAACCUCCCAACGUGACCUCCCGGAGCAAGUUUCAACAAAUUCAAACGGUCCACGUGGGCCACCUCGACUCCAGGAAUGUUGCGGAAGGCCUUCACGAGCUUGGCCCCCUCAGUACCGUACACAACCAGAGGGCCUUUCCUGGAGAUGUAGCGGCGGUUACGCAUCUUGCCCUUUCCUGGGCGGAUGCCCUGGCUGUCCUUAGCCUUCUCAGCAUCAGGGUAAGCCCCAAUUUUCUUGAGAAGACUGAUAGCAUUGGAGGUUUUCUCCACGGCCUCAGCAGAAUCGGAGAUCACACAGGGGAUUUGCGGGACAGAUUCGAUGCGGUGACCGCGGGCCAUGACAAGGGAAGGCACAGCAGAGGCGGCGAUGGCAGAAACCACGGCAUACCGUUUCUUGUUGACUGGGACCUUGCGGUGCCAACGGCGCCAGAUCUUGGUCGGAGCGAACAUGCGGCCGCCGCGGCACAUGUUGCCAUAGGCACCCUGGCCGGCACGGUGAGUGCCGCCGCCAGGAACACGAGGGAUACGGGAAACAGCGCGACCAGUACCCCAGGACUCGGCGGAGGUCUGGUGACCGGCGGACCUAGAGACGGCGUACGGUUGGCGGGAGUUCUUGGAAAUGUCGCGAUGAACGUCUUGGAGGAUGUCGGGGCGGAUUGGGGCUUUCAUGACGUCAGGCAGAGGGAGGGAGUUGGCGUCGGCCUCCAUUUCAUUCUCAAGAGGGAUAACGGUAACUACCGGGAGAGCGGCGGCGGAAGCCAUUUCUGGUGCGGGUAACUGAGGGUUUGGGAAUUGGGAGAGUGCGUUUAGGGUUUUAACAUAGCGAUAUAUAAGUACGUAUAUAUAUAUCUGCGGUCCAAUUAACGAUCCAAUGUCAGGCCUAAUAUGCCAUCAAUUGGGCCAAACCUAAUAUGCCAUUAAUUGGGCCAGAUCUUGAUCAAACUAUAAAUUCAUUCUUUUUUUUAGAUUUUUUAAUUAUUUUAAUAUAUAAAAUCCAAUUAAAAACUUUGAAAUAGGAGGUUAUAACUAAUUUUGUCACCAAUCAAAUUUAAAAUCUCAAACUUUCCCAUUAGCUCUCCAUGUUAGGCAAAUUAAUUGAGUGUUUCAUAAAUCAUUUAUAAUUUACUGUUUCAUAAAUCAUUUAUAGUUUACUAUUCAGAUUUUAAACCCUUUUACUCCUUAAUUAAAGAAAAUACAUUUGUCAAGCCAAAUACUGUGGGAUAAUUAAUUAUUUCCAUUUUAAAAUCAUUCACCCUAUUAUCUUUUUAUCACUUUAGCCCUUUUUACUCCUUCAAUUUUUAUUUGUCAAGUCAAAUUCUCAGGAAUAGUGUGAUUAGUCCAAUUUUUAAGUCAUUCACCCAAUUAUACCUUCGUCACUUUCCUUCUGAAUGCAAUAAUCAUUUGUUAAGUCUUCUAAUGAUAUAUUUGAUUACUCUUGUGCUUUAAUGAUUCACCCCAUAAUAACUAAAUCAGUUUUCUUAUGGGUUUAAACUUAUUUUGUUAUCAUUUUUUUUUUGUAUUUAGUCAGCUUACGGCACUUUAGUAAGUUUUUUUUUAUGGUGGACUUUGUUUAGUAAGUUUGUUUUUUAAAAAAUUUUAAGUUUUUAACAUUGAAACUUAUACUUUAAAAUUAAAUAUGAGUAUGUAAAUAAUAAUUAUGACAUUUUAUUUGCACUUGGAAUAAACUUAAUAUUACUAUUGUGCAAGCAUAUAGAUGAUUUUUCAUAUAGCACAUGUACAUCAAAAAGUGCAUAUAAAAGAAAAUUUAUGUAUGAAUUCUAAAUCAAUAAAGGUAAAAUUAGAUGGUUGUUUUUGGCGGCAUCUUAGCAAUAUUUCGAUGAAAAUUUAGUAUUUCCCCAAACUUAUACCCAAAUUUUUAAACCUUUUCUUGAUAACCACUCUAGCUUUUAUUUGAUAAAAACAUUUGAAAAAUGAGGCAAUGAAUCCUAAAUAAUAAAAGGAAUCGAAAAUAUAGGAUCGUAGGAUUGAGGACGAUAGAACUUGAGGAAGAGCUAUCAAAUUGAGAUGAUUCAUGUGGGUUUAAGCAAGUUAUAAUUGGAUUAACCUAUAUAUAACUACUUAGUUAAUAAUUCAAAAUGGAUGAGUCAUAAAUGAACAUAGUUUUAGAUGGGUUUGGGUUAUUCAUGCUUAUUCAUGGCCCAUUAUUAAAUUUUAUUUACUUUUUCUCCCACAUUUUGUUUAGUAAUAAAACACUAUAUCAUUCUAAAUUUGUAAUAAAAAAUGACAACAUAUCAAGUUAAUAAGUAAAUUUUGCCCAAAUAAAGCGAAAAAACAUAAAAUAUUACACAGAGGAACCUAAAUUGGUGAUCAUGGUAAGUUUCAAAUUUUGUCACUCUACAAGAAUCUAAAAUUAAUUUAGGUAUUAACACAAACAAUCAAUUAACACUCAAGAAAUUUAGGAGACUUUUAUGAAAGGAAGGGAGGAAGUAUGAUAAAUUUUAAAACAAAAUAAAAGAAUGGAAAUUAAAGAAGAAGAAAAGCGCAAAAUAUGUCUCUGCAAAAAUUAGAAUAUAAUUAUUAGAUUGGUAGUAAUUUAGAUUCACCCACUAAUGGUUGAGUUCGAAUCUACAUUUAAUUUAAUUAGGUCAAAAUAAGUGAUCCAAAUUAAUGAGUUUAAUUGGGUUAACCGUUUGAAUCUAAUUUAAUUAUAUAUGUAAACCCAUUUGUUAAUGCUCGAGCUAAAUAAAAACAGGAAAAUCUCUAUAAAUUAAUAAUCUUCGAACCAUAAAAAUUCUAUUAAUUUGAAGAGUUAUUAAUUAAUUGAUAAAAUAAUGAUUUAUUAAUUUAUCAAGCGUAUUAGCAAUUCAAAAAAACUUUCAUUUGAUCAACUAAAGUUUUAUAUUUUAUUUUAUAAAAAUAUGAAUUAUUCUAUUAAUCAAAGGAGACUAAAAGUCCAUAGAAUAUAAACCAAUUCAUAUCUACAUGAUUUGCAAGUGUAAUUUAAUUCCUACUAAUGUACGUAAUUGAUAUCAUAUUCCUAUUAUUAAGGGGUCAAAAGGAUUUAGGAAUACUAAAUAAUUUCACUUCUAUUUUAUUAAAUGCAUACAAUGAAUCAGAUUAAUAAUACUAUAUAUAUAUAUAUAUAUAUAUAUAUAUAUAUAUAUAUGGCAAGGAAGUCUUCUUAUAAUAAAUAAACACAAAGUCUUCUUACAUAUUUCAUUGUUAAAUUAUGGCUUCUCAUUUAAAAGGUAUUCAUAAAUAACUGAUGAAUUGCAUAAAGCAUUAUAUGAAUAUAAUAUAUGUAAUUUUAAUGAAUUAUUAAUUUAUGAAUGGUAUGUAUGUAAGGUUUUCAAAAAAAUUAUUAUCUCGUUAUUUAAUCAAAAUUAUUAAUUUAGCUUGUUAGCCCAAGUUGAGACCCAAAAAAUUAUUAUUUAGUAAUGGUUAUUAAUUUAAGAAAUAUUAAUUCAUAUAGGUUUUAUUAUAGGUUUCUUUAUACAACUAUCAAUGGAUGGAAAGACUAUUAGGAUAGGAAGCCAUUUCUGAGUACAGCAACUUCAGAGGGAUGGGUGUAACUAAAGGACUCUCUCUAAAAAGAUUUAGGGCUUUGCUGAAGUAACAAUCUACAAGGGUUUGGAGGUUUAUGAAAUUUGCAGUUUUAGUCUUUCAAGUUUGAAUAAUAUCAGCUUCAAAAUGCAAAAGUGCCUAAGUCCUAUUUUACUAAAUUCAAAUAAAAAUAUGUAAAGUUACCAACAAUAUUGAAAAUUGGGGAGAGACUGAAGUGUGUUUAGGGUUUUAUAAGGUUUUUCAGAAGCAUCCCCAAGGUUUUAUGGAGGCUGUGUUUGGUUCCAUAGAAUUGAAAAUGAAAUGGAAUCACAAUUCCCUGGAAUUGAAAUUCUAUGAAUAGUAAUUCCAAAAUUUUGGAAUUCCAAAUCUUUUGUUUGAAUGAAACAAGAACUCGUUCAGAAUUAGAAUUGUUUAAAUUUGGAAUUCAAAUUUUUUUAACACUUAUAUUUGGAAUUGGUGGUUCCUUUCAAAAUUACUUAUAUUUUUUGGAAGAAACUUGAAAGAUAAAACUUGAUUAAAUUUGCACAAAUUAAUUAUAUGAUGGAAAGUCUUUCUACCAGAGUGUACAAAAUUAAAUUAUAGUGUCUUCUCUUCUACAAAAUUGAACUUUUACUUGAACAUGUACCCACAAUAAUAUAAAUUAAUAUGUAUAUAUAUAGAAAGAAGAAUUAAUAUGCUCAUAACUUAAAAGAAAUUCAUUCCUAAACAAUUCUAAUAAGAAUGUUUCCUAUAUAGCAUCACUUUCAUAUGCUUCUUAUAAAUUUCAAAUAGAAGAUGAAGGAAAAUGACAAAAAAAAACUAAAUGCUUGCCCAAUCAAUAAAUUAUUUAUUCCUAAUGAUCAAGAUCUAACACAAAACCACAUAAUCUAGAACAAAUAUUUAAGAAUUACAUUUCAAGUGCAAAAUAGCAUACAUAUGUUUAUCAAUGCAAGAAAAAUAUAUUCACAGAAUUAUCCAAACUCCUACUACAAUCAUUUCUUUUAAGUGGUCCUUCAAAACUUACUCAAGUCAUUUUUGCUUCAAGGUGGUUGUUAGUCUUGUUAUCUUCAAGACAUCAAGGGGAACCAUUCCAUCAGCCUAGUUGAGAAAAUUCAUUGGCACUGGAAUUUUAACAUUCAAGCAUACUGUGAUAUGUAAUAAAUCAUAACAGCUCAAAGGAUAAAACAAAAUCAUGCCAAAGAACCUAAAGAGAGAUGACAAGCAAUUAUUUUCUUCCUAUUUAAAACCAUACCAAAUCAUGCCAAAGAAACUAAACUACGAUCUAAGUCAUUACUAAAAAUUCCUUUUUUCAGAAGAUUUCACAAUGGAAGGCUUUUCUAUAGCAAAGCAAUCAUCAUGAGAUAACCAAUUCAAUUCCAAUACAUGAAUUUAGUUUCUAAUAUUUAUGGAGACCAAUUCAUCCCAUUUGGUUUCAACUAUAGAGCUGCAACAAGACGCUGAUAUAGGAAUACAAUUCCUUAGCAUUUCAAAUUUUACUUUAAUUGAGAUGAUCUUAUCAUGGAUAGAUAUCCUACAAAUAUAAAACAAGUGAAAGAGCAAUUACAACAAAACAAUGAGAAAACAUGUGGUCUUCUGGAUGGAUAUAAAGCAAUGACUUGCAGAUUCAUAAAUGUGCACAAAGGAUUGUUCACUAUUGAGUUAUAGAUUCACCUCAGGAUUCCGAACAUCAAUCUACAUGUUUUUGCUAUAAACUUUAGGUAAUAUCUGACUUUAAGCUAAAACAAAAAUGAAAAGUAGAGAAUAGAGAAACUUGUCAUCUACAGAAACAUUGAUUUCUAAACUCCAAUGCAAUGACCUGAAUAAGAGAAACUUGUCAUCUACAGAAACAUUGACAUCAAAGCUCUAAUGCAAUGACCUAGAUACAACCACUUUGUUAAAGAUAUGUUCAAGAUAGACAUUAACCAAAUUAGAAGACAAAUAAGGAAAAUCAGUCAAACACAAUGACAGAAGUGGAAAGUGAAUCUCAAGCUCUUAAACCAAGUAUUUGUGUUGAUAUGAAGAGGAAGAGAGCAAGUAAUUUUACUUAAACGACUAAGAAUUAAUUGCCAGGCUUUUGCUUAAAUUGACCCUUUAUUGAAUAUUUACAUUAAUCAGCCAUGAGUCUGACUUGAAUUGUUGUACAUCAUUGGACACUAUUACCAUACAUCCAAGACAUAACCUUGAAACUAGAAAAGCACAACUGAAAGCUUACAUAUAUUAAUAGGCAAGUAUCAACAAAUGUAGAGAUCAUUUUUCUUGCUUAACAAUAGGGCACAUAGUCGAGUAGGAUCUAUAAUUUUUCUAAUUAACUCAACCUGGCAGAUCAGUCAAAUUCAAAGCACAAUAAACAUUUUAACUUGAUAAUUGAAGAACAACCUGAGUAUCCUUUAGUAAUAAAACUGAAGCUCUUAAGACUUGCUACCAAGUAUAAGAAUGAAUAUUACUGAAUAUAAUCCAUGUCCAAAUCCAUAUUACUAAAUUUUCUUUACUUUACUCAAUCCAUAUCUUCACUCAAGCAAACUAAUUCAAUUCAGAAAAGUUCUUAUCAGGUGAAAUAGUAUAAAUCUUCAAUGAGCGCCAAAAGAUAUGAUGUCUCUAAACUUAUUUUUCAUUAAUAUGCCAUGCAUGUGCUCUUUUACACAUUUAAUUUCCAUAUCUUUGUUAUUCAGCCACAUUAACCAAAUUAUAGAAUCUUUCUUUUCCAAUCACCAAGUAGAUAUGAAGUGACUAUAACAAUGCUCAGAUCAAAUACAACUUUAAGAACAUAACCCAAAAAGAAAAAAGAAGAAAGAGAGCAAAUAGUGCAAAAAGGAUAACUUUUUAAUUUUCAUUUCAAUCCCUAAUAGAAUAGAGAAUAAUGUAAAAACCCGCCAUAGCCAUUCAUUUCCCUAAUCAUUCAACAUUGUGCUAUUAGCAUGAACUUAACAUUCGAGUUUUUAGUUGAUCAUCACGUCAAACAAAAAUGUAGCCAACUAUUCACACCUACGUGACUCCUGAGGGCAAACCCCAUUGACAAAUGAUUACCCAAAAAAAAAAACUAACCUAUGUAAAAAACAAAGCUCAUACGUGCACAUAUGAAAAUCAAAUACCGUCAAGGAGAAAGAAAGAACCCAUUUAAAUCAAUUCAAGAAUGCGUACAAGAGCAAAAAACUAAAACCUAUGGAAAGGGCUCAAAUUGUUCUUUUUUCUUUCUUUUUUUUGGGGAGGGGGAACAAAUUUUUUAAUAGAUAAAAUCCCAUUGUAUCUACAUAAAUUCUAGCAAUCACCAAUUUAGAGACAAAUUCAUCAGUAACAGUCAAAAAUGCAUUUUUAAGUACAACAUAUAAGUAAAUGAUAGUACUGACCUACAAAAGCAAUUGAAGCAGUAUCCCAUAAGAGUUAUCAAGUGGUAAAUCGCAGAGAGAGAAAUAUUAGAAAAUUGGUUUAAUUUCUUUUAGAAUUAAUUUUUUUCAUAAUAUUACUUGGAUCCCCUAAGGUUUUUAAAAUCUCACUUACCUCCUUUGAAUUGACAUUUCUUGUAACAUUUAGCCCCUUUGGAGGAAAUACAAGAAAGAUAAUGCUUUUUUUCCAAUACUACCCUUAUAUUAUCUUACUUGUGAAGUUUACAACAACAAUAAAAAGUAAAAUAAGGUUAAAUUUUCACAAGAUGUAAAUUUCUUAACUUGAACUAUUUAUUUUUGUUGUAUUGGAACAAAAACAAAAUUUACACCUUGAAAGAUUCACACGUAUGAAAAGAUUAUUUUAGUUUUCAGUACAACUUAAACUACAACAUGUAUUAAAAUAUAUUUCCUAAAAAAAUUCUUGACUUUCUUAUAAUUAUCCAUGAAAUUCUUCAAGGUGUCAGUUAUUCACCAAAAUCCUUCUAAGUGGUUAACUUUUUUUUUUUUUUAGUGUAAGCGGGAGGACUUGAACCCGAAACCUCUUGCUUACACUCCCUCCCCCCGUACCACCCAAUCAACGUUCCUUGUUGUCCCAUCACGAUCUUGAUAUAGAAAAAUAAGGACCAUUAUUAGAGAUCAAUUUAUUUUUUUAAUCUACAUAUUUUGGUUUAAAAUUUUAUUUUAGAUUAAAUAGUUAUUAAGAGCAAGGCUAAUAUUGUCAAUUUGUGACUUUUGAUAGGAAUAUUUAGUCUUGUCGAGUUGAUAGGGGAGGUAAGUCAGAUUUUAAAAAUCUCGGGGGAGUUAAGUGAUAUUAUGAGAAGCCUCAAGGGAAGUUUCUGAAAUUAUCCCUAUAUAUAUAUAUAGACAUAUAUACGUAUAUAUGUGCCCAAUAUGUCAAUUAAAAAUCCAAUUUAAUUAAUAAAACAAGCAACUGGCAUAAUAUGCAACCAACUGGGCCAGAUCUUGAUGAAAUUAUAAAUUUAUUCUUUUUUCUAGAUUUUUCAAUUAUUUUAACAUAUAAAAUUCAAUUUCAAUUAUUUUAAUAUAUAAAAUCCAAUUAAAAACUUUGAAAUAGAAGGCUAUAACUAAUCCUGUCUCCAAUCAAAUUUGAAAUUUAAAACUUUCCCAUUAUCUCUCCAUGUUAGAUGAAUUAAUUGAGUGUUUCAUAAAUCAUUUAUAGUUUACUAUUCAGACUUUAAGCCCUUUUUACUCCUCAAUUAAAGAAAAUACAUUUGUCAAGCCAAAUUCUGAGGGAUAAUUAAUUAGUCUCAUUUUAAAAUCAUUCACCCUAUUAUACCUUUAUCACUUUAGCCCUUGUUACUCCUUCAUUAUUGAUUUUUCAAGUCAAAUUCUUAGGAAUAGUGUGAUCGGUCCUAUUUUUAAGUUAUUCACCCAAUUAUAUUUUCAUCACUUUCCUUCUGAAUGCAAUAAUCAUUUGUUAAGUCUUUCAAUGAUAUAUUCGAUUACUCCUAUUUUUUAAUGAUUCAUCCUAUAAUCACUAAAUCAAUUUUCUUGUCGAUUUAAACUUAUCUUAUUAUCAUUUUUUUUAUAUUUAGUGAGCUUAGGGCACUUUCGUAGGUUUGCUUUUUCUAAGUUUAUAUUUUUAUGUUGGACUUUAUUCUGUAAGUUUGUUUUUCAAAAGUUUUAAAUUUUUAAUGUUGAAACUUAUACUUUAGCAUUAAAUUUGGAGUAUGUAAAUAAUAAUUAUGAUAUUUUAUUUGCACUUAGAAUAAACUUAAUAUUAAUAUAAUAAUUAUGACAUUUUAUUUGUACUUAGAAUAAACUUAAUAUUAAUAUUGUGCAGGCAUCUAGAUGAUUUUUCAUAUUGCACAUGUACAUCAAAAGUGCAUAUAAAAGAAAAUUUAUAUAUGAAUUCUAAAUCAAUAAAGGUAUAUUUAGAUGAUUGUUUUUGGCGGUAUUUUAGCAAAAUUUUGAUGAAAAUGUAGUAUUUCACCAAACAUACACCCAAAAGUUUAAACCUUUUCUUGAAUACCAUUCUAGCUUUUUAGUUGACUAAAAAUACUUGAAAAAUGAUGCAACGAAUCCUAUAUAGUGAAAGGAGUGAAAAGAUAAUUCAAACUUUUUAUAUGACUAAAAACACUUUAAAAUGUGAGGUAACGCAUCCUAAUUAAUGAAAGGAAUGAAAAAAAUAUGAUUGUAGGGUUGAGGAUGGUAGAGCUUAGGGAAGAGCUGUCAAAUCGGAUGAUUCAUGUGGGUCUAAGCAAGUUAUAAUUGGGUUAACCUAUAUAAAACUACUUAGUUAAUAAUUCAAAAUGGAAAAAUCAUAAAUGAAUAUAAUUUUAGAUGGUUUUGGGUUAUUCAUACCCAUUCAUGACCUAUUAUUAAAUUUUUUUUACUUUUUCUCCCACAUUUUGUUUUGUAACAAAAUAGUAUAUCAUUGUAAAUUUGUAAUAAAAAAUAACAACAUAUCAAAUUAAUAAAUAAAUUUUUAACCAAAUAAAGAGAAAAAACAUUAAAAAAAUUACACAGAGGAACCUAAAAUGGUGAACGUGGUGAGUUUCAAAUUUUAUCACUUUACAAAAAUCUAAAAGAUAUUAAUGCAAACAAUCAAAUAACACUCAAGAAACUAAUUAGACUUUUAUGAAAGGAAGGGAGAAAGUAGACUUUUAUGAAAGGAAUGGAGGAAGUAGGAUAAACUUUUUUAAAAAAAAUAAAAGAAUGGAAAUAGAAGAAGAGGAAAAAAUGCUAAAGAUACUUUUGCAAAAAUUAAAUAUAAUACUGGAUUGGUAGUCAUUUAGAUUUACCUACUAAUGAUUGAGUUUGAAUAUAGAUUUUAUUUAAUUAGGUCAAAAUAAAUGAUCCAAAUCUGUUGAGUUUAGUUGAGUGUUUACCCACUAAUUAAUGAGUUUAGUUGAGUUACCCGUUUGAGUCCAAUUAAAUUACAUAUAUAGACUCAUUUGUUGAUGGUUGAGCUAAUUAAAUAUUGUAAAACCUUUAUAAAGUAAAAAUCUUGGGACCACACAAAUUCUAUUUAUUUGAAGAGAUAUUAAUUAAUCGAUAAAUGAAUGACUUAUUAAUUUAUUGAGUGUAUUUUCAAUUCAAAGAUACAUUCAUUUAAUCAACUAAAGUUUUAUUUUAUUUUAUAAAAAUAUGAAUUAUUUAUUAAUAAAAGGAGACUAAAAAUCUAUAUAAAAAAAAACCAAUUCAUACCUACUUGAUUCGCAAGUAUAAUUUAAUUCUAUUAAUGUAUGUAACUAAUAUCAUUUUUCUAUUAUCAAGAGGUCAAAAGUCUUAGGAAUACUAAAUAAUUUCACUUCCAUUUUAUUAAUAAUACAAUGAAUCAGAUUAACAAAAUUAUAUGUGUGUGUGUGUGACAAGGAAGUCUUCUUAGAAUAAACAAAUACAAAGUCUUCCUGCAUAUUUCAUUGUUAAACUAUGGCUUCCCAUUUAAAAGGUGUUCAUAAAUAACUAAUGAAAUGCAUAAAGCAUUAUGUGAAUAUAGUAUAUGUAAUUUUAAUGAAUUAUUAAUUUAUGAUAUGAAUGAAACUAAAGGGUUAGGUAAGGUUUUCAAAAAAAUUAUUAUCUCAUUACUUUAUCAAAAUUAUUAAUUUAGCUUGUUAGCCAAGUUGGGACCCCAAAAACUUAUUAUUUAGUGGAUGUUAUUAAUUUAACAAGAAUUAAUUUAUAGAGGUUUUACUAUAAGUUUUUUUAUACAGCUAUUAAUGGAUGGAAAGAACACAAGGAUAGGAAGGCAUUUCUAAGUGCGGCAACUUCAGAGGGAUAUGUCUAGCUAAAGGACUCUUUGUGGAAAAUUUUAGAGCUUUGAUGAAGUUUAUGAAAUUUGCAGUUUUAGUCCUUCAAGUUUGAAUAGUAUCUGUUUCAGAAUGCGAGAGUGCCAAAGUCCGGUUUUACCAAAAUCAAAUAAAAAUAUGUAAUUUUAGCAACAUGUAUGAUAUUGAAAUUUUGUUAACUAAUUCAAUAUGAAAUUUUGGUAAAUUAGAUUCAAGUUUGUUUGAUAUUGAUAGAGUUAUCUCAUGUGUUAUCUAUUACUAUUAUUUGACUCUUAAUUGGAUACAUUAGUCAUUUGCAUACUCAUACUAUAAUAACUGGGGAGAUAUGUUAUAUUACAAUUCUAUUUUGUGUAUUGUUCUUGAUAAUGUGUCCAGCAAUAUCAACUUUUGAAUUGCAUGUUUAUUUUACAUGCAAAACAUCUAAUUGUGUAUUAUCAAACUUGAUUUUGCUCACUAUUAUCAACCCAAAAGUUACAUGGGAUUAGGGUAGAGGGGGUGUUGUAGGGGGUAGAAAUUUAAGAGUUAGGGGUGAAGGGUUAGAAGGGCUAUGGUUGAAUAGAAGUAUUUCUAGCAAUUAAGGUAACAAGAUAUGGCUCGUUGGAUAGAAGAAUUUCUUAUAGAUAGAGGAGAAAUUUAUUAAAGACGCCCAAACUACUUGAAAAAGAAUAGUGAUAGAGAUAAUUUGAGGUAAGAAGUGACUUUUGGGUAUAAAACAAUAGAAGAAAAAUAUGUGCUAAGAAAAGCACAUACAAGUGGCACAAAGUCCUUAAUGAUUCUUGAAAAAUAGGAUGGGAUUUAUGAAACUCUUGAAAAGGAAAAAAGGAAAAGUACUUCAAACUUGGAGAAAAAAAGAAAAGAAGCAAUCUCAUACCAAAAAGGAAAUCCGUUAGGAAACAAGUUCUUUACGAACAAUCAUGGCAAAAAAUGAACUUUUUAUUUUUGCAAUGAAAAGGGUCAUAUAGCACUUGAAUGUCCCAAUAAAAAUUCUAGGGUAUUAAAAAAAUUUUUAGAACAAGAAUUUAUGUUGUACAUAAGAAUUUAAAAGAAUAUGAUGAUAUUGUAUAUAAGGCUGAAUAUAUUUCUUCUGAAGAUGACAUUGAAUUUAUAUGUAUGUUGAAACCUCUAAUCAAGUAAAAACUAGGUAAGUAUGUUGAAUAUAUGACUUUUGAAACUUUCAUAGAAAAUGAACUCAAUAGGACUGGGUUAGGAGAUAUGGUCAAAGAAGGUUUUACACUUGAAAUAAAUAAACUAGGUAAGUAUAAGAGUCUAAAAAUAGAAGAUAUAUAUAAAAAUCUAAAUUUAAACCAUGGCAAUCCGAAUAUUAUGAAAUGUGUAAAUGAAUAACAGACGUAAAAGUUACAUCGAAUGCAAACCUUUGAUAAAAAUAAGAUUAAAAGACUUAACAAAAUUCAAAAGUGAGGUUUAUCUAUAUUGGAAUAAUACAAAUCAAUAUAACUAUUUUGUUUAGAUUAGGAAUUGAUUUCCCAGUAUUAUGUGUUGUAUAAAAUAAAAGGUUUCAUCAUUUGAUGCAAUCCCCAAUUGAUGGAAUACAGUCCAAUCUAGUAGCUAGGGAAGUAAUGUGUAAGGUUAAAUUUAAUUAUUUUGUCUCAAAAAAUGACAAACGGAUUACAAAUUCUAUAGUCUUAAGAAUCCAAAUAUAAAACAUUAAGAGUGAAGAUGUUCACAAUAAUUUUUAUCUAUAUAAAUAGUAAAAGAGUGAAGAGUGUCAUGCCUUUUCUUCGUCAAACACAUGACUUGCAUGUGUUUUUUUUUUCGUACGCUUCACGUUCUCGCUCCAUGCACGGGCGCGUUUUAUCAACUUUGCUUUUGGGCUCAUGCCAUGCAUGGGUACGUUUCCACUUUCAUGCUCGGUGAUUGUUUCUCUUCUUCUGGUGCACAAUUAAAAAUUUCCCAAAAAAGGGAACCAUUUGUCUAGCUCUCGUCCUCUUUCGAUGUUGCUGUUUAGAGGCCAUUGGUUCUUUCCCUAUUGCUUUGGCAUUAUUAGGGGUUGUUUUAUUGUUGGCUUUGCCAUUGCAUCUUUAGCAGCCUUCGUUGCUUUAGGGUUUUUGAUGCCUUUUCUGUAUUUCACUCUCUACGGGCUUCUGCUGCUCUUGAGCAAGUCGAUUAUCACUAUAUUUUCUUUCUAUGUUAUGAAUUGGCUGUUUUUUUUUUUUUUGAAGGGAGGUUUCCUAUCCAACUGGCCAAAGAACAGCGUUGUUUUCCGAGAAAUGUUAUUUUUCAGGAAAUUUUGCGAUUAGUUUAUGGUUAAAUUUUUUCUGCAAUCAGGUAACGUUGAGUGCUUACAUGUUACUCUCCCUCCUAUAUUAUCUUGUUAAAUUAUAGUGUACUAAUUUUUUCCCUUUUUUUCUAUUAACUGGUUUCAGAAUGGCUGAUAUAUUGCUUAUUGAUGACAUAAAACCUGGAAUGACGUGUGGGAUUGCUGUCAUAACGGUUCAGGAAAAGCAGAAUAUUGGUGUAGCUAGUAAUAGUCCAAUGAAGUACCAAAGAUUAAUUUUUGCUGAUUCAAAGGUUAGCUGGAUAAAACUUGUUUUUCCCCCUAGAUUUGAUCCGUGCCGAAAAUAAGAGUGUACCGAUAUAUUUACUUAAGAUUCUUAUAGGGAUCAAAAAUCCAAGGGAUAGGCAAUUCAAAAUUUGGCUUCCACUGUUGCAUUGCUUGUCUAUUUAAAUUAGAUACUAUACCGUAUAGCUUGUCUUCUUUUUAACUAAAUUGUUGUUCUAUCAUCCAAUAAAUAGGGCGAGUAGAAAUAAAAAACGGUUUGCUGCUCUUCUUCAAAACAAGGCCUACGAUUGUCACAACCCAAAAAUGUUCUACCAAUCACUACAUAAGCUUACUCCAAUUAUAGAUUUUAUCCCUACUCAAAAGGUUGCAUUCCAUGAUUCAGAGUUUUAUCCUACUGAUUGCAUAUUUGUCUUUUCAUGUGAAAAAAUUCAACCAAAUUUCUUUUCACUAUUGUGUAGGUUUCUUGGGUGAAAGCUCGAAUCUCUUUCGAGCAUAUAUUUCAGAAAUAUUGGUACAUGUCUUGUGUGAAGUGCCAUUGCAUGACAUCCGCUAACUAUGAUGAUCUUUAUACUUGCAACCACUGUAACGAAAAACAGCGAGUUACGGCCAGGAAAGUUAUGCACAUAUAUUGAAUUUUUGUGCUCGACAAAACAUGGAAUCUCGUGUUCAUGUUGUCAUUCUUUGUUGUAUUGUAAUGCAGGUGUCGCUUCGACGUUGAGCUUGUUGAUGAUACUGAUACAAUCAUUGCAUCAGUUUUUAGUGAUUGGGCGGAAGGAUUGCUUAAAUUCUUUGCCAUUGAGACAAUGGAACAUUUUAACAAGGUAUUUAGUUAGCAUAUAGUAUAGAUUCUAAUUACUUACUUUUUUUUAAACAUUACUGUGCUUUGAAAAGUUACAUAUUAUUCCAGAUGAUUCUGCUAACUAUUUUUUCACUGGUAAUUGCCUUUGAUUUGUAGAAUCUGGAGCUUCCUUUGGACAGGGUGCAUGAAGAACUGAAGCUAAAAUCAUUCAUAGUCCAGAUCAAGCCAAGCGCUACUAGGGAAAGAAGUAGUAAUCCACGCUACACUAUAGAAUACUAUUUUGAAGUAACUCAGACUUGCAAUGUGUUAAGUCCCCUCAUGAAAUGCUGCUUAGGAUAGGCCAGAUGAUGUUGAUGAAAGGGAUGCGACCCUGUAAACAACAGGUAGUAAUACCGAAAUUUUAUAUAGACUAUAUCUCCUUCUAUGUAUUCCUCUAAUAAUCAGCAUAAUUACUUUUAUAAUUGAACAAAGAAGCAGCCUUCUUUAUCCAAGGCUUAAGUAUGCCCUGAAACUCGAUUUGAAGACUGUGAAGAGAUGCCCAAGCAAUUAAUAGAGAUUGAUGUUUCCGAGUGAAGCAAGAAGCCAUGAAAUAUAUAAUUUCACUGUGACACAACAUAAUGCCGUGGUAUAACAUUCCAUUUUUUAUUGUUAUUUUUGACUUUAGUAUAACUUUAUGAGCUCUUUCUUGGUAUUCCUUCCAAGACAUUACUUUUUGUUCAAACUGGUCAGAGUAAACCAGCUCAUUGAACUAUGUUUCUUACUUCCAAAACUUUAUAACUGUAUUUCCUCUUUCAUAUGAACCAUCACUGUCUAAGCUAUUUAAUCAAUUACUAUGGUGCUAUUUUUAGAAUGUUUCAUUAUUGUUUUCUAGUGGUCCAAUUCCAGCUGCACCAUUUAUCACCCUACCACUUUGGCUGCACUCCUCUAACAAUUUAUUGUUCCAUCACUAUAGCCAACUAUUUUCUGCACCAUAGUAAUGGUGCUUUUUUCUUGUUAAUACAUUAAUUGGUGAUUUAAUACAACCACUAUAAGCUUUAGUUUGUAGGCAUAAACAAGGCUCAACAUUCAUUCACUUUUUUGACCUAUUGUUUACCUUGCUCUUCUAUCUUAUCUGUUAUGAAAAAAUCCUUCUCCCAUGGACACACUUAAAAACCCUUUUAGAAAAUGGAGUUCAGUUGAAGGAAACAACAAGGUUAAGUUUUUUCUUCAUACAUUUGGUAAGAACCAUGUCCAUGUUGCAAUAGCUAAGUCAACUCCAGGAGCAAACACUUUAUAUUAUAUAAACAAAAAGUUUAUUGAAGCUUAUCCCUUGGUAUUAGAGUACAUAGGUGAACCAUUUCUGUAUUGAAUUGCUUUGGUGGAACAGUGGCUGCAAAACAUUAGUGUUAUUCCUGCAAAAGCUUUUGUAAAGAAUGGUACAUUUUCUCAAAUAUUUUUGUCCUUUAUUGUUUCGUAUGGCUUACCUAUUUGAUUCUUGUCUUUGAUUUUUUUUACAAUGUUUAAAAAGUUGAGUAAUGCCAAGAUUAGUGAAGUCUCGCUAGGAAAACCUUGGUGUUAUUUUUUUUGGUUCUAACAGAGAACCCAGGUACAUGCUUAAUACUGUCUAAGUUUAUUUUUCGUCAAAACUAAUUGAUAACAUAUUUUCCUUUAUUCUAUAGCAACUUUCUACUACAAUUUUUUAUCCCAUUGGUCUUCAAAAUGGUCAAACUAUCACGUUAUACCAUGGCAUCCAAUGCUGGGAUGUAACCAUCAAAGACAAGUGCUUAGACCAAGGAUAGACCUCAUUUUGCAGAGACAGUCUAAUCCAUGGAACUAAUAUGGUUAUUUUAUGGAAAAAGCCCAUCUUUCAUAUGAUAUUCUAGCUUUCUCUGAAACACAACAUCAUAGUUUGAUGCCUUAGGCUCUUCUAUUACUAAUGCUCUCGCAUACAGGAAAUCACCUACUCUUUUAGCUCUUAUUUUAUUCAGGCUGCAACUCGGAACUCUUUUUUUUUUCCCGAAACGAUAGGAGAUUUUCAUUGCUUUAAUGAGAAAGAGUACAUGUACGAGCAACGGCUCGAGAGAAGCUAUACAAGAAGUGUUCUAAGAACACUGAGGAAACAGUCUUUCCUCAUCAACAAUAACGCCUAAAGCAUCAUCACUUAAUUUUUUGCUAACUAACAUAUGUUCUUGUCUACACAAGUCAAAAGAGCACAUGCAAAACAAACUCUGUAACUUAGAGAUGUCUUCCAGUACUAUUGCCAUCUUAAUGUUCGCAGGGCUCUGCUGUUUGAUUUGUCUCCACAGCUCCUUGUUACAAAACUUCAGCUUAACCUUGCUCCAGUUUCGAUGCAUAGCUUUGCACAAGGCCAGCUUCAGAGCUAGUGCAUCAUCUAGGACUUUGUUUCCCAGACUGAUCUCAUUCAUUAUCCACCCUGUCAUUCUAUUCCAUGCAUAUUCCUUAACUGUGAUUCCUAUCCCAACAUUAUGCUGUCCUUUUUCCUUUGUUGUUUCUAUUUCCAUUAUCACAGGUCCCUCAUUUGUAUAAUUCUGAUCUUGCAAGUCUUGUCUAGGGACUGUUUCUUCUGUGCUCUUUUCAACUUUCGUGACCUCUUCCUGCAGCUGUUCCAUCCAAUCCUUGUGUGCUCUUGCUAUUGUUUUGAAAGGUGUAACUAUAUCUGAUUUCUCGAAUUCCCUCUUAUUUCUUUCUUUCCACACUUGCCACAGGAUAUUAGCAGUUAAACCAAUAUGUUCCAACCCCUCUGGUCUAUGCCUUGCUUCUGAAAUCCUUAGCCACCAUCGUUUGAAGUUCCCUUGUUGAUCCUUUGCCCCAUCCCACUGAAUAGGAGCUGCCUUCCAAAUGUUCAUCGAAUGAGGACAGGUCAACAGGAGAUGUUCUACAGUUUCCUGUGCCGUUCCACAAGUUGUGCAAGUAGGAUCACCCUGGACCGUUCUCCUCCUCACAGCUUCAUUCACUGGCAGAGCUCCUUGAAUGCAUUUCCAAAUGAAGAAUUUGAUCUUGUGCUUAAUGUUUAAACUCCAUAGAGUGUUCCACAUUUGAAUAACUUGAGGGCUACCUUCUGCAUAACUAGAGCUUGCUCCAUCAGGAUUACCCGUUUUUCUUUUUAUGCUUUGCUUCAUCAGGAGUUUGUAGCCCGAGUUGACAGUGUAUUGCCCUCCUGCCUUUGGUUGCCAAUAAAAGCUAUCCUCCCUCUCUGAAAGACUCAAGGGUAUAGCUAGAAUUUUGUGCGCAUCAUGUCUGUUAAAAUUUCUGAAGAUGAUAUUCCUAUUCCAUCUUUGAUGACUUAUGAGCUUUCCCACCUUUUCCAGCUUACACAUGCUCCUUUGUCUUGUAGUCGGCCUACCUGUAGUUGUAUCUGGAAUCCACUUGUGUUCCCAGAUGCUUGCACUACGCCCAUUCCCUAUCCUCCCAAUCAGUCAUUCAUUGAGUAGGCUUCUUGCUCCCAUUAAACCUUGCCAAAUCCAGGAUGCAUUUUUGGUGGGACUGCAAUGUAAGAUGAACUCCUUUGGAAAAUAUUUAGCUUUUAACACCUUGCUCACCAACAGAUUUGGUUUAGUAAUUAACCUCCAUACUUGCUUUCCUAGCAGAGCUUGAUUGAAAGCUUCAAGAUCCUUGAAGCCUAGAUCUCCUGCCUUUUUUUCCAAAGCCAUUCUUUCCCAAGAAAUCCAGUGUAUUUUGUUCUUGCCAUUAGAUUCUCCCCACCAAAAAUUGGCCAUCAGUGCACAGACAUCUUUACACAAUCUUCUUGGCAGCUUGAAGCACGACAUCACGUACGUAGGCAUAGCCAUUGCGACUGCCUUCAGCAAUACUUCUUUACCUGCUGGGCUCAAAAAUUUAUUUUUCCGGUUCUGGAAUCUUUUCCUUAUAUUGUCCCUCACGAAGCCAAAAAUCUGUUCUUUAGUUCUUGAGACAACCAUUGGGAGCCCCAAAUAUUUGCCUUGUGUUGUGACGUGCGCGGAGUAUACAUAUACAAUUAAGCUCAUUCUAAUCAAGUUUUACAUUUAUAAACUCCUAAAUACCCCACACGUGAUUUAUCGCAAGUAUACGAAUCGUGAGCGAGUAUAGGGUAUUAAGGGUCAAUCCCACAAGGAAGAUUGCAAUUACCGGUACUACUAAAGCUUCUCUAUUAUUUAGACUAUCAAUGAAUUAUAACAAAUUAAACCUACUGAAAUUAUACAAAAUAACAAAUGAAAGCUCCUUAGAUUGUGGUAUCCCUAACUACUCAUGCAAGUGCUAUAAUUGGAUCAUUGAAUACUACUAUCUAGGCUAGUUAUAGUGUAAUUUCCUUAAACAUGUGAAACCUACUUUCGUAGUGAAUCAACUAUACUCGUAACUAAUCCAUACCUAUUCUCAUGGUUAUGAAAUUAGCUACAAGUUCAUUUUUUCAGUGAAAUUACAUGAAAUGAAUCACUAAAAACCACAUAAGUGCACCUCUACUUUCGUGAGUGUACUCCCUAUGUUUAGCACUUCUUGAACCAGUGUUAAAUCUCAAUUUUCAUUGCAGAAACAACACCUUAGAUAAUCACAAUUAAUGGUACCAGAUUAAUCAUGAUUUAAAGAGCCAAAGUGUUAAAUAACUUGCUCAAAUCAUAGCAAUCAAAUAACCAAAUAAUAAACACUAACAAUCAUAGAAAGUUCAACCAAACCCAAGGUAUAAACUUUAAAAAUACAUAAUGAACACAAAAUCCAGAACUUGUAUAUUAACUAAACUUGGAAUCAAGUACAAAAGAUAAAGAGUUUGGAAGGAAUACAACCCUUGUCACAUGAGCUUUCUUCCUUGCCGUCUUCAUCCUCCAUCUUCAUCCUAAUCUAGAUAAUAAAUAAGAAUGGACAAACUAUACUACUCUAUACUAAGCUAAACUAACACUAGGGAGAUGAAAGAGCUACAUUUCUGCAACUUCAAGCUUCUCCCGUAUGUCUCUCUCUAUUCUCCUUCUAUGGUCUCUCUCUAUUCUGUCGUUGGAUCCCCCUUCAAUCUUGCAAUCUUGGCUAUUUUAUGAUGAAAGAUGUCAAGAAAUGAGGCCUCCACCUUCCUUUUACAGCUGGAGAUGUUUCUCACAUGUCUAGCAACGCAUGUGAGUUGGUGGGAGUGAAAUUGAGUUUUACGCGUACAUAGCAGCCCUUUCUGACCACAAUCCGGCCAGGAAUCCGGCCAAAUUCCGGCCGGAUUGCUACAGUGACCAUUUGGUCACUUCUGGUUCAAUUUUCAGCUCUGCUCCGAUUUUGCAUCAAUUUCCACUGAACUUUUCUUGAUGAUAAAAGCUGAUUUAGCUCUUGACCAAAAUAUGAAACUUGUAGCUCUUUGAGUUAGCUUUGCAAUGCAUCAAGAAUCACCUCAUUUGGAUCUGUGUAGGCUGAGAAAUGACCAAAAUACCCUUGACUGCUCAUUGCCCUGUUUCAGCUUCGACCAAACGAAAUUGGCUACUGUACUUCGGCUUUUUGACUUGGAAAACCUUCAAACUGGAUUCAGAUGUUUUCACCAAAGUUGUAGAUCUAUCUCUUAUCUUCAAAUUAGUUUAAGAAUCAUCUCAAUCCGAUCAUUGUAGCUCAAGUUAUAGCCAAAAUACGAAAAUGUGUCAAAACUGUCAAAAUGCGCAAAAUUUCACUAAAAAGUGAUAAAAGUCUCAUUUAAUCACUUAAAAGCAUUUUUCACCAAUUAUAACCAAAAUGAUUCAUUUUCUUCCAAUAAUAUAAUCAAAGUGACUAAAAAUAAUAUAAAAUAUCAUACAAUUAUUACGUAAAUUAGUCACUUAUCAAACUCCCCCACACUUGAAUCAUUGCUUGUCCGCAAGCAAUCCACACAUAAUCAACUACAAUGAUUCAAGAGGUGAAACAAUAUAUGCAUUUUGUCCAAUUUAAUUCCUCAAAACUUGGAAAAUAAUCAUUAUACAAUUGUUCAAAUUACACUAAAUACUCAUAAUAUCAAGUAAAGGAAAGAUAAUUAUACCCUAAUUUAACAAGUUAAACGUAAUCUCUUACCCUAAUCUAAUUUCACAAAUAAGUAAAUCACAUAGUCAAUUUAUAGCAUUCCUCCUCCUAUAAUCAUCUUUUUUUAUUAUUAUUAUUUUACAACUAAGAGGGAUUUAUUCAUACUACUUUUACUUAAAUAGUGAGAACGCCUUUUUACGCGAAAAUCGACACUUUUAGGUGAAAAUUUCCGGUUACUCAACAUUUCACCUAUUCAAGUUGCUAUGCAUACUCUUAAUUCAAGUACCUUUUUACGCGAAAAUCGACAUUUGUAGAUGCCAACCCCCGGUUACUCGGUACAAAAAUCAUUGGAGUAGAAUAAUUUUUACUUUCUUUUCUUCUCUUUUUUUUUCUUCUCUUUUUUUUUCUUUUUUUUUUUUUAAAAAACAAAGAACAAUAAAUAGAUAUUCCCUCUUAGAAAAUAUAUAAGAAUAAUCAAAGGAGAAGUAUAACCUUUUAUCAACUAUAUCAAUCACUUACUUAUAAAAUUAAGUAAAGAGAAGAAAUCUCAUUAAACAUGUAAAAUUAUAGGCGCAAUUUUCCUCACUUUACCGAAUAUAUUUUCUAAAAUGUAAAAAUUCUAAUUGCAUAAUAACUAUUUCCGAGUUAAAUGAGGACUAAACUUUCCAAAAUACAUAUAAAGUUUCAACAAUUGGAAGAAUUAAACACUUAAGGUUGGAAUACUUUGGCCCUUUUUGAAAUAAAAAUGAAAAAAUUGAAGAACUUUUGGGCUAUAGUGAAAUAUUGGAAAAAAUUUUAGAAAAAUUUUUACAGAGUUUCUCCUUAUAAAUGGAUGAAAACUCCCUGCCAACAAACCCAAUUUCAAGCAAAUUAUCCACAUGGCAAAUAAUUCAAACAUAAUUCCAACAUUUCUAAGCAUUUAAAUCCACAAAAUAUCAUCACCUAGCAAGUAUAUGCAAGUUCAAUAUUUUGCUCCCCCACACUUAAAUUUCACAUUGUCCUCAAUGUGAGAAAAGAAAAAUAAAUAAAGAGUAAAAGAAAAUACUGCUCAAUUGAACAUGCGCAAUCCGACUCCAUGUCCAAGUAAUGAAUUUCCAACCUUAAGUAGUCCGAAUCACUAACACCACAACAGAGAUGAAGAUCACUUGGAUUAGUUCACACAAACGAAAUAAAAAAAUCACUAAAAAUUAAACUUCACAAAUACUACAGAAAAUAAAAGGAAAACUAGUGGCAAUGUCACGAGGUGACGAGCACUCCCUCAAGUAGUUGCUUGGUCAGGUGACGAUGGUGGAGUCGGAGGAGCUUCAAUACCCAACUUGGUCUCGAUGCGACGAAGACGCUCGGAGUUCCGUUUGUUCUCUUGGCGGCUCUUCUUCACUUCAGCCUCGACGCAAAGUAGCUUAUCCAUUAUCUUCUUCAAAAACGACCGAGUGUCCUGGGGUGAGGAUGGACGACGGGAGGAAGACGGCUCAGUUGAGAUCGGUGAGGUGGUUGUUUCAACCCCUUGAGCUCCUUCAAUACGUUCAAUCUCAGCUGCCUCCUCGUGCCGAAUGUCUCCUUGAGCACCUUCUUGAGUCGAAGGACCACCGACGUCUUUACUUUUCAGAAUGAACCUGCAAAAAUCUAGUGUAAAGACAUCAUUCUUCUUGAGACCUGUAGGGAUAGCAUUAGAAAAAUCCACUCCAACCCUUUGAAACUCAAAGGUCAAGAACCGAGGAUAUGAGAAGGCAUGUUUGAUGUCGUUAUUGCGAACCACAGCCCACAUGUGGUUGGUGAUAAUGCUUCCCAAUGGAAUGCCUUGGAUAUUUCCUAAGCCAUGCUCCAUUUUAUCCAAGAAGUAGAUAUCACUUGUGCGCACCUCAUUGGUUCCACGUUGCGACUCCGGAAAUGAUGAAGUCAAUACCGAAUAUCGCCCAGUCUUCCGAGUGGCCUUGUACUCAACCCCCAAGCGUACAAGUGCCUCUAGCAUGUUCCAAGAGUCCAAAUCAUUGGAUUUAAAUGCUUUCUUCAAAUCUACCUUACGCCCCACAUCCGAAACAUGAGAUAGCGCUCCAAAUCAGCUCUAUGGACUCGAACUGUUCUCCCUUGCACUGUACUGGUAAUCACUUUCGUGUCGUAGUGAAAAACCUUUUUGUCCUCCACAUUGGCGUAGAAUUCUCGGACAAGCUCCUCAUAAUAGAAAUUUGGGAUGUUAAAGAAGUUUUCCCAUCCCAAUUUGGCAAAGGAAGCCUUGAGAUGGUAGACCUCCUCAACAUCCGGAGUGAUAUCUUUCUCCACCAAUACCUUAGCUCCCCUCCUACCAUUGUACCAAGCUUCAUUUUCGGCGGAGGUAAAGCGCGACUUAUCAUAUGGGACUUCCUCCUCUUGUUCUCCUUGUGCCUCUUGUUCCUCUUGUUGUUCUUGUUGUUGAUUCUCCUCCUCGGAUGACGGCUCGUCUUGAAGCGCAAGGCGUCUACUCGCUUUUCUUUUCAAGCGCGGUGGUCUAGACGUAGAAGGUUCUCCUCUCUUAUUGGGAGGUGAUUUCACCGCACCUUUCUUAGUGCGAGCCAUUGUACCUAAUUAAAAUUAUUAAAUGUUAACUUCAUUGAAUUGGUACAUUGCUAAGUAAAGAUAAUGAAAACUCAUUCACUUUUACCUCUUUAUCUUUAAUUAGCCAAUCUUAUCAACUUACUCACAUAAUAAUUAGCAAUUAACUUCAUAAGCAAGACUUUACAAUUGAUUAUCAACAACAAAUGCUUCUUUCAUUUUUUUUCCAAAUAAAACACUUAAGCAUAAAACGUCCAAAUAAGUAGAGAAAGCAACUAAACAAUCACACAACUUACUCCCAACUUAAUGACCUAAAUAAGCAUAAUGAAAUGCUAAAAAGCACAUUAACCAUGAGUUUAGACUUAAAAAGGUCAUUAAUUCAACUUUAAUCAAAUUUUCUAGAAUAAACAUGCCAAAAAUCAAAGGAUAAGCUAAUUAAGCCUAAAUUUAGCAUGUAAAUAUCCUAGAGCAAUCCAUUACUCUCAUACAAUUUUCUUCAAUCCAAUUGUCUCAAUAAUUUAGCUAAUAGCUAUCAAAUCAAAUUAAUCCUCAAAAUUAGCUAAAAAUUGCUAAAUUCACCAAAUAAUCACAAACCCAUGAGUUAAACAUCACCAAUAAUCAUCAAUAAGCUCAAUAACAUCAUAAAGAGCAUCAAACUUCACAAAAUGUAAAAAAUUCGAGAUGCCCAAAAAUAGAAAAAAGUGAAAAUUGGCAAAAUUCAAAUGACAGCAUUUGGUGAAGAUUUGUUACCUCAAACUUGUUGAUAGAUGAUUAAUGAUGCAAAUGGUGAAGAAACCCCCAAAAAUUUCACUCCAAUUUGGCCCCAAUUGAAGAGUUCAAAAAUUUGAAACCCUUGUUCUUCUAAAGCUCAAAUCCAAAUUACAACUUGUUUUUGAAGGAUUUUAAGCUAUGAAAUCAACUCACAAGGGAAAGGAAAGUGUUUUGGUGUAUUUAGUUUGGAGAUUGGAUGGUGAAAAGUUGAAUUUUAGGAGUAGUGUGUGUUUAAGGUGUGAGUGUGUGUGUGAAUUGAAGAAGAAAGGAAAGAAAGAUUUGGGGGAAUCCGUGCGCCUCUGGCCAGAAUCCGGCCAGAUUCUGACCAAGCAAUAUUUUUUUUUUUUAAAUCCUAUACAUAUCCGGCCUGAUUCUGGCCGGAUUUACUGUAGAAAAUUUUUUAUUUCUGCAGUUUUUCCUUCCGUUUUUCAUUUAAUCAAGCUUUCAACUCACCCAAUUUUCAACUUUCUUCAUUUUUUCCAAGAAAAACUCGCCUUAAACAUGAAAAAUGUGCUUUCUCAAUCACUCCACUUCGAAACAUGAACUCAUGCAUCAAUAUAACUUUAGAAUUAAGCACUUAAAAUGCAUGAAUUGGAUCAAGAAAACUCCCUUUUUGCUUCCUUAUAAGCUAUUUUGCACUUGAAGCCAUUUGCAUAAACCAUUACCAUUGCCACCUAUAAAACACACAAAAAACACUACUUAAACAACUUAAACUUACUAAAAACAAGAAAUUGUUGGGUUGCCUCCCAACUAGCGCUUCUUUAUAGUUAUUAGCUUGACUAUAUCACCUCAUUUUUCAAGGAGGCUUAGUUAACGAAUAAUCCACCAUUUUAGGCCGUGGUGGAUCAUUAAAUGGUGACUUUAUAGCAAAAAUCACAUGAUCUAGUGAUGUGAGAAAUAAAAGUGACUUACCUAUCCCAAGUGUUUCAUAGAUAUUACCUUGAAUAUGCACCACUUGAGAACUUACCAAAGGAAAUGUCAUGAGAGUAUCUUGGGCAGGAAUACCUUUAGAACCUAUACUUUCACUGCACUCCUCAAGAGGGGUGAAAAAUGAGUCAUUAAAACUCACCUCUUGAGGCUCAAAGUUAGUUUCAAAGGUAUUAUCAUGUGAAAUGGAUAUUUGCUCAUUGAAAUAUAAUUGAGAUUCAUCAUUUUCAUCCAAAUGCAAUCCAUUUUCACAUACAACAUUUCCACCAUUCAUGCUAGGAUCAUUUUGCAAAUUAUUAGAAGAAAUAACUUCACACAAUACAUUCAAUUGCUCAUGUAUUCUACCAAAGUGAGAAGCUAAUUCAUCUAUUCUUUCCUCAAUCUUAUCAAAACGGUCGGAAGUUGCAUUUGCUAGCUUUUCUAUUGCUAAAUCAAAUUGAUUACAAUAAUUUUCUACAGCUAGCUUCCAAGAUGCAUUAGAAUCAUUAGCUAAUGGUUCAUUCUCUAAUUCCCAAGGCAGAGGUGCAUUAGCUAACUUUUCUAUUGCCAACUCCCAAGAUGGUUUUGAUUCAUAUUGGACACUUUCAGGUUGGUAAUCAUAAAAAUAUGAAUAAUCACUAUAAGUACAUUGACUUUCCCAACCAUACUCAGGAGAAUUGCUCCAAUUAGCACUAUAUUGAUCACAACAGGGGUUGUAAUGCUCUAAUUCAUCAUAAUAAUCCACAUUUUGUGCUUGCAUACAUGUAUUAGUAGCAUGAUAACUUUCACACAAGUCACAAAUCACAUGAUAAGAAUUAAAAGCAUUAGCAUUCCUCUCUUGCUCAAUUUCAUGCAUAAUUGUAUCCAGUUGAACUUGUAACAUCAUAACAUCAAAUUUAGUCUUUAAGCACCUUAUACCAUCUUCAAAAGACAUACGUUCAGCAAAUUCUUGGUUACCUCUGUUGAAGGAGUUUUGCACUUGAUAACCAUCCAUUGCCAUUCUUCCACUUCUCAAGCAUUGUCCUCCAAAUUGACCUACCCUUCUCAUCACUUAAAAUUGCUUUUAAACAAUUUCAAAAGCAAAAUUAGUAAGAAAAAUAGGUAAUGAAACACAUACACACAUAAAACACAAAAAUAACAAAAAAUAACAUUCACAUUAUAACUAAUAUUAUGUCUAAACUAAUAAAGUUGCUCUUCACACCGAUAUUGCCAAAUCUUCCCUGGCAACGGCGUCAAAAACUUGACGUGCCCGGAGUAUACAUAUACAAUUAAGCUCAUCCUAAUCAAGUUUUACAUUUAUAAACUCCUAAAUACCCCACACGCGAUUUAUCGCAAGUAUACGAAUCGUAAGCGAGUAUAGGGUAUUAAGGGUCGAUCCCACAAGGAAGAUUGCAAUUACCGGUACUACUAAAGCUUCUCUAUUAUUUAGACUAUCAAUGAAUUAUAACAAAUUAAACCUACUGAAAUUAUACAAAAUAACAAAUGAAAGCUCCUUAGGUUGUGGUAUCCCUAACUACUCAUGCAAGUGCUAUAAUUGGAUCAUUGAAUACUACUAUCUAGGCUAGUUAUAGUGUAAUUUCCUUAAACAUGUGAAACCUACUUUCGUAGUGAAUCAACUAUACUCAUAACUAAUCCAUACCUAUUCUCAUGGUUAUGAAAUUAGCUACAAAUUCAUUUCUUCAGUGAAAUUACAUGAAAUGAAUCACUAAAAACCAUAUAGGUGCACAUCUACUUUCGUGAGUGUACUCCCUAUGUUUAGCACUUCUUGAACCAGUGUUAAAUCUCAAUUUUCAUUGCAGAAACAACACCUUAGAUAAUCACAAUUAAUGGUACCAGAUUAAUCAUGAUUUAAAGAGCCAAAGUGUUAAAUAACUUGCUCAAAUCAUAGCAAUCAAAUAACCAAAUAAUAAACACUAACAAUCAUAGAAAGUUCAACCAAACCCAAGGUAUAAACUUUAAAAAUACAUAAUGAACACAAAAUCCAGAACUUGUAUAUUAACUAAACUUGGAAUCAAGUACAAAAGAUAAAGAGUUUGGAAGGAAUACAACCCUUGUCACAUGAGCUUUCUUCCUUGCCUUCUUCAUCCUCCAUCUUCAUCCUAAUCUAGAUAAUAAACAAGAAUGGACAAACUAUACUACUCUAUACUAAGCUAAACUAACACUAGGGAGAUGAAAGAGCUACAUUUCUGCAACUUCAAGCUUCUCCCGUAUGUCUCUCUCUAUUCUCCUUCUAUGGUCUCUCUCUAUUCUGUCGUUGGAUCCCCCUUCAAUCUUGCAAUCUUGGCUAUUUUAUGAUGAAAGAUGUCAAGAAAUGAGGCCUCCACCUUCCUUUUACAGCUGGAGAUGUUUCUCACAUGUCUAGCAACGCAUGUGAGUUGGUGGGAGUGAAAUUGAGUUUUACGCGUACAUAGCAGCCCUUUCUGACCACAAUCCGGCCAGGAAUCCGGCCAAAUUCCGGCCGGAUUGCUACAGUGACCAUUUGGUCACUUCUGGUUCAAUUUUCAGCUCUGCUCCGAUUUUGCAUCAACUUCCACUGAACUUUUCUUGAUGAUAAAAGGUGAUUUAGCUCUUGACCAAAACAUGAAACUUGUAGCCCUUUGAGUUAGCUUUGCAAUGCAUCAAGAAUCACCUCAUUUGGAUCUGUGUAGGCUGAGAAAUGACCGAAAUACCCUUGACUGCUCAUUGCCCUGUUUCAGCUUCGACCAAAUGAAAUUGGCUACUAUACUUCGGCUUUUUGACUUAGAAAACCUUCAAACUGGAUUCAGAUGUCUUCACCAAAGUUGUGGAUCUAUCUCUUAUCUUCAAAUUGGUUCAAGAAUCAUCUCAAUUCAAUCAUUGUACCUCAAGCUAUAGCCAAAAUACGAAGAUGUGUCAAAACUGUCAAAAUGCGCAAAAUUUCACUAAAAAGUGAUAAAAGCCUCAUUUAUUCACUUAAAAGUAUUUUUCACCAAUUAUAACCAAAAUGAUUCAUUUUCUUCCAAUAAUAUAACCAAAGUGACUAAAAAUAAUAUAAAAUAUCAUACAAUUAUUACGUAAAUUAGUCACUUAUCAUGUUGCCUCUAUCAUUCCUCCAAGAGCUUGACAGAUUUCUCCCUUCUUCUCGCUAACCGUGUUUUUGCUAAAGAACACAGCAGAUUUGUCCAAAUUGACCAACUACCCUGAGGAGUUUUCAUAUACUUUCAAGACUUCCAUAAUCUCCCCUGCCACUUCCUUAUUUGCUUUACAAAAGAUGAUAGAAUCAUCAGCAAAGAAAAGGUGAGUAAGAGCUGGACCUUGCCUGCUGAUCUUUAGACCUUCAAUCCUUUUGCUUUCCUCAGCUCUUCUCAACAAGUUAGAAAAGCCUUCUGAACAUAUUAAAAACAGGUAAGGGGACAAAGGGUCUCCCUGCCAGAUUCCCCUUUCUGGGGACACGAAACCUUUGACUUCCCCGUUGCAAUUGAAUGAGUAACUCACUGUCUUCAGGCAGCUAUGGAUCCAGUUAAUCCACGUAGAGCAGAAUCCCAUUUGUUCCAUCAUAGCAAGCAGAAAGUGCCACUCCACCCUAUCAUAGGCCUUUGCCAUGUCCAAUUUGAUUGCCAUGUAGCCUUCUUUCCCAUGGCUUUUGUUUUUUAGGUAAUGCAUAUACUCAUGAGCAAUGACCACAUUAUCCAAAAUCUGUCUAUUAGGAAUAAAAGCAGAUUGAGUUUUGCUUAUGCAUUUUAUAUGCCUCUACCAACAGAUUCUCUGCUACAACAAACUAUAUCGGAGUGCAUUACUUCUUCCAUAAAUCAUUUCCUGAAGCGGACAGCAUUCCAAUCCUUUUAUCAGUUUCAUCUUUGGAAAUACAAGUACCAGCUGGUAUAUUUUCUCUCAUUUUGUCUUUUUCGUUUUUUUACCCUGCAACUAAUUAUAAUCUUUGAUUAACUCAUUUGCAGAUUCUUCCAGAAUUUGCAAACCUUGGAUUACAUGAACAUAAUACCCCAAUUGUAACUCUUACAAGUGGUCACAAUCAGUAUUACAUUGGUAUGACUAGAAGAAGUUUUGAUUAAAAUUGGAAUCAUUUUGUGAAAAUCGUAAUCUUCAAAAUGGCGAAUACUCCUCUUCAUUCCGCAGUUAGGGAAGGCAACGGGAUGGGAUUGGAGCGAGUGACCUUUUCCCUGCCCCCCUCCCCUGUUGCCCACUAACUUGCCCCGCCCCGCUCCCUUCCCCCGCAAGGUUAAUAAAAAUUUAUCAUAUAAUUUUAUUAAAGUCAAAUAUUAUUAAAUAAUCAUAUACUAAAAUAUCAACACAUCACCAAGUUAUUAUCCAUUGUAAUUUCACAAUUGAAACAUAUAAAAAUAAUCAAACAAAAGUUAUUUGAAUACCAUCCAACAUAAUGAAACAAAUACAACAAAAGUAGUCAAGUUUUCACUUUUGACACAAAUAUAAUUACUAAAUCAUUAUUAUUUUUUUUUAGAAAAAAGUGUUAUUGUAUUAAGUGUAAUUAGAAAUUUAGUAUAAAUGUAUUGGUAAAUUUAGUAUAACUAAUUAAUAAAUUCUAUUAGUUGACAUGUAUAAUUAUUAGUAUAAUUGAUAAUAUCAAUUAUAUUAUAUAUACUAAUAUCCAUUAUAUAAUACAUAUAACUAAUAAUAUCAUUAUUAUAAGUUUGUAACUAAUUAAAUUAACUAUUAUAUAUAUAAUUGUAUAUAUAUUUUUAUUAAUUUUUAAUGGGUGGUGGGGCGAGGGUAUACUCGCCCGUCCCCCGGGGGGAAAAAUUCCCCCUAGCCCCGCCCCAUUAUCCCCUCGUGAAUACCUGCUCCAAUUGCCAUCGCUAUCCACUUCAAUGAGCUUUAAGUGGGUCAAGAACAAAUGCCAAAAGAAAAACUCUUCCACAUGAUCGAAAACAAAUGGUAUUUUGGCUAUAUCUUGAGUUAUAAUUAUCAGAUUGAGGUGAUUCUUUACCCAUUUUGAAGCUAACACAUAACUCUACAUUUCUUAACGACCUUUUUCUCUCUCGGGCAUAAACCUAUAGUUUGCAAAACCCAAAACCCCAGAAAAGAACUCCAAAAUGUAUCAUUACUUUUUAGCCUCGGUAACAAGACUGGAGCAGUCUUUGGUGAGAAGAGAUUGGGUUUUAAUCAUUGGCAAUCUGAGUUCACCUUUGAUGCUGACGAAUUUCCUUGUGAUGCCGACACUGCGAAUUUGUUAUUAAUUUGGAUUAUUAUCAAUUCUCACUGUCUUUCUUUAGGCACUUUAAUUUUUUUGCAAUGUUUUCUUAAUCAAAAUUACAUAUCUUUACCUUUGUUGUACUCGUAUUCAACCAAAAAGGAAUAGAGAAGAUGCUUCCAUGGCAUUUCACAUUUAUGGUUUGAUUGUUACUUGAUAAAUAAAUAAAAAAAUAUGGGCCUGUCUUUCUCUCUUGAACUUUAUGUUGUUGAAUUGUCUUCGAUAAAAUAAUAGACGUUCAUUGUGUUCCAUUUUAUGAUUCGAAAGAUUGGUGCGCUUUAGGUUAUAAUUCCAUCUUUUCGGGCACCUAACUAGCAAUGUUGGGGUAAUAUUACCACCAUGCAUAGCGCAGUUCAUGCCUCCUAGUUAACAUAUAAGUACAAGGUUGUGGUUGCCCAUGUAAGGCGUGGGAACUUUAGACCUGUUAAUAAGAUUUUAUUUGUUAUUGUGAUAUUUUUUAUAUUCUAGAUUUUUUAUAUGGUUAUAUUUUCUUAUCCUCAAACUGUAUGCAGGAAUUACACGCGUUGUUCUAGCUAUUGUCUUGAUUCUGACUUCCAAAUUGCUAUUGUAGUUGAAAGACUGGAAAAUCAAGUACAAUUUAGAAAUUGGUGCAAUGGUUUGUUUAGCCUCUUCUAUGCUUCGUUAACGACUUCCUCUACUCAGUUAAUGCGCCAAAUUUCAGCCAAUCAUCACUUAUGAAAUCAGAUUGGCAAUCCAGUGACUCUAGUUUAGCACAGCCUAACUCAAAUAGGAUUCUUGAAAAUCAAUGGUUGAUAAACAUGUUUGAAGAAAAUUGGGGGUGACUUGCACCACUAUAGAACCCAAUUUUCAAAGUUGGACAUCCCAAUAGCAACUUGUUAUGGUCGUAUCCUUUUUUUUUUUUUCUUGAAUUUUCACUUUUAAAAAACUUUAAAAACAAAGAAGAAUCAUUCAACAAUAACCAAGUUAGCCAUAAUUUUUUUUUAUAUAUUUAUAUAUUUUUUUACUUAGGGACAAAAUGUCCCGUCAAGUUAGCCAUAAUUAUUUUAAGUACUUAGUUCAGAACCAAUUUAUAUGCAUCCCUAAUUUUUUGACAAUAAAUAAUUUUUCCACUAGUCAAUGUGAUUCCACAUUGAUGAAUGCCAUUAAAAAAUCAUUUCUUAGAAAACAAAAGAAAACAGAAAAGGCAAACAAUUCUUUUUUUUUUUUCGAAGAAAGACAAACAAUUCUCAUGUUCAUGUGUAACUCAGUGAUGCAAUCCCCUAAAUAGCCAUAACUCUCUGAUAUAGGUCAGUCACAAAAAACAUUGCUGACCAACAAGCACUGCGUAUCAUUUAAGGAUCAGUAAUGUCCGGAUGCGGUGUCCUUAACCCAUCAUCUAACACAUUACUAACUCCUUUUCAUAGUUAACUAUCUAAUGCAACGGCAGGCAUGGUCUAUACCUAACUGAUGGUUAAAUUGUAUUGUCCAAUUGUAAGGCACAAGAGGGACAUACUACUUGGGCUGGUGGAUAUGAUUAAUCAAGCCAAAUUGACAAAGUUUCUGCAAUCCAUCUAGCUAACUAGUCAUCACCAAUCAAGCAAAAAAUUGAGCACACUCAAAUUUGAUACAAUGCAAGACUACUUUUUCAUAUUCACUUUUCACUACUUACAAGUACAAAAAAUAGCAAAAAGAAUAACCAAAAGAAUGAAAUUGAAGUAAAAGAUUGAGUGUUAAUCAAGGAGCAAAAUUUUAAAAAAAAAAACCUCAAAACCUACACGUGCACAGUAUCCUUGAACUUCUCUUUAUCCAAAAGCUGAAACAUCAAGCCCCCACGGGUUGCUCGGCUGGGCUUCGUGUUCUUAGUUAAGGCGCCGGUCCUGGUUUCGAUUUCGAAGCUGGGCAGCCUGGGGUAUCUUUCUGAGGUUCGGUGGGGCCCGCUCUCCUCAGGGGUAGGGGACUAGUCGGGUGUAGGCCCGGAUACCCCUAACUGACAAAAAAAAAAAAAAAGCUGAAACAUCAAAAAAACACCAAAGACGACAUGCUUGCUUCCUUUUAGUUCACCGGGCCACACCUGCAAAAAUGAUUAAUUUUACUUCUAAAAAAUGAACAAACUACUAAAAAUCAUACCCUAAAACCUUAACAAAAUAAAAUAAAAAAUGAACAUAUAUUUAUUGACAAUUAUUAUUGAAAAAAAAUAAAUCUACCCUUACAUAUCAGUAGAAUUACUAAAAUUACAAUCUCCAUCAGAAAACUCGAACUUCCAAAAAGUCUAAAUGCCAACAUCUACAUGCAUAAAGAAACAAAAUGCAAACAGGGAGAAAUUACCUUUGAGUCAAAAAGAGAGAAUCAAACAGAUCAAAGAGUUUCUGUGGAAAAAGAAAAUAUAUUGUAAGCCUAAAACAACACAAAAAAGAAAAAGAACAAUAUAUAUUAGGACAUUAAAAGCAUCAAAGCCACCAGAUGGAUAAUGAUAAAACAGGCAACAAUCCAAGAAAGCAUAAGAAUUCGAUGGAAAAAGAUGGCAGAAAAAACACUGGAGGCAGAAGAGAAGAAGCCUAUAUAGUAUAGUCUUAAUCAAGUCUUUACAAUAGAAUGUUAUGGGGUGAAAGUUUUGAGUACAAGUAAAACUUAAUGGCCGGCAAAACUGAGAGAGAAACAGUCUCCAACAUGGAGGAAAAUUUUAAAAUUACAAAAAUGAAUGGCAUUAAAAGGAAAGCAAUCCAUAUAAUUAGCAUCUAUCUAUAAGGGAAAAGAAGUAAAAAGAACAAUUGGUUGACAUCUGACUGAACCCUCCAAUCUAAUCCAAUGAAUGGACAAAAUAAUCCCCAAGUGAACACAAAAUCUACACAAAAACAGUAUUUGAAAGGUUAACAAUGUCAAAACAAAAUGUUAUCUCAAGAAAAUUAUACAAAAACAUGCAGUACAAUUGCACAAGUAAUGCCAAAUGCACUUCAGAAGGAAAAUACACGUGCAGAGCCACAAAAUACAUGAUUGGAAAGUAAAGCUGUACAAGCAAAACCAGCAACUCCCAAGUACAACGUCUCCAAGCACAAGUGCAACGUACAACCUAUAGAAGCGUAGUGAUGCACUUGAAAGUAUAGUAGUCUAAAACGGAUGUUUGCACUUGAAAGUGGCUCACCAAUAGAAGUGCAAAUUAAACAAUAACAAACAUAGAUAUUUGUGUAGUUUGAUUUGACUGUUUUCACUCUUAUAUAGAGCUGUUAAUCGAACCGGACAGCUCGCGAGCCGAGAUCGACCCGGCUCGAUAAGAACUCGGCUCGGCUCGUUAACAGAGAGAAACGAGCCGAGCUCGAGCUCUAAUAGGUACUCGUUUAAUAUACAAGCCGAGCAGGGCUCGGCUCGUGUAAGCUCGAUAGGCUUGAAAAAUAAGGGCAUUUUUGUUAUUUCAAUGUGUAUGUGGUACUCUAGUCAAAGGCAUCUCCCGUCCGUCUGUAGCCCUAAUUCAUGCUUUCCGCCUUUGGUCACCCCGCAGCCUCCAUUCUCACGCCGCAUCUCUCAGCCUCCAUUCUCACCGCCAGGCGCCAUCCCUAAUUUUUGAUUUCCCCUUUCUGUCAUCUAUUUUCCCGUUCCACAGCCGCAGCCGCCAUUCUCACGCCGCCGCACCCCGCAACCUUCAUUCUCACGCCGCACCCCGCAGACUUCAUUCUCACCGCCAAGCGCCAUCCCUAAUUUUUUAUUUCCCCUUUCUGUCAUCUCUUUCCCGUUCCCGUGAUCCACAGGCGCUGCAUAUUUUUUUUUGCUCCGUUGAAAACCUUCCUGCUAAGUGCUAACUGACCACUCUUACCUCUCAUCUACACAGUAAGUUAAACACGGAGCACUGUCCCUGCGGAAGAAGCAACCGAAAUGAAAAUCCCCUUUGAAUAUGUAGUAAUUCAAUUGCCGUGCGGUGCACCAGCAGGAAGAGCCAACGGACACUAAGACGCACACUAGCCAAUCCUCAUCCCUUUAUCUAAUUCCAAUAUCAGCGUUUCUUUCCAUAAUCCAUAUGCUUGCUUAUUCACGUCUUUUACUGCUCUUUCAAGCCAAUUAUUAAUUGUCUCCCCCUUUCUUUUCCAUUUAAUGCUUGUUUAUGUAACAAACUGGUGUACAAAAUAAUCCCAUCCGCUCUCUGUCUCAUUGUAAUCCCUAAUUGCAUUUGAUGUGGUUUGGACAUUGUAAUCCCGCUUUGGACAUUUUGUUUCUCCAUUAGAUGGUUUUUGCUGUAGUUUUAACUUUAGACUCUGCCUUGUAUUGUCAUUUGGCAUGGCUUGUAUUGUCAUUCUGGCUUCAGAUAAAUCAGAGAAAGUGUAUCUUCUUGUGAUAUGGGCUCUCCCGUAAACGAGCUCGAGCUUCGAGCUCGAAAAGCUCGGUUCGAGUUUUUCGCGAGCUCGAGUUUGAGCUUGAGCUCGGCGGCUCGAUUUCAAAACUCGAUCUUGAGCUCGAACUCGAGUUUUCUACCAGCACAUCGAGUCGAGUUCGAGCGCUUUGUAGAGCUCGAAUUACUAAUCGAGCGAGUUCGAGCUAGCUCGAUUAGAGGUUCGGGUCGAGCUCGAUUGUCCUAUGCUCGAGUUCGACUCGGCUCGUUCAACAGCUCUACUCUUAUAGUGUCAUUGUUAAAAAUAGGAGGGAUUCCUUCAUCGUGAAGCGUCAUUGAGUAUCGAUAAAAAAGAAAUUUUGUUGCUUAAAAAAUGCAGUUCAUAAGAAGAAAAAAGGGGGCAAUAAACUUAGAUUUGAAAAUUGAAACUUAAUUUGAAUCUAAAUCACCAGAGUCUUGGCAUUAAUAAGCCAAAAGAAGAAAUAAGACAACAAACGAUGCAAGCCAACUUUUAUCCAAUAAAUAAAAAAAUAAAGAAAGGGAAGAAUGAUUGUUAACGUACAUUUUACCUGAUUACAUGCAUGAAUUUGAAUGUAAAAAAUCAUAAAACUAGGCUAAAUGAACAAUGUGCUUGUAAUUGCUGUCCCACGGAGAGCUCUUGUGAUCUCAUUCACUUGCAUAAACGUCAAAUACGUUUUCAUAUGAAUGAGUUUCUCCAUCGAAGCACAAUAUAGAAGAAACAAAUUAAAUGUUAACCAACCAAGAGACAACGACUCGAAGUUAGUGGAGAAACUAAAGCAUUUCAAUUGCCACUACCAAAUCAAAUUAUAAGUCACACGAAAUGACUAAUCAAAUAAAUGGUAUAUAAGCUAAUUUGAAACUUUCAGUGCAACACAUAGCUUGUCAAAUUGCCAUCUCUUCAAUGAGGAAAGAGUUGCAAAAGUUACAAGACAAUGUGUAGAAAUCAUGACUAAUACCUUUGAUAGGUUUAGACAUGAAAGAAAUCACUGUGGCAAUAAAGAUUUAUAGUACGUGGAAUUCCUGAAAAACAAAUAUCGAAAGACAUUUAGUGGAUGUAAGUAAGUUUCAGGUUGUUUAAUCAAUGUCUCUACAAAUAAGAAAGAUUAAUAAAUUGCAAUAUUUUUUCUGGCAGUAUGAUUGCAAACUACAACCAAUAGCCCAAACGAAAUUUAAAGAUACUUGAAUAUUGCAGAAAUUUAGAUUUGUUUCGAUUUAGUGACACCAUCUUAUCUUCUUAUCAACGAUCAACUAUAAAUUUCCUGUAGAAGCUCCAAAUGAUUAGGAAAAACUGAAGUAUAAUAUCCAGAUUCUCUAAACAAUCAAAAGGCAUUUAAAUAAACUACUAAAAAGGUUACCUUUAAAAUUUAUUGAACACCUGCAGGUACAACAAAUAAUAUGCAUGAAAAACCAAAGUAAAACACAAAAAAAAUUACAAAAGGUAUAAAACAUACAGCAAAAAAACCAUGAAAACUAACAACUAACUAUAAUUAGCAUUGAAGACAUGAAAGAUUGUAAAAGGAAUUGCAAGGAAAACCAUAAUUUAAACUACAGAGAUGGAACAAAGCAAAGAAAAUCAGGUAAAAAGCACAUACCUCUCAUAGUUGAACAUAACCAAGUUAAUUACAUCCACAGCUGAAAAUUUUAAAAUCACAAAAGAAGCCAAAACUAAUUGGAGUUUUUUUUUUUCUUUUUUAUUAAAAAAUGAAUUGAAACUAAGAAUAUUGAGAGGAAAAAAGUAAGAAUACACGUAAAAUUCAAAAGAAAAAGAUAUCAUAAACAUCAACAAAGGAAAUAAAGCUUACCUCUUAGUGAAGGAAAUAAUUGACAUAUCAAUUUUACCAAAACCUCCAAAAACCAGAAGGAAAAACGACCUGAUAAGCAUUAAAGAUAGCGGUAAACAAGAUAUUUGUUAUACUCGACCAAGAGAGAAAGAAAUGAAAGCUUACCUCUACGGUGAGAAGAUGGGAAAAAUGGAUCUGCUAAUCUUGGGAAGAAAGCAGAGGGAAAAGGGGCUAGGAUAAGUAACAAAAAAUUAAUCGGUUUGUUUGGAUAAAGUAUUAUUUGAAAUAAUUACCGUAGCACUUUUUGUGAUGUAAUGUAUUUGAGAUAAAAAAAUGAUUAAAAAUAUAAAAAAAUGGAUUAAAAAUGUGUUUAUGAUACAAUCGAAAUAUUAUUUGAAAUAAUUUGAUAUCCAAACAAAGCCAGAUCUAAUUUCUUGGCUUUGGGAAGACAAAAUUGAAAAGAUGGAAUAACCAUGCAUGUAUCGAUAGCUGUUAGGAAAUAUCUGAAAGUCAAAAUUAUCCUUUCCUAAAUCAAGCAUAUACCAUAAGAAAAGCAUCUGGAAGGACAUUAUGAUAAAAAGGAUCUGACAAUAAUUAAUGUGGAGAAUGGAAAUAGCACGUGAUGACCAUAAUAAAAUGGGCUCAACAGCUGAUAGCAGUGAAUCAUAAAGAAAAGCAACAAUGAACUUGUGGCUCUGCUUCAAAUCCUGACGGGUGCAUAGUGUACCCGUCUGGUCCGGUGGUGAUUCUGUCCCCAUCGGUUCUCAUAGGCUUAGUUGAGCCUCCCCCGUAGAUAGAGUAGGAAUAGGAGUAGGAGUAGAGAUGACAAUCGAAAAAAAAAAGAAGUACAAGCUACAGAAGCAGGUCCAUGCGCUCGAAAGUACAAUGCCUUGAAGCACAAGGACGGAGUACAAGCUGUAGAGGCACAAUGAUGCACUUGAAAGUAUAAUGAUCUGAAGCAGAGGUGUGCACUUGAAGUAGAGAGGAACUUGAAGUGAAGAGCAAUAUAUAGAGGAACUUGCAUGAAACUUCUUUCAUAUGUCAAAUACACACUGUCGCGUCAUUAUUAUCAGUAAGAUGCAAGAAGUAGUGGCGGGAUACCUUUAUGGUAGGAAGCCCUUUGACCGUUCCUACCGUAGGAAGCCAUGUAGAGGUCGACACGUGUCUUUGAAGAAUGAGGACCAAACGGACCCGUUAUAUUGCAAUGCUAACGCGCGUGGAGGAGGAGCAAACGAAGUACAACUGAAGAAUGGAAACACAUUUAUAUACAACUGAAGUACAAACGAAGUACAACUGAAGUAUUAGUACAUAAACAUAUAUAUUAUAAUAACAUGAACAUCUAAUAUGCAUUUAUAAAUAAUAUAAAUAUGGUACUAUAUAAAUUUAAUCAAUUUAUAACACAUGCGUUUCAUUAUUAUACGGUCCUCUAUUAAUUAAAUGAUUAUACUUUAUAUUUAUACAAUAUAUUAUGCAUGUGUAUAUAAUAAUUAUAAAUACAAAUAUAACUAUAUUUGUUAUUAAAAAAAUAUUAUAACGAUUAUAAAUAUAUUAUAUAACUAUAGUAAUAUCGUAAUAAAAAUAUAAUUAGUCCUUAAAUAUUUUAAUUAAUAUAUACAUCACUAUCAUAAUUAUUCCAAUUAUUCAUUCCCAAACUCUGUUCAAAAACGCCACAUUAGAUUGUCAUGCUCACUUUUCGACAUAUUAGUACAACAGUAACUAAAUUCAUACGCGGUUUCGAGAGCAUCACUCCAUAAAAUGUGCUUCCUACUUUAUGGACGGUGAUGUUAGUAUCAAAUACAAUUUUUUAUACUUUUUGGAAAAAUGGGAAAAUGGGCACUUUAUGCAGCAUACCCAUAAAUGGAUAGUAAUUUAUGAAUAAACGGGUAUAACAUAUUAAACCCACUUAUUUGCCAUUUACUCUGAUUUUAUCCAAUAAAUAAAUUAGUAAUCCAUCGGUGCCCUACAAUUAUGAAAAGGAGACUAGUGGUUAUGCAUCCAACAAAGUUACAUUUGUGUUGUUUUGUUUUGAAAGUUUAAAGUAAGGGGGGCAAGUGAGUUCCAGACCCCCAAAAAAAAAAGAGAGAUAAGUUGAGAUUUUUCAAUAUUUGUGAGUGCCAAGUAAAAUUGUUAGAAACCUCUAGGGAGGAUUAUGAAAUUAUCCCAAACAAAAAUUUAGAAUGAAUAAGUUACUUUUUAUAACAGUUCUAAAGGUUCCUUGAGAUUUUAUGAGAUUUUAUAAAUUAAGUGGCUUGAGUUUGCAAAAACAAUUUCUUGCAUAUGUUUGUAGUGGAAACGGAGUUUGUAAGUGCCCGGUGCAACCCAAAGAGUACAAACAAUUUCACAAUGAUGCACAAAGAUAUAUCAAAUUUAAGCACAAUAAAGAAAACUUAAUUAAAGAGAAAAGAUAAGAAAUGCAAACCAAAUAUCAAUCCAAUAGCCUCUUCAAUAGAUGGCGAUGCUAACCAAGAUGUACAUGUGAAGGCUCACUCCUUCCUCACCCCAAACACACUUUGGUUGAGCCAAGGAGUUUUACAACUAUUCUAGUUAACCCUCAACAACCUACACUUGAAAGAUCACACACCCAAUUAAGAACUAUUUUAUACAAAUGAGGCAACCUUCACCAAGGUUUUACCACUUCAAGUGAUAGGUUCACCUUCACCAAGGUUUUACUUCUCCUAGAGAGUAACCUUCACUUGAGCAACCUCACAACCCAACUUUCCCAACCCCUUAUACAACCAACAAAGAAUCUUUCUACUCAAAAAUCUCACUUGUAAGCUUGUAUUUUGUGUUGGCAAAAGUCCUUUUACUUCUUGUGCUUUGGGGUGUUUAUAGAAGGUGAGAAAUGGCUCCAAAAGGCUCUCCAACGGUCAAAUAUUAAAUGCUGUCAAAACUAGCCGUUGGCCUGUCGGACGUCCGAACCACCUGUCGGGCGUCCGAACCCUGCGUCCAAACCACCUGUCAGACGUCCGAACCCUGCGUCCGAACGUUGUCCAGAGAGUUAUCAAAUCUUCGUGGAAUUUUUAGGACGUCCGAUGAAAUCGAUGUGCGUCCGAUCCUUCCGGACGUCCGAUGCUUCCUCACGAGCGUCCGACAGAGUUUCCUUCUUGAUGUUCUUCAUCCUUUCGGACGUCCGAUAGCUUCCUUUCGGACGUCCCACAUGAGUGCCCUGUUUUUGCUUCUUCUUUUGUGCCACAAGAAUCUGUUCUAACAAAUUGCUCACAUAAAAACAUUAGCCCAAAUCUACAUUUUGGUUUGUUAAUCAUCAAAACCAAGGACUGAUCAACCAAGGUCAACAGAAUUUAAACUUGCUAUAGGUUAGAUUCUACUAUUCCACUGUAUCCUAAAGGGUAAUUUGCCAUUCAACUUAAUUUUAUUCUGAUUUUAUCCAACUAAUAAAUUAGCUUAUGAAAAAAAUAGGAAAAUGGAUAAUUUAUGGAGGAAAACUAUAAAGAACUGGUGUUUUAUUGGAGAACGGUUUAUUGUUAUUUUAUCCGAUUACAUAAAUUUGUUUAUGGGAAAAUGGGUACUCUGUUCUUAUAAUGGAUGAAAACCAUAAAGAGCUGGUGUUUUAUUGAAGAACGGGUACUCUGUUCUUAUAAUGGAAAAAUGGGUACUCUGUUCUUAUAUAAAUAAAAUUUUUUAUGCAAAAUGGGUACUCCGUUCUUAUAAUGGAGGAAAGUCAUAAAAAGUUGGUGUUUUAUUGGACAACGGAUUUAUUUUUUUUUAUCCGAUAAAUAAAUUUGUUCAUGAAAAAAUGAGUACUCUGUUCUUAUAAUGGAGAAAAGUCAUAAAGAACUGGUGUUUUAUUGGAGAACGGAUUUAUUGUUAUUUUAUCCGAUAAAUAAAUUUGUUUAUGGAAAAAUGGGUACUCUGUUCUUAUAAUGGAGGAAAACCAUAAAUAAUUGGUAUUUUAUUGGACAACGAGUUUAUUUUUUUUAUCCGAUAAAUAAAUUUGUUCGUGAAAAAAUGGGUAUUCUGUUCUUAUAAUGGAGGAAAAUCAUAAAAGGCUAGUGUUUUAUUGGAGAACGGGUUUAUUUUUAUUUUAUUCGAUAAAUAAAUUGUUCAUGGGAAAAUGGGUACUCUGUUCUUAUAAUGAAAAAAAACCAUAAAGAGCUGGUCUUUUAUGGGAAAGUGAUACUUUACAGAAAGUAACCCCGAGCAAACUUUAUGAAAUUAUCCAAAAAAAAUUGAAAGUGGGCUUUGGAUUGGGGACAACAAUACCUAUUCAAAAUGGGUAUUUUACUAGUUUUUUAUGGACAUUUUACUCUCAAACAUUCAAUUUAUAAUAAAUAUAUGAAUAUUUUUAAGUAAAAUUCAAAAAGUAUUACAGUAAUUUCUUACAGAAAAAAACUAGUAGGUUAUCUAUUUAAUAUAAAUUAAUUUUUUUAAAAAAAAUAUCCUAUAAAGUACCAACUCUUUAUGGCUUUUCUCUAUUAUAUGAAACAAGUACCAGGUUUUUAUAGGUAUUUUAUUCUGAAUCAUUUAAUUUAUAUUAAAUACAUAAAUAUUUGCAAAUAAAAUUCAAAAGCCGUUACACAAAUAUUUUUACGAAAGGAAAACUAGCAUGUUUUGUAUUUAAUAUAAAUGAAGUAUUUGAAAGAAAAAAAAAUUGUCCAUAACAUGUGUUUUUUCAUUUAUAAAUAAUAUUUGUGUAUAGUAUAUUAAUAUAUAGUUAUAUUAAUAUUACAAAAUUUUUAUAAUUUUCUUUUAUCAUAUAUAAUAUUUAAUUUGGUUAGUUACAAACUUGGAAUCAUGAUAUUAUUAGCUAUGUGUAAUAUAUAAUGUGCAGGGGUGUAGGUAAUUUAAUUGAUAAUAUGAAUUGUAAUAUGAGCUAGUGUUUUAUUGGAAAGUGGGUUUUGUUUACUUUAUCCCAUAAAUAAAUGUGUUUACGGGUUUAUGGUUGCAUAGUUCUUAUAAUUGAGGAAAACUAUAAAGAGCUAGUAUUUUAUUGAAAUAUGGGUUAAUUUUUAUUUUAUCCCAUAAGUAAUUGUGUUAACGGGUUUAUGGGUACUUUGUUCUUAUAAUAGAGGAAAUCCAUAAACAGCUGGUGUUUUAUUGGGCAAAUGGGUUUUUCUUUUAUUUUAUCCCUUAAAUAAAUGUGUUUACGGGUUUAUGGGCACUCUGUUUUUAUAAUGGAGGAAAACCAUAAAGAGCGGGGUAUUUUAUUGAAAAAUGGGUUAAUUUUUAUUUUAUCCCAUAAGUAAAUGUGUUUACGGGUUUAUGGGUACUCUGUUCUUAUAAUGGAAGAAAGCCAUAAAGAAUUGGUGUUUUAUUGGAAAAUGGGUUUAUUUCUAUUUUAUCCCAUAAAUAAAUGCGUUUACGGGUACUCUGUUCUUAUAAUGGAGGAAAGUCAUAAAGUACUGGUCUUUUAUGAAAAAUUGAUACUUUACAGAAAAUGAUCGCGAUUUGGUUUAUGACAUUAUCAAAAAAAAAAAAAAUUGUAACGUGUCAUGCUCUGCGGGCCUAUAUUAAUAUAAUAUUUGUGUAUAGUAUAUUUAUAUCACAAAAUUUUUAUAAUUUUCUUUUGUCAUAUAUAAUAUUUAAUUUGAUUAGUUACAAACUUCGAAUAAUGAUAUUAUUAGCUAUGUGUAAUAUAUAAUGUGCAAGGGUGUAGGUAAUUUAAUUGAUAAUAUGAAUUGUAGUAUUAAGUAUACAUGCUUAUUAAUAAAAAUUAUGAAUUAGUUAUACUAAAUAUAAUAAUACAUUUGUACUAAUACAUUUAGUAAUACAGUUAUACUAAUAUAGUAUACACGUAUUUACUUUAUGUAAAUACAAAAUCUACUAGUUUUCCUUUCGCAAAAAUAUUAGUAUACUACUUUUUAAAUUUUACUUAUAAACAUUUAUGUGUUUAACAUAAAUUAUAUGAUUCAGAGUAAAAUGCCUAUAAAUAGCUAGUAUUUUAUUCAUAUAAUAGAAGAAACCCGUAAAGAGCUAGUAAAAAGUGGGUAAUUUCUUUUUUUACUUUCACAUAUUUAAUUUAUGUUAAAUACAAAAUCUACUAGUAUCCCUUUUGUAAUAAUAUUAGUGUAACACUUUUUGAAUUUCACUUAUAAACAUUUAUGUAUUUAAUAUAAAUUAAUUGAUUCAAAGUAAAAUGCUCAUAAAUAGCUAGUAGUUUAUUUAUAUAAUGGAAAAAACUCGUAAAGAAUUGGUAUGUUAUGGACAAUUUUUUUUUUACUUUCAAAUACUUCAUUUAUAUUAAAUACAAAACAUGCUAGUUUUCCUUUCAUAAAAAUAUUUGUGAAACAGCUUUUGAAUUUUAUUUGCAAAUAUUUAUGUAUUUAACAUAAAUUAAAUGAGUCAGAAUAAAAUACCUAUAAAAACCUGGUACUUGGUUCAUGUAAUAGAGAAAAGCCAUAAAGAAUUGGUACUUUAUGAGAUAUUUCUUUUUUAAAAAAUAUUUAAUUUAUGUUAAAUAAAUAACCUACUAGUUUUUUUUUGUAAGAAAUUACUGUAACACUUUUUGAAUUUUACUUAAAAACAUUCAUAUAUUUAUUAUAAAUUGAAUGUUUGAGAGUAAAAUGUCCACAAAAAACUAGUAUUUUGAAUAGGUAAUACUCAUUUGCCCAUAUGAAAUUUAUUAAUUGUUAAUUGUUUUGUAAUGUUUUGUCAUUCCUUUGCUAAUACUAUUUUGGUAAUACAAAAGAUAAAUCUGGUAUAAAUCUUUCUCCACGCGCAUUACCACUGCCACAUGACGGCUCCGUUUGGUGCUUUUGGACCAAAUGCACGUGUCCAACUCUGCAUGAUUUCCUACGGUAGCAGUCUUCCUACCAUAAAGGUUUCCAGUAGUGGCGUCCAAAGUCAAACAAGCCUGAAAUUACAAAAAUGGUUAAGGCGAUGAGUAAAUGAUCAGAAGCAGCAGCCACUUGUACUAGCCCCAACAAAACGAGCAACUUGUACCUAAAAUGACAACAAUACCCUUAGAGAGAGCAGAUGAAAACCAGCGAACAGUAACCCAAAACGUCUUUUUAUAAUGUACAUGUACAUAAGUAUAUAAAGAGCGAACAUCCUCUUCAUACGUUUGGUAAGAACCACGUCCAUGUUGCAACAGCUAAGUCAACUCUAGGUGCAAACACUUUAUACUAUAUAAACAAAAACUUUAUUGAAACUUAUCCCAUGGUAUUAGAAUACACAGGCGAACCAUCUCUGUACAUUGCUUCGAUGGAAUAGUGGCUGCAAAACAUAAUUGUUAUUCCUGCAAAAGUUUUUGCAAAGAAUGGUACUUUUCUCAAAUUUUUUGUCAUUUAUCACUUUGUAUGGCUUACCUAUUUGAUUCUUGUCUUUGGUUUUUUUUUUUUUUUUUUACAAUGUUUAAAGAGAGCUGAGUAAUGCCAAGAUUAGCGAAGUCCCGAUAGGAAAACCUUGGUGUCUUUUUUUUUUUUUUGUUCUAACAGAGAAACCCAGGUGCAUGCUUAAUACUAUCUAAGUUUAUUUUUCAUCAAAACUAAUUGAUAACAUUUUCCCUUUAUUCUGUAGCAACUUUCUGCACUACUUCAUCCAUAAAUCGUUUCCUGAAGUAUGACUGGAUAGCAUUCCAAUGCUUUUAUCAGUUUUAUCUUUCAAAAUACAAGUACCAACUAGUAUAUUUUCUCUCAUUUUUUUUUGUUUUUUCCCUACAACUGAUUUUAGUCCUUGAUUAACUCAUUUGCAGAUUCUUCCAAAAUUUGCAAACCUUGGGUUACAUGAAUAUAAUACCCUAACUAUAACUCUUACAAGUGGUCAUAAUCAGUGUCACAUUGGUAUGACUGGAAGAAGCUUUGAUCAAAAUUGGAAUAGCUUUGUGAAAAAUCAUAAUCUUUCCCAAAUAAGAUUUGUGUAAACUUCACAAAUAAGAUAAUACAAGAAUACUAUUGAAAUAAAAGCUUUAUCUUUCUUGUAUUUCCUCCAAAUGGGCUAAAAUGUUACAAGUCAAUUCAAGGGAGGUAAGUCAGAUUUUAAAAAUCUCAGGGGAACCAAGUAAUAUUAUAAAAAACCUUAAUUUUAAUUCUACAUAAAACCUUAAGAGAUGUUUCUAAAAUCCUUAAGGGAGUGAUAUAUAUAUAUACACAUAUACAUACAUAUACAUAUAUAUAUCAUUAUGUAAGUCUCUAUAAAACCUGAAAAACAGUCCGGUCUUUCCCAAUUUUCAAUAUCAUAUAUGUUGCUAAUAUUACAUAUUUUUAUUUGAAUUUAAUAAAAUAGGACUUGUGCACUCUCACAUUUUGAAGCUGAUAUUACUCAAACUUGAAAGACUAAAGCUGCAAAUUUUAUAAAACUCCAAACCCUUGUAAAUUGUCGCUUCAGCAAAGCCCUAAAUCUUUUCAGAGAGAGUCCUUUAGCUGCACCCAUCUCUCCGAAGCUGCUACACUUAGAAAUGGCUUCCUAUCCUUGUAGUCUUUGAUAGCUGUAUAAAGAAACCUACAAUAAAACCUAUAUAAAUUAAUACUUAAAUUAAUAACCAUUACUAAAUAAUAAUUAUUUUGGGUCUCAACUUGAGCUAACAAGCUAAAUUAAUAAUUUUGAUUAAAUAAUAUGAUAAUAAUUUUUUGAAAACCUUACAUACAUCACAUUCAUAUCAUAAAUUAAUAAUUCAUUAAAAUUACAUAUAUUAUAUUCAUAUAAUGCUUUAUGCAUUUCAUCAGUUAUAUAUGAAUACCUUUUAAAUGGGAAGACAUAAUUUAACAAUGAAAUAUGUAAGAAGACUUUUGUUUAUUUAGUAUAAGAAGACUUCCUUGCCACAUAAAUAUAUAUAUAUAUAUAUAAUAUUAUUACUUUGGUCCAUUGUAUGCAUUUAAUAAAAUAGAAGUGGAAUUAUUUAGUAUUCCUAAGUCCUUUUGACCUCUUAAUAAUAAAAAAAAUGAUAUCAAUUACGUACAUUAGUAAGAAUUAAAUUACACUUGCAAAUCAUGUAGAUAUGAAUUGGUUUAUAUUCUAGGGACUUUUAGUCUCCUUUUAUUAAUAGAAUAAUUCAUAUUUUUAUAAAAUAAAAUAAAAUAAAACUUUAGUUGAUCAAAUGAAUGUUUCUUUGAAUUGCUAAUACGCUUGAUAAAUUAAUAAAUCAUUAAUUUAUCAAUUAAUUAAUACCUCUUCAAAUUAAUAGAAUUUGUAUGGUUCCAAGAUUAUUAAUUUAUAGAGAUUUUACUGUAUUUAUUUAGCUCGACCAUAAAAAAAUGGGUUUACAUGUGUAAUUUAAUUGGAUUCAAACAAGUAACCCAAUUAAACUCAUUAAUUAGUGGGUAUUAAAUUGACAGAUUUGGAUCAUUUAUUUUGACUUAAUUAAAAUUAACGUAGAUUCAAACUCAACCAUUAGUGGGUAAAUCUAAAUUACUACCAAUCUAGUAAUUAUAUUCUAAUUUUUGCAGAGACAUAUUUUGCGCUUUUUCUUCUUCUUUAAUUUCCAUUCUUUUAUUUUUUUAAAAAAAAUUUAUCAUACUACCUCCCUUCCUUUCAUAAAAGUCUAAUAAAUUUCUUGAGUGUUAAUUGAUUGUUUGUGUUAAUACCUAAAUUAAUUUUAGAUUCUUGUAGAGUGACAAAAUUUGAAACUUACCAUGAUCACCAUGUAGACACCAAAAAUUUUGAUAAUUCAUUUUUUAUUUAUAUUUAUUUUAUGUUUAGGUAAAAUCUUUUUAUUUGAUUGGUUUUGUAGGAAAAUGAAGAAAGGAAAAGAAAGGAGUCAGAAAUGAAAAAUACAAUUUUUUGAAUAUUAUGAAAAAGAAAAAAAAAUUUCAUGCGCACGUACAUCUACUUCCUUCUUUACCAGAAAUAGCAGAAAAAACGAACAAAGAGCUGGCAGAAUUUUGGAGUUGCAAAGUUGAAUUUUUCUUCCUUUUCUUUCCUCCCAAGCAUACCAGUACAAAGUGCCACCUCCUUCCGAUAAGAAUUAUCAAGAAUCCCCUGGAAACAAAACCAUCAAAUGGCCCAAAAUAAGCCAACAAAACCGGUUUUCAUAUCCACCAUUGAGAUGAGGGUUUUGGGUUUUAAUUUUAUUUAAAAGGGACGAGUGCAUUUCUGGAAGGGUAAGGAAGUAAGAGGUAACGGCAGAAAGAAAGAGAGAGGGAAAAGAAGGAAAAAUAGAGGAAAGAGGAAUUUUUUUCUGGAAAAAUUUUGCAGAAAAGGCUGGCUCUGCAGCCCUCUUUCAACCUAAUUUUCUCCUUCAAUAAAGCUUCGUUUGAGGAGCUUUCAAUUUCUACACAAUCUACGAAGUUGGGAGAGCAAGCUUGGUUUAGAAAUCUUGCGCAAAAAAUGACCAAAAACUCUUCUAAUUCACAUCCGAAGUUGCUGGUCCAACUUCACUGGUGCACAUUUGAAGUUUCAACAAAUCUAUCCUCGUCACGUUUUUUUUUUUUUGUUUUAAUUUGAUCCGAAAGCAUCCUCAAGUAUUUCCUCAACUUCUCCUUGUUUGAUUCAAUGUUUAUACAAGGGAUUUGAGGGUGUUUAUGGAAGUUUAUGUUCAAGAAACUUAGAUCCAUAUUUUUGCUAUCAUUAUUUGAUUUUUGGACCUUAUUGGAUGUUUGUUUGAGUUCAGAAUGCCAUGAGUCCCAUGUAUAUGUAAAGUGUCGGUCCUAAGGGUUUUAAAAAAGGGAUUCCGGCGAUAUUCCGGCCAAUUUGGCUGGAAUUUUGCAGUUUUCGGCAGGUCGACCCACUAGAAACUUCAUACCCGCUUGAAAUUCUUUCUAUUUUUGUUUUGUUUGUAAUGAUUAGAUUCAUUUUGUUGUUAUAAAUGUUUAAUGAAACCUGUUUUUGGACUAAAGAGUGGGUCAAGAAUUUAUUUUUGUUUGGAUUUGUACGUGGGCUUUGGUGGUUAAACCCAACGUUUUUUUUGUUGGAUUUGGUUUAAUAAAACAAAUGGGCUGAUUGGUUUUUUUUAAAUAAAAAUCCGAUUUUUGCUUGGGCAGUAGGAGGUAUGGCCCGAGAAAUAACAUAGAACCGGCCCAGGGCUUAUUAUAUGGUUAAAUCUGACACAAAAAUUUGCAAUUAGAUCUCUAAGUUUUUAAGUAAUUUCACCAGGACCCUAAAACGUUUGAACUUCUUUCAAUUAGGUCCUUAAUUUAAUUAAAUUUUGGUCCCUAAACUUUAUCUUUUAUCCAAGUUUGACCCCUAUUUCUUAAAAAAUUUAAUUGAGCCCUAAAAAUUUUUAAAUUUUUACAAUUAAGUCCCUAAUCUUUAUUAUUUCUCAAUUACAAUUAUUUAUCUUCUUUAAAUUGUUAAUAAUACUUCAUUUAAAUGCAUUUAAUUAGUAAAUUUUAGGGAUUUUAUGUUUAUUCAUAUUUCUUUAAAAUAAUAGAGUGAAUUUGCUAUAUGUUUACAUUGUCUUUUAAUUAUUAAUUAAAUUGGUACUUUGACUAUUUUGUUGAUUUUGGAGUAUAAAUAGAGCAAAUUCUACAUCAUUUAACCACUAUUUCAAAGGAAGUACCUUCUAUUAUUAUUUUAAAUUCUUUUAUAUGCUCAUAUAUAUUUUUUUACGUGUGAUUGUAUGUUUUGAAUGCUUUUUCUUUCAUUUUUCAUGUUAUUCAUUUUAAAUUUUCAUUUAUUUUAUUUAAUUUUUAAUAAUUAUUUGGGAGGCAUUUGAAUGUCAAAUUGUAAUAGAUAGGUUUUUCCCUUUUGCUCCAAAAAAAUGUAUUUAGAUAGAUAAAUGUAAUAGAUAGAUUUAUUAUUUCCAAAAAUUCCUCUUCUAGAUUGUAGUUAGGACCCCCAAUAUAAUGGUUAGUUUUUAUUUACUUGCAUGCUUGUGUGUUUAUGUGUUUAUUUGCUUUCUUUAGGGUUUUGCAUAUAGAUAUUAUGCCUAUGUGCUCUUUAUGCUCUAUAUGCUUUAUGUGUUUAUUCUCUUUAAUUAUGUUUUAUAUGCUUUAUCUAUUUAUAAUAAAUUAUGUUUUAUAUGCUUUAUCUAUUUAUAAUAAAUGCAUGACGUCAUUGCAUUAGUCCAAUGCUAGUUGUGGUUUUCUCUCCGAUUUCUCACUAGUGCAACGCAAGUGAGGACUAGUAAAAAUGGGUUAGUCCAAUACUAAACCCUUUAAACUGUUUUUGCCCUAGAUGCAUACCUUGUAUGACAUUUAUUGCAUCUCAUGCAUCUUUUCCUAUUUUUAGGUUAUUUUAAAUUGCAUGAUAUUUUUUCAACUAUUAUUCUUUUAUCCUCUAUAUGUUUGGACCAUAUUAUUUAAAAUUGCAUUUCAUUCUAGAAAAUUAGAAGUAGGUUCGUCCAUUUGCUUGACUAGGUUAGGAGAGUCACCUUCGAAUAUAGGAAAUGGGCGAGUAUGACUUUUUAAACCUUAACAUGCUAUUACCUCUCUAUAAGAAGGAAAAUUGAGUUACGAAUUUUAGUUUCCUGUACCCGUUAUAUUGCAUUCUUUUCUUCUAGGUCAUGUAUAUUUAUAUUUUUCUUUUUUGAGUCUCAUCUUUUGCAUUUUUCAUGACCUCUUCAAAGAAUUAUUUUUGGACAUCACAAUUAAUAUGAUUGAUACCAAUUAAACUUUGAAGAAACAUUUUGACCCUCUCGAUAUCCUUUAGGUCUAGAUUUGCAUCAAUAUAGAAGCAUCCAAAUGUGAUAAAUUUUAUAGGUUAAAUUAGAAAAAUUUUUGACUAAAUCUUGCUAGCCUUGGCUAGGUUGAAAGGAUGCCUUAGAUCAAAAUUUUUGUCUUCCCUUUCUUCAACCGUGACUCACGAACUCUUUUAUUUAGUUUUCGAAGAUCCGGAGUCUUCUAAAAGGGUUUUAUUUACUUCUUUUAAUUUUUAAACAUUUUGGGUGACUUGGUAUACCUAAACUUGAUACCAAGUGGAGACUAUGCUUUUUCUAAAAAUCCUUUUUAGACAAUUAUUUUGGGUCCAAACCAUCUCAUUUUCUAUGUCUCAUUUUCUAUGUCUCAUUUUAGGUCCUUUUUCUUUAUUUUCUAAAAAUAAAAUGAACAAUGCAUUUUAGCAUCAUUUCUCUUUUAUUUUCAAAAAUGGGCGCGACACAUAAUUUUAGGUUCCUUUGUGUAAUAUUUUAUGUUUUUUCUCUUUAUUUGGGCAAAAAUUUACUUAUUAACUUGAUAUGUUGUUAUUUUUUAUUACAAAUUUAGAAUGACAUAGUGUUUUAUUGCUAAACAAAAUAUGGGAGAAAAAGUAAAUAAAAUUUAAUAAUGGACCGUGAAUGAGCAUGAAUAACCCAAACCCAUCUAAAACUAUAUUCAUUUAUGACUCGUCCAUUUUGAAUUAUUAACUAAGUAGUUAUAUAUCGGUUAGACCAAUUAUAACUUAAGUAGUUAUAGAUAGGUUAAUCCAAUUAUAACUUGCUUAAACCCACAUGAAUCAUCUCAAUUUGAUAGCUCUUCCUCAAGUUCUACCAUCCUUAAUCCUACGAUCCUAUAUUUUCCAUCCCUUUAAUUAUUUAGGAUUCGUUGCUUCAUUUUUCAAGUGGUUUCAAUCAAAUAAAAAGCUAGAUUGGUAAUCGAGAAAAGUUUAAAAAUUUGGGUGUAAGUUUGGUGAAAUACUAAAUUUUCAUGGAAAUAUUGCUAAGAUGCUGCCAAAAACAACCAUCUAAUUUUACCUUCAUUGAUUUAGAAUUCAUACAUAAAUUUUCUUUUAUAUGCACUUUUUGAUGUACAUGUGCUAUAUGAAAAAUCAUCUAUAUGCCUGCACAAUAGUAAUAUUAAAUUUAUUCUAAGUGCAAAUAAAAUGUCAUAAUUAUUAUUUACAUACUCAUAUUUAAUGUUAAAGUAUAAGUUUCAAUGUUAAAAACUUAAAAUUUUUUAAAAAACAAACUUACUAAACAAAGUCCAACAUAAAAAAAAUCUAAAACUUAGAAAAAAAAAACUUACUAAAGUGCCCGAAGCUGACUAAAUACAAAAAAAAAUGAUAACAAAACAAGUUUAAACCCACAAGAAAAUUGAUUUAGUUAUUAUGGGGUGAAUCAUUAAAGCAAGGGUAAUCUAAUAUAUUAUUAGAAGACUUAACAAAUGAUUAUUGCAUUUAGAAGGAAAGUGAUGAAGAUAUAAUUGGGUGAAUGACUUAAAAAUUGGACUAAUCACACUAUUCCUGAGAAUUUGACUUGGCAAAUAAAAAUUGAAGGAGUAAAAAGGGCUAAAGUGAUAAAGGGAUAAUAGGGUGAAUGAUUUUAAAAUGGGAAUAAUUAAUUAUCCCACAGAAUUUGACUUGACAAAUGUAUUUUCUUUAAUUAAGGAGUAAAAAGGGCUUAAAGUCUAAAUAGUAAACUAUAAAUGAUUUAUGAAACUUUUUUUUUUCCAAAAAUAUAAAUGAUUUAUGAAACACUCAAUUAAUUUGCCUAACAUGGAGAGUUAAUGGGAAAGUUUUAGAUUUUAAAUUUGAUUGGUGACAGAAUUAGUUAUAACCUCCUAUUUCAAAGUUUUUAAUUGGAUUUUAUAUAUUAAAAUAAUUAAACAAUCUAGAAAAAAAGAAUGAAUUUAUAGUUUGAUCAAGAUCUGGCCCAAUUAAUGGCAUAGUAGGUCUGUCCCAAUUGAUGGCAUAUUAGGCUUGACAUUGGAUCGUUAAUUGGAGCGCAGAUAUAUAUACGUAGUUGUAUAUCGCUUUGUUAAAACCCUAAACGCACUCUCCCAAUUCCCAAACCCCUCAGUUACCCGCACCAGAAAUGGCUUCCGCCGCCGCUCUCCCGGUAGUAACCGUUAUCCCUCUUGAGAAUGAAAUGGAGGCCGACGCCAACUCCCUCCCUCUGCCUAACGUCAUGAAAGCCCCAAUCCGCCCCGACAUCCUCCAAGACGUUCAUCGCGACAUUUCCAAGAACUCCUGCCAACCUUACGCCGUCUCUAGGUCCGCCGGUCACCAGACCUCCAUCGAGUCCUGGGGUACUGGUCGCGCUGUUUCCGGUAUCCCUCGUGUUCCUGGCGGCGGCAUUCACCGUGCCGGCCAGGGUGCCUAUGGCAACAUGUGCCGCGGCGGCCGCAUGUUCGCUCCGACCAAGAUCUAGCGCCGUUGGCACUGCAAGGUCCCAGUCAACAAGAAACGGUAUGCCGUGGUUUCUGCCAUCGCCGCCUCUGCUGUGCCUUCCCUUGUCAUGGCCCGCGGUCACCGUAUCGAGUCUGUCCCGCAAAUCCCCUGUGUGAUCUCCGAUUCUGCUGAGGCCGUGGAGAAAACCUCCAAUGCUAUCAGUCUUCUCAAGAAAAUUGGGGCUUACCCUGAUGCUGAGAAGGCUAAGGACAGCCAGGGCAUCCGCCCAGGAAAGGGCAAGAUGCGUAACCGCCGCUACAUAUCCAGGAAAGGUCCUCUGGUUGUGUACGGUACUGAGGGGGCCAAGCUCGUGAAGGCCUUCCGCAACAUUCCUGGAAUCGAGGUGGCCCACGUGGACCGUUUGAACUUGUUGAAGCUUGCCCCGGGAGGUCACGUUGGGAGGUUUAUUGUUUGGACGAAAUCAGCAUUUGAGAAAUUGGAUGAGAUUUACGGGUCAUUUGAUAAGCCUUCCUUGAAGAAGAAAGGGUAUGUUUUGCCCAGGGCUAAGAUGGUGAAUGGUGAUUUGGCCAGAAUUAUCAACUCUGACGAGGUGCAAUCUGUGGUGAGGCCAAUCAAGAAGGUGGUGAAGAGGGCACCAAUGAAGAAGAGCCCGCUAAAGAAUUUGAAUUGUCUGCUCAAGCUCAAUCCUUAUGCCAAGACUGCUAGGAGGAUGGCUCUCUUGGCUGAGAAACAGUGUAUUGAGGCUAAGAGGGAGAAGUUGGCCAAGAAGAGCAGUCCAAUGACGAAGGUAUAUGGUUUAUAUCAAUAUUAUUCCCUCUCCUUUCUAUGCAUGCUUGAUUCUGUUGGAAUAUUGAUGCUACUGUAGUUGAUGUAUUUAUCUGCACGUGUUGGCUCUAUAAACUGUUCUUAUCUCUUCAUAACUUAUCAGAAUUAAGGAAUUAAGGCUACUUCCUGCUGCCAUGCAACCUAUUUUAUUUUAGAUAAUUGAUAACAGUACAAGCAUUAAUUAUCGAGACACAUAAUGAUUUAGUUUGAAGAAUAAUUGUUCAAACAAAUUUUCUUUUCUUGUUUAACAAAAUCCAUCAGUAUAAACAGAAAAACUCAAGACAAAACACAAUGAGGUGGCACCGGUAUGUUUUGUGCUUCCUUUUGUUUCUAUUGGUUGUCUAGUCCACACUUUAGUUGGAUUUUCGGUCAUUGUUUAUGUAUUUGUGCUAUUGUUGGAUGAGCUUGUUUUUCCAUUUACAUUAUAGCUGCUGAUUUUUGUUUUUAUACAUAUGAAAUCGGGUGCAGAGUUGUGUGUUACAUCAUAUGGUAUUUGUUCUGAUAUUUUCUUGUCUAGUCUUGGUUGUUCUUGAUAGAUGCUUGUCCUAAAUAAGCAUGCUCGGUUGCAUUCUAAAUGAUAAUCUUAAGGUUUCAUUACAUGUCUGGCACUGCAGUUUUGUUUGACUAGCUUUUUCUGGAUGCUUAAACUGGCUUUAUGGGUUCUGGGUAAUGAUUGAUCACUCCUAGUAACUUUACAGGUUCGGUCUCUGGUUUAUUAAUUGAUGUUGAAACACUUGAUCUGAUGGAGCAUUAGGAAUUUCCUAUCUGGUUUGCAGCAACAGAUGGGUCUUACUUUUUUGUUUCUUUUUGUAAUCAUUGUGUAUAGUGUUGUCACUGGUUGAUAAUUCUUGUUUUCCUGUUGCGGAUGAUUGAUUUUACAUGAUAGUUGGAGGGGGGCCUAGUACUUAUUUUGAGAAUGAGUGGCCCCAGCUUUCUUGACUUGAUUAAUUUGGGUGUGAUUUAGUUCUAAUGUUGCAUAUUGAGCCCUCAUCCGUUUUACUUCUUUGUCACUUCUGACAGGAGGAGACGUCUGCUGUAAAAGCUGCUGGAAAGUCGUAGUACAAAACAAUGAUCUCUGAUAGCGAUUACGCUGAGUUCGAGAACUUCUCAAAGUGGUUGGGUGUUUCGCAGUAAUUGGUUCACUUUAAAAGUCAGUCUGUUUUGUUUCAAGUCGGCUACUUGGUAAUUUAAGACGUGCAAGAGCGUAGGUUGGAGUGAGUUAAGAGGAUUAAAUCAAUUUUCUGUUUGUAUACCAGUUGCAUGGAGUUUUUUCUCAGGGUACCGAGAAACCUUUUUGCAUUAAAGGAGAUCACCUGAACUUAAGGAGUUGAUAGCUUCUUGUUCUGAGAUAUUCAGCCAUCAACUCUAUUUUCUGGUGCUUGAUUAUAAAUGUGACAUGAUUUUAAACAUUCAGAGCAUGUGCAGGUUACACUGGAAGUUGUUCAACUUCUCUUAUUAUCUUGCCUGUCAUCUUUUUUAUUAGAUGCGGCCUUACCUUCAUAAUUCUGCUUCUCAUUAGGUACCGCUGUAGUUUUUUGGUAUCAUUUGCUAAAGAGGCCCCCGAGUUGUCCAAACAUAGCACGCCCUUUUUAUGUAGUGAAACGAAUGUGGAUCAAAAUCUUCCAACCUUUGGUAAAAUAAGAUGGUAAUAUUCUCUGAGUGACCGUGUUGGCUAGGAGGUGAGUGUGUGUGUGGAUAUGUCCUAUGAGUCCAUCCCAUCUAUCGGUUAAGGGUGAAACGCUAGGGGGCUUGUUCCUGGAAUUUAUGUCUCAACGGGCUCUUACUGGGCCCAACUUGAUUAUGAGUAGGUUAGUUCGUCCAUUAGGCUAGCCUGUUCUUCUAGAUAAUUUUGGUAUUUGCUUUUACAAGCAAGAAGUAGUGCAAAGUCACUUGUCAUCUAGGUCAGUUCGACUUUUGCGCUUACAAACUAAAAAGAAGAGGGAAAAAUGCUUCAUUGGAAUAGAAUUUUAUUUAAAAAAAAGAAAAAGAAACUAGGCAAUUUGCUCUGCUUUAUAGGACGUAUUGAGAUGGUCAGGUGAAAAUUAAAAGAAUUUUGUUGAAAAAAAAUUGAAGAGCAAUAGAAUUUUAUUCAAAAAAAGAAACAAAGCAAAAUUGCUCUGCGUCUGAAAAAAAUUAAGUGCAUGUUCAAAGGAAAAAUUAAGUGCAUGUUCAUGUUUUACCAUAGGUCGUGCUCUCGUUUGCAUUAAAUUUUGUAAAAUUUGAUUAUGGGAGGUGAUUGUAAAGAAUAAUUUGAGGCAUUGUUUGGAUUGAAGUGUUUUUUAUAGGUAGGUUUUUAUAGACAAUGCUAUAAUAUCACACUCCAAAAACACCACAAGAAACACCCUAAUCUAUACAAUUUCCAAUACAACUUAAAAAAAAAAUCCUACUACUUUUUCUUCUUCCUCCUACCACCACUCCCUCCUUCCUUCAUUGUCAUUGCCAUUGGCCCUCCACCCCUUCCUCCUCUCUCCUUCCCUGUCCCCUAGACCCCUCAAGGUCACGGCUGCUGCAACCAAAUGGGAAAAGAGGUCUAGAGAAUGAGGGGAGGUGAUGUGGUGGUGGUGGUGGUGGUGAAUGGCGGUGAUGGUGGGCAACGAGUGGUGAUAUGUGGUGGGUUGGGAAAAAUUUUAAAAAUAUCUCAACAAAAUAUUAAAUUUUAAAAACACCUUGAAAUAAAUCUAUGAUGAUAAGAUUUUCAUAAACAAUGCUGCAGUGUAAUAUAAAAACAUUCUCAUAAAUAACUAAUCCAUACAGAAUCUGAAUUACCAAAGUCUAGUUUUUUUGAUUUAUUAUAAAUUUAAGAUUUUAUGACUAAUACAAAUCCUAUAAUCUGAAUGAAAAAACAAACAAGAACAUCACAGAAAAAUUGAUUAUUCAAGAUCGGAAUUUAUAGUGUAGGGUAGUAAACUAGUUUUGCGCAUUAUAGUUGCCAAAUUCUUUCUUGUUUUGCUGUCUUGAAAUUGUUGAUGUUGAGUCCCCAUAGGGAUUAUGUCAGUUGAAGAAGAUAAGUGGCACUCUGUUAGCCCCUUAGGGCGCGGUCCAGACGGAACGCGCGCGGCCGUAGCCAAUUUCGGCUAGCCAUGGCCUAGGUGGGAAGGCCGAAGGUGAAGCUUGUUGGAAACGAGUGGACAAGUGUUUGAUGAUGUUUUCCUAGCCUAUGUAUGAGUUGGGGAAAGUUUUAGAGGCAUCAGAUGCCUCUAAGUUAGUUGGGGAAAAAGAGGUGCCUCUACUAACGGUUGUAAGUUUUCCUCUAAGACAUAUAUAUAGAGGGAUAACUGUGACUAAGCCAAGUCAAGGCCAAGAGCUAGGGGCCAAGGCCACGGAAUGACUAUGGCUUGGUGGGAUGUUUCGGGUGGUUCUAAGUGCUAGGAACCACAGUGCCUAAGAUUGCUAAGUGUUGAGGCAAGUUGGGCGCGGAACGUUGCCGAUGGCGGGAAACGGGGUGCCCGGAAUUGUGCGGCGGUUGCCUGUGCGUGCCAAAGAUGAACGUUGGGCAGUUGCUGACCGUUGCUGGCAGUUGCUGGGAGUUACUGACGGUUACCAACCAACUCAGCCUUGUUCUUAGCAGGUUCCUGACUUUGUGGACGUUCAGAUAAGACCAGCGGUUGGGUCUCUUGUCAACCGUAAAUGUGCCUAUAAAUAACCGGCUAGGCAGAGACUAAAGGGUAGAGAGUCUCAGAUAUUGAGAAUCACCCUUAGACGUUCUACACGCCAGGUGUUUGUAGAAAUUCCUUAUAAUCGUUAUUGUGAAAUACAAGGUUGGCCGUGUUGGCUGUAACUUGUGCGUGUGUUCCUUUAUUUUGCUUAAGUGUUCUACGUUCUGAAUACUUGUGUGCAAGUGAGAUUGUGUAGGCUGACUGGUAGUGCGGCUUACCAGUGCCAUCACGUGUGUGUUAGGCUAGUGAGAGUAAACACCUCGUGACACACUCCAUGUUGCGAUUUGUUUCGAUUCUUAGACUGCUACUUAGUAAUGCCUACCAAUUGGGUAGAGUGAAAUAUUGAGAAAUAAAACUUCAUUUUGCCACUGUGAGGUUUUGUUUGUGUUUUUUAAUUCCUUUGUUUUUUUGUUUCCUACAAGAACAAGAUGGAGAUGGAGAAGGAGGAAAGCCAAAUGAUGACGAAGAAAGCAAAGUUAGUUACUGGUAUCGAUCAUCAAAUUGUGGAGCACCAAGGUGAGAAGUCAUUGACGAACACAAGUAUCCAUUUUGUUCUUAGGGAUAUCUCAGGACUUUUUUCAAUUGUUUUAUUGGUAUCAAAUCGACUUGAGCAGUAGUGAUGGUAGUGAUGUCUCUGGUUUUCAGAAAUUGGAGCAUCUAAAAAGUUUUGAAGUUUCUUUUGGUUCACGAGGAAACCUAGUUUAGGGUUUAGGAGAAGCAACGGAUUAGGGAUAGUUUCAGACUACCCAUUCAUACCUUUUUCCUAUCAUGAUACCUCUAAUCUGGCAAAGGGGUGGCCUCAAGGUCCUUUGUUCUUAGCCAAAUAUUAUACUUGUCAUCAAGUAAUCAAAGGUAUAAUUUAUGUCUAUGGAGGAAAUUUGGCUCAUCUCUAUCCCUAGUUCGGCGAUGGGUAAGCCUUUCUGAGCAUAUAGAUUAUCUCUAAACUCAACCCUCAGUUAUUGCAAAUCUACUUAUUUUGGUAGAAAAGUUUGAUCCUCAACACCAUGUGUUAUAGGUUGGCAUUGAUCUAUGGCCAACUCAUGUAAAUGUUAAUUUGGUAUUAGCUGGGCACCAGGAUAGCUAGCGGGAAGUAGAAUAUCGUUAGUGCACCUGGGCGUUGAUGUGCAAACAAGUGGACCAGUGGAGAGCAAUACAACUUAUCAUGCUACAAGCAAAAGAUGCAUGCAAUCAUAGAAAGCAUCCUAACUUGAGAUGCGAGAGAGUUCCUUGUUAAAAAUGCAGAUGGUUUUAAGGUUGUUUGGAUCAGAAACAACAAUGACAACUCCUGGCCACCAAGACUACACAAUUGUGCAUGGUAGGUGCAUGUAUAGGCACGCCCAGAGCUCAACUGUCUAAUGGUCUUGAUAUUGAAUGAAACGGUUGGCAAAAAUAUAUGAAGUUCAACACUACUGAUUGAGCUUGAUUUGGAGUCUGAAGCAGAGAAUUAUGAUCAUUGCAUCUGCUAGGGAAAGAGGUGCUCUUCCUGCUAGUUGGAUAUUUUUCUUGUUGGGCAAAGUGAAGGAGGGCAAGCAAAUAGUGUGCGAGCUAGUAGCUUUCCCUGCACGUCUUAGGCAACUGGGAGUACUAGGUGAGCAGGGAAAAUCCUGGGAGCUGGCUUUGGUAUGCUUAAAGGAGUACUAGAGUCUUUGUUGAGGAAAGAGAACAUCAUAAACGGCAUUUUGCCUACAUGCUUGUGUUGGGCAUUAGGUCGGGUAGAGGUUAUAUAUUGUGUGUCUGUUAUGCCCUAUGAUCUAACUUUUACAAAUCGAGAGACCUUUAUAUCCCUAUGGAUUCAAACCUUAGACUAUGGGAGUCCUUGACUAAGAGUGUGCAGUAGGAGUCAUGUUGUAUAAUUACUGAGAUUGGAUAAACGGUGCACGUUCGUGCUGCUAUGGUAUGCUCAAGGCCUUAACCAAGAGCUAUGCAUGUUGUGGCAUAGAUCAUAUAGUGAUGACUAUCAAAUAAGUCUCGGACUAAAUGUGCCCCAACUCGAGUCGAGCACUAAGGACAGUGUUCUAGGCGAUCCUUGUUGAUAGGACUUAUGAACGAAUGCAAAGGCACAAAGAUUGUUCGAUGGGCACAGAAAUGUGACCGAGGUUUGACCAAGUAGUUUCAAGUGUUAAUCGUGUAUGCUAACCAAGGGAAAGGUGUCUUCAAGACAAGUUUAACAAUGGAUGAGCACGCUAAGUGCUAUGAAGCCUUCUUAGGGGCUUUGUGUUGGAGAUCCAAGUUCUUAACCUUGGGGAGAGCCUCUUUCACGAGCGAGUUCUAUGCACGUAAGAGCUAAUGCUGUGAAGCAUCAAGGAGUUAACAUUAGUGUUUAGUGAUGCUAAGAGAUGUUCAGCGAAUACUUGGAAGGGGGUGAAGUGGGUUGCCCUUUAAUUGGCAUAACUAAAGGCACUGUACGGUACAAAAGUUCUACAAAUGUGCGAAAAAUUAUAUCUGAAAAUUAGACACGUGACACUACAUCCUGGUUAUUGUAUUGAAUGUCAUAUAUAGUCCUCUAGAUUGCAAAAUUUUCUAGAGAUAUUAGGGAUGAGAAACUCAAGGAUGUGGGUUUCUAGUUGGAUUAAGUAUUUUCAUUUUAAUGAAUAAAGGAUUUGCUUAAAAAACUUUCCAAAAUUAGGUUUUUAAAGCAUAGACAUCCCUUUUGCAUUGACGUUUCUAUGUCUAGUCAAAAAUAUUUAGAUUGAGUAGUAAGAACCGUAUAUGGAGUUCUUUUUGAGAGAUUUUCUUUCCAUAUUCUUCUUUGAAAUUUUCAUAGCAUUUAAAAGUUUAUUUCCUAAAAAUUAAUUUGCAGUUCCUUGAUUUAGGAUGGCACACUAGAUUGUUCUGUUACUUUUGAGUACUUAUCUUAAAAGAUUUGAAUUUUCUUAAUCAUUGGAAGCUAUUGAUGUUUGGGCUCAAUAAUAUGAACUAAUAACUAAUUCAUCACUGUGUCAGUCAAGAUGUUAUAUGUUGGUUGCAUCCUUUUGUAGCACCUGAAACUUUUUACUUGCUUGCUAUUCAAGAACCAACUAUUUGUUUAUAGCUGUUAUAGGUUUAGGAAGAUAUGCAAUACCAAUUGUCCAAUAAUGAAUUAUUAGUGCACAGUUUUAUUUUGAAGGUUCCCUUGUUGUAUGGUCACGAACAUCUCUAGGUGUGAUGCAUCUAUUUUAGAUAUAGUCGGUACUGAGAAAUUUUAUGUUGAUCCAUACUAACUAUUAGACAUGCUUAGUAAUUGGUCCAGAACCAACAUGAGAGUUUUAUGUCAGCAUAUAAAGAUUCCACCUACCAAUUUAUAUAUCAAUUGGGGUACAUUUGCAUGUGAACAUGUGAGAGAGAGAGAGAGAGAUUCUAAAAUUCUAUUAAAUUAUUUUAAUUUAAGUCCAUAUCAUUAUUUUAUUGAUCCCUUUUAAAGAAGUAAGAUAAAAAAAAAAAAAAGAAGUAAGAUCCAAUGAAUCGAAAAUAAUUAAUUAAUAAAUGAAGAAUUACAAAAAUCUUUAUGAGGUAAGAUCCAAUCGAUACUUGUUAUCCCUAUUUCUUAUUAUCAUUAUGAGUUUGGAAGUGCACCAAAGAUUUCUCAGGUGUUAAUUUUUGGUAGUUUAAAUGUACAAUAAAUAUUGAUAUAUAUGUUCAUAUGAAAAGUAUCUAAGAGCAUUAAAAACCAUUGCUUUUCCAAGUUUGCAAAAUCCUGAAAUAUACAGAAGAUCCUAAUCAAUAUUCCAAGUUCUCACGCAAUUAUAGUAGUGGAUGUUAUGAAUUUUAUGUAUGAAACUUGAGAUCUAGAUUCACCUUCAAAUUUUUUGAAAAAGAUAAUAAAAAUUGCUCCUCUAAUUUGCAAGUGGAGAAAACAAAAUAAAUUGAGCAAACCAAACAAGUUCUAAGAUAUCUAUUAAAAAUACUAACAAGAGUAACAAUCUAAUAUUUUUCACAUACUAAUAAAAAGAAUUUUUUCCAAAGAGGUGAAAUAAGGACAAACUCAAAAAAUAAAAAUGUACUACAGUUUAUAAAUUAUAGCUUUUUAGUUGACAAAUUUAUUAAUAUAAAUUUGUAUUUGAAGUUUAUCUAUGAGCUCACCUUACAAUUAUGAGUACACAUGCAUGCAUAAUAUUUGGCACACAAAAAUAUACUUUCUUAAUAAUUAUUUUGGUUUGAAUUACACCAUGAUUGUUAAAAUAUUGAUUAAAAUCUUGAUGGUUAAUAAUGAGUGAUAAAAAAAAAGAAAAACACAAAAAUCUUCACUUGAUACUUCCCAAUUCUCUGUAGACUAACAAGAAUAUGUAUAGUUAUUAGACAUUAAUGUGCACUACGAUAAGUUAAAAGUACUUCUUUUUUGCUAAAAAAGAUAUAACGAAAAACUUGCAAGACCCAAUACAUGUAUUUUUUGUCAACAAUUUAUAUGGUGAAUAUGCAUCUUGUCAUAACCAUAACCCUAACAGAGUAACCAAUAUGGAAUAUGGAACAGUGACAAUUAUGACUAGAAUAUUAUACCAUGCUAUUAAUAUAGUGGGUCCGUAUAACAAUUGAAAAAUGAGUGGGUCUGUAUUCAAAUGUAUUGCAAUUUGAAUACAUAAAUUAGGUGCAUUACAACAAUAGCCCCAUUUUUUUUUAACUCAAAGGAUACUCUAUGCAACAAUGAUAUCAAUGCCCUUAAGGCCUUAACCUCAAUACAUAAUUUACUUUUAAAAUUUUGUUAAUCAUUUUUAAAUCAAGAAAGCAUAAUCAUGUUGGUCCAAAAGUUCAGAACUAUUACUCAAAAAACAAAAUGUUCCACCAAACUAAACAACAUGAUUUGGUUGAAAUAAAAACUAAAAAUAUUCAAAUGUCCUCAAGAAAAUAUCAUGUAAUUAUUGAUAAUGCUAAAAUAAAAAUAGAACCAAUAAUGACUGUAGUGGUUAACACAUAUUGACAAACUUUUUAUCACAAUAUAAUUGACAAACCCACUAUGAGUAACAAUCACAAAAGCAAGUGUUCAAAACAAAUCAUUGACAAACUUUUUGCUUAAAAAAUCUAUUUACAAUAUAAUGUAAAAUAAAAUUGAUAUAGAAAGGGCUAAAUCCUAAUUAAUUACCUUUAUACUUAAUCAUCACAAAUAAUUAAACAAAAUAAGGUUAUAUUGAAAUAAGACAAAAAGAAAAGCAACAGGUAUUAUAAAAGUUGUAUGGAUCUAUGAUUUAUCGCCAGGUAGUAAACAAAAUAAAUAAACUCUAAAUUUUAAGUUGCACUAAACUAAAAGUUUAAAUACAUGAGAUUAAUCUUAAAUUUUUUAGGAAUUGAUACUAGAAUUGUAUAAAUUUUAAAGUUCAAAAAUAUGAGAUCAGAUUGGGACUCGUUUAAUACUUGUCUAAAAAGUGCAUAGCAUGUAUCACAUUUUUUAUUUAUCUGUAAAGAAAAUUUAUUUGAAAGUUGUAUCUCUCAGAGAAAACUACAUCAUUCAAAAAGUCUUGCUUAGGACAAAUCAUGAGGUUCUCAAGCGGAAUGACAUUUAUCCAACAUUUUCCUUUGCAAAUCAUUUUUUCUUCAGAAAUCAUGUAUUCCAAGAUGUUGUCUUCAUCCUUCAAUAAAAAUUAAUUCCCUCAUAAAACCUUUGCGAACAAAUAUGAAUCUGUUUUUUUCGUCUAUGUUUAUGUUUGAACACGAAGAAUUCAGUAUCCUUCAACUUCAAGCAAAUGUGCACAAAUGUACCAUACAAAAUUGAAAGGUCUCCUCAAUAUCAUUCACUAUAUUAACUAUUCUAACAUUAUUACCAAUCAAGGCAAUUUAUGACAUUGGCCUCUUCCUCUAUAGAGUUAUUGACAUUGGCCUUUUCCUCUAUAGAGCAUGUAAUAGCCCAUAUGAAUCCUUAUAAGUUUUUAUCAUUUUAGGGUUAUUCUUUUCUUAACAUUUUCAAAUCUAGUAGAAGUAUCCAAAUUUCACCAAUACUAAAUAAAAGAACUAUCAAUGUUUCCAAAUCAAUUGAAGUAUAAAAAAGACACAAGCAUAUCAAAUCAAAACAAAUCCAACAAAAUCAUCCAAAUCCUAUAGAAGUAUUAAAAUUUUACAAGAAUAUCAAAUCUACUGUAUCCCAAGAAUUUCAAGGAAGACAUCGGAUCAUAGACCACACCCGCUUUUUCAAAAACUCUUGAUGGAUCAUGAUGUGACAUUCUUAGCCUAUCUACUUCACUAUGUAGAACAUAAUAACUCUCUCCUUGCUCUAGAGAGACAGCGAUCUUAUUAGUCAACUACAAUAGUUUGUGGACCCGUACAAAAGAAUCAUACAAAAUAUAAGAAAUGCAUAAUCUACCUUGUCCAUACUCAAAAGGCUUUUCAUUCGGUCCAACUAAAUUCUAUUUUUUGAACCUACAUUGUUUUUAUUGUGCAGCAGUAAUAUUUUCAGUAAUGUAAAUCUCAAAAAUUAGUUUCCAUUCUUUGAUAGUUUAUUAUCCCCAUUAUUGAAUGUAUGAGUCCGUUUUAAAAUUAUAUGGUCCACGAACUCUUAUUUCCCGUUUUAGAAUAUAGCAGAACCACCAAUAUGACAUUUCUUCUUUGUUGAACUGGGAUCUACCUCCAUAUUUUAAGAGAUGUCAUACUGAAAAGACUCAUACUUCUCUAGAAGAGUAGACACAGGAAUGCUAAGCAUUUUUUUUAAAUGAUAAAGUCUACAAUGAAAAGAAGAUUCUUCUUCCACCAACGAUGGACAAAAGACAAAGCAUCUGAUGCUGUAAUCAAAAGAGCUUGGGGAUGGAACAACAUGGAUCUAAAAUGUUUAGAGUGGUGACAAGAAUAAAGGAUUGUAGAAUAGCAUUGAUUGAAUGGAACAGGAAAGUUAAAGGCAAUGCAAAGGCAAAGAUCUAGGAGUUAAAAGAGCAACUGAAGGCAACACGACAGGAAGGUGAUCUUUGUAACAAAGAAGUCAUUGCAUCCUUGAAAUUACAAUUAAGCAAAGCGUAUAAGGAAGAAGAGCUAUACUGGAGCCAAAAAUCAAGAAGUAGGUAGCUCAAAGAGGAGGACAAAAAUAUAGGUUUUUUCAUCUAAGUGUCAUGGCAAAAAGGAAGAGGAACAAGAUCAGCAUGCUACAAAAGACAAAUGGGGAAUGGUGUAGGAGUGAACAGGAAAUUGAAGAUGAAUUAUGUAAGCACUAUAAGGAGCUUUUCACCUCUACUGAUCCUAAAGAAUUUGAUGAUGUGCUGCAAGGAAUACCUCGCAUUAUUUCCACUCUGAUGAAUGCACAGUUGAUUAAACCAGUGGACGAAAUGGAGAUCAAACAAGCCAUUUUCUCAAUGUUUCCUAACAAAGCUCCUGGAAUUAAUGGUAUGUCCCCUUUGUUUUUCCAAACAUACUGGAAUAUUAUUAAAGUUGAGAUUGUAAAUGCCAUUACCAGCUUUUUUCAUACUGGUAAUCUUCUUAAAUCUAUCAAUGAGACCAUCAUCUCCCUAAUCCCAAAGGUUGAUAAUCCUGUGAUGCUGAUUAAUUUCAGACCUAUUAGCUUAUGUACAGUGUUGUAUAAAACCAUUUCGAAGAUUUUGGCUAAUAGACUGAAAAAAGUUCUUAAGCACUGCAUUAGCCCCUCUCAAUCUACUUUUGUUCCAGGGAGACAAAUUCUAGACAAUGUUAUCAUUGCACAUGAAAUUUUGCAUUUCCUGAAAAGUAGGAGAACUGGUAAAGUAGGCUUCAUGACCCUUAAGCUUGAUAUGUCUAAAGUUUAUGAUAGAGUGGAGUGGAAAUUUCUAGGAAGAAUUAUGAUGCGCAUGGGUUUAUGUCCUUGUUCAAUGGAUCAUGGCUUGCAUUUCCACAGUUUCUUAUUCUUUUAACCUGAAUGGACAAAAGGUGGGAUUUAUAAAGCCUUCCAGAGGAAUCUGACAAGGAGAUCCCUUAUCUCCAUACUUGUUCAUUAUUUGUACUGAAGGGCUUUCUAAUUUACUCAAGAAAGCUGUGGAAGGAAAGCAAUUAACUGGCAUCAAAAUUUGCAAAGACAGCCCCAUGGUCUCUUAUUUGUUUUUUGCAGAUGACUCCCUCUUAUGCUGCAAAGCAAGUAAACAGGAAGUUCAGAAGAUAAAGGAGAUCAUUCAGCAAUAUGGCCAAGCCACUGGACAAGUAGUUAAUUUUGAUAAAUCUAUCAUGUUUUUUACUAGAAAUACUCCCAACCUGUUAAGAGAGGAGAUAAGUGAGGUGUUGGACAACAUGAGAGAGGCUCACAGUGAAAAAUAUCUAGGCCUACCUAUGACCAUAGGGAGAGCCAAGAAUCAGGCUUUUGGGUAUCUGAAAAAGUAAAAUUAAUAGCAAACUACGAGGUUGGAAGCAGAAGAUGCUUAGUCAAGUGGGUAAAGAGGUUCUGAUCAAAUCAGUCAUCAUGGCCAUGCCUAUAUACAUCAUGUCUUGCUUUAAACUUCCUAAAGGGUUGUGUCAGGGCAUUAGUGCUAGGAUUGCAAGAUUCUGGUGGAGGAGUGGGGAAACAGAAAAUAAAGUGCACUGGGUAAGAUGGAGUAAGCUUUUUCAGAUGUAAAAGGGAAAGGGGGUUUGGGCUUUAGAGAUCUGGAAGCUUUCAACUUAGCUUUGUUUACCAAACAAAUUUGGAGAGUUGUUACCAAUCCAAAUUUGUUAGUAAGCAAAGUACAUGAAACAGGAAGACUGGUUUCGACAACAGCCUCCUAACAUAGCAUCUUGGUGCUGGAAAAGCAUGCACAAAAGGGGAGAACUACUUCAACAGAAUCUAUGGAAGAGAGUGGGAGAUGGAAGGGCAGUGAAGACUUGGCAAGAUAGGUGGAUACCUGGUUCGGUCAAUGGAAGAGCAUCAACUGCAAGACCAGCAGGCUGCCAGCGAGAGUAUGUCCAUGAAUUAAUAGAGGGAGGAAAGUGGAAGACAAAUGACUUGCAGUGUUGGUUUAAUGUAAAUGAUGUGGAAAACAUAACUAGCAUCCCCUUAGCUUAUAUGGAAGAAAAGAUAGACUGUUCUGGACUCAUAGUAAAUCUGGGGUAUACACAGUGAAGACAGGAUAUGCUAUUGCAAAGGGGGAAGAAGACACCAGGAAUCGAAUGUUAGCACUUGGCUCAGAAACUAGCUGGGAAGUCAGGAAACAUACGGUGUGGAAAAAAUUGCGGAGCUUAAACAUUAAGAUGAAGUUGAAACACUUCUUAUGGAGGUGCCUACAAAAUGGAUUGCCUGCUAAUGAAGCACUCCAUAGGAGAAUUGGGAAGGGAAGCAACCUAUGCAAGUGUUGUGGGGAGGAUACUGAAACCAUAGAGCACAUUUUCUUCUUUUGUCCAAAAGCUCAAGUGGUAUGGAAGUUAGCUCCAGUGAGGUGGGAGGGGAUAGCUGAGCUGCAAUGCAACAUGUGGAGAUGGUGGGAUGCUGUGAUGCAAUCAGUUAGGGAGGCGCAAGGAAUAGACAGAAUCAAGCUCACGGUGAACAUAUUAUGGUAAAUCUUGAAAGCUAGAAACAAGAUGACAUUCUAGACUGAGAACGUGGAUGCAAAACUAAUAGUAGACAAAGCUCGGCAGGAAUGGAUCGAAUAUGAAGCUGCGAAUGAAACGAACACAUGAAUAGAUACAUCAACAGAAGUGGAAACACAGAUGCAACAGAGAUAGGAGCCAUCGAAGGAGGGAGUAAUUAAAACCAACACAGAUGCAGCAAUCUCAGCUAAAAUGGUAAGGACAGGCCUGGGAAUUAUUGCUAGGAACUGGCGUGGAGAGUUCGUGAAAGCUAAAGGAAUCACUGCGAGGAGGAAAGGGGAAGCAGCCACAGAGGAAACGUUAGCUAUAAGAGGAGCACUGGAAAUGGCUAAAGUUGCAGGAUGGAUUAACAUAGAGGUCCAAUCUAACUGCAAAAAUAUUGUGAGCCUAAUUAACACAGGCAAUGUUCAGGAUUGUAGAUUACAAACAAUCCUGGAAGACAUUGAGGACCUACAGAAGAGCUUUGAAUGUUGCCUUUUCUCUUUUGUUCCCAGAACUGCUAAUGGUUGCAGCCAUGCGAUGGCUCAAUUUGCAGUCAAGUUACUUAGGAAUAGUGAAUGGAAAGGUUCAUUCCCAACAUGGCUAUCAGAUUUAGCUAGAAAAGAUAUGAGGGUAGUUACUCCUUUUUGUAAUUAGCUCUUGUACUAUCAAGUGUUAAUAUCUAUAAAAAUGUUAUCUUUUGUCAAAAAAAAAAUUCCUCAAAAUUUCAUCAUACAAACAUUAAACACAUAGCAAUGAAGAUCACAAAAGCGCCUAGAAAUUCAUCAUGAAUAUCCAAAAAUUUCAAAACAAAUAAAUUGACGAGUAUGCAAACACCUAGAAGAAGUAUAUGACUCCAAAAGCAAAAAUUUAAUGAGAUUUGCAUUUUAAGUGACCAUUUCAUAAAUAGCACAUCAGGACAAGUUUCCAUAAUCAAAGCAGAGUAUUGGACAACUUAAUCUAGCACAUUAUGAAGUUAGUUCAAGAAUAAUGGAAUCAAUCGUGGCAAGCGUCAAUCUACAGAAAGGUAAACUUACACAUUAAACAGUUUACACUAUCCAGUUUUACCCUGUGCAAUUGAAUGGUUUAGAACCAGGGAAAUUAAGAAUCAUUGAUAAUAUGAGAUCAGAAAUAAAGGUCCAAGAAGAGAAAGCAUUGAUGUGUCCUCUACCACCUUUACACUACUUCCACUGCACCACUGGAGCACAAGAAAUGAACGUAAAAGCUCACAGCCAAACCCAGCCAUAGAAAAGUAAGCACUUUAUUAAGCAAUGUGGUAUGACAAGUUCACAAUGACGGAAGAUUACACAUAAAAAGUAGUUAUUAAUAUAGGAAAAGAACAGAGAAUGCUGAAAAAGUCAAGGUGUCACUUUGCAACAAAAAGCUCAAAGAAAUUACAGCUAUGACAUUCAACUUUUGAAUACACACUGGGUUUUCAUGUAUAAAACACAAAAAUGGAAGAGUAUAUCAACCAACAAAUUGAUUUUAGGGAUAAUUUCAUAUGCCUCCCCUGAGGUUUCUGACAGUCUCACUCUCCUCCCUUGUAGUUUCAAAAAUAUCACAAACCUCUCCUGUCAGAAUUUAGGUCCCAUUCCUUACAUCAUUAUGGCCAAAAAGACUUAAAUACCUUCACAAGUCAGCUAAUAUUUCGUGAUUAUCAGGACAAAUACAUUCCAACUCACGUAAUUAUUUUUUUCUACGCUAUAUCUAAUCUCUCUUUUAUAUGUAUAUAUAAUCAAAUAACUAAUACCUAAUAUGAUGUACAUUUUUUUAACACCUAACCAUUCCAAAUUUAUGCGUACCAUUACAUUACUUUUUAUAGAUAUACAGAGUCAAAUAACUAACAUCUAACAUAAUGUCUAUAUUGGUAAACUGAUUGUACCUCAUAGAUCACCCCGUGUAAGGUGUUUAUAGGCAAAUUAGUAUUAGUCAUAUAGAUAAAAUUACAUACCCACUGUAGCUUGUAAGGAGAUGCACAAGUGGGUCAAAGCACCAAUAACCAUUCCAAAUGUAUACAUACCAUUGCACUAUGCAUAUUGCUGCGAUGACUAAUUGCAAUAUGCAUGUGUCAAAUAACUGCAUGUUCAACAAUUUCUAUGCAUCGUACUUGAUCAAUAACACGGUGUACAUUAUUUUAAUCAGAUUGUAUAUUCACUAAGUAUUUAAAUACAUACUACUUAUUGAAGUAAACUAUCUCUCUACUAAAUAUUUAAUGCACUCUCAUAAGCACUAAUGAUUGAUUUAGCAUGCAAUUGGGACAAAUAACCAUCUAGUAAAAGCUUUUGAUAUAAUAUUAUUGAUGAACAACAUAUUGUAUCUGAAAUUAUCCCUUUUUUCUAAUUUAUUUUUGAUUUUUAUUAGUUUUUAUUAUUUCACUAAUAUAACUUGUACACUUAUCUCAGGGGCAUUUAUGGAAACAAAAUUUCCUCUCUUUCUUGAAAACACUUUUUUAUGUUCACUUUUGACAUCAUGGACUUAUUUUGUUACAAAAUCCUAAAUUUCAAGGGAGGUUUGUGAUAUUUUUGAAACUACAGGGGAGGAGAGUGAGACUAUCAGAAACCUCAGGGGAGGUUUCUGAAAUUAUCCCUUGAUUUUAUUCACAUUCCUGCUUCCUCGUUACCAUAAGUGUCAAAAUUUAUGCUUACUAGCACCAAUAAAGUACGUUUAAGUUGCUCAUUUUUGCCCAAUGAAGGAUUUUGAGGACAACACAAUACUUGUGAUGUUAAACAAGAGAAAUAAUACUUAGCCAGGUAUCCACGGAUCAGAUUGCGCCACGGAUCCAUUUGAUCUUAGUUAAACAUAGAGGUGUAAAAAUGGGUAACUUGGGCGGGUUUGGGUUGGAUAAAAUGGGUAAUCGGUAUAAGUGAGUCAACUCAUUUAUACCCAUUUAAUUAGAUGGGUAUAAAUGGGUAAGUCAAAAAAUGAAUUGGGUAACCCAAUUACCCAUUUAUAACCCAUUUAUUUUAAUUUUUUGUAAACUCAUUUAAAUUCAUUUUUGCAAACUAAGUUAUCAAUUUAUACCACUUUUUGUACCGAUCAUUAGUUUUAAAUAUUUACUUAUAAUGUUCAAUAAACUUAAUUACCAAUUUUUUUUCAUUUAUACUCUAUGUCACAAAAUUACCUAUUAUUUAAUAAUUGAAUAAUAAGAUUAUAAAAUUUUGAACUAAGUACUAUAAAAAUUAAUAUAAAAACUUAAUCCAAAAAUUUUGAACCCCUAACAUUUUUUUCAUAUAUAAAUUUAAAAUUUCAUUUUAUAAAGAUAAGAAAAUAGGCUAAAAUUUAUCAUAAAUUGGUAAUGCUAAAAAUGAGCAAGUUAACAAACUAAGAGAAAAUAAAAUAAUAAAAUAAAACCAACAAAUAAUAAUAAUAAUAAUGAAACAAAAGUAGUUAACAUCAUAACAAAAUGAAAAAUUUGAAAAAAAAAGGUGGGGGAAAAGAAGAGACAUGGGCGGGUAGGAAAAAUUUAAUUAAGUGAGUUGAUUUGCCACCUCUAGUUAAACACAAGGAAGGACUUAAAGCUCUCAUUGAGAUCAAAUUUCUUGACUUGCAUUCUUAUCCCGAUUUCCUGAUAGUUUCAUAAACGGGUGCAUAAGUAUUUGUUUGAUCUGGUAACGGUUCAAUCUCCUUAGAGUUUUCAUUUACCUUUUUGGAUUCGUCCGUUCCCUGUAUGUAGAAUAGGAAUUAUUGUGUGGACAGACAAAAAAGACAAACUAUGUAACAUGUUAGAAUUGUGACAAUUGACGGGUUGCAAUCUGCAACAAUGUCACCACUAUCUGUUCGGAUGGGUAGAGUUGAAAAAUCUACAAGCUUAUCUGUAAUUUAUUCAUAUAUACUCCUGAUAAGGCCAGUCGCAAGAAUUAUCAGUUUUCCUGUAUGAGAACAGUCUAUAAAAUUUUGAAAAAAUGGAAAAAAAAAACUUACGGCACGUUUUUGGAUCUUUUUCAAUGUACGAUCACAAUGGAAUGUGGCACAAUAAAAUAUCCCAUAACUGGCAAGGUCUUGGAAUUGAGUCACGAGACUACUUACCAAAUUUGUGAAUUGAAUUGAAGUGGUGUGAAUUAUACUAUAAUAAGUAGCGGUUCAAAUUGUACGGCAUCAAACUUCAAGAUAAUCUUUUUUAUUUUUGUGGAAAAGAUUUGCAACCAUAUCAUCGAAAUCAGUUGAAUGUCAAUUCCAGUGAACGUAUGGCUAGAACAUUUGCCCAUCUUGCUGAAUAAAUAUCUGCAAAAGCACUAGAGAAUGUGUGAUACGAACUGCAUUCUAUCUCACAAGCAACUUGUAAUACGCAGAUCCAAGGGCCUAGAAGUUUGUAUCAAAAUUUGAAGCGGAAGACCUCAAUCCGUUAAUCACAUGGUCAACAAAUCUCGGUACGUUAGUAGACGUCACAAUCGAACGCGUUCUUCAAUUGAUAAGUCGCGAACACUCAAAGAAAUUUGUCUAAGAUGUUCAAAGAGCUUUCGUCGAAAGCCAAGAGAGAACUCUCGUUAUUAUUUUUAUAAAUUCUGAUUCUUACUAAAAAAUGUCAUCGUUAGGCUAUUAAUAGCCGUACAAGACACAAGACUAAAUAAUGACUUUCCCAAACCAAAUAGGACACCCUAAUUCGGCUAUAAUUAGCAAAUUACGAUAGCCAAAUAAAACUAUUAUUGGAAAGACUAACUAAUUAACGAAUUUAAUAACUAGCUAAUCAUGAAACUAAUUUAAUCAACUCGACUUCAAUCAUGAAUUUCAAUUGACUCGACCGAAGCUUCCUUGACUUGGAAGAGAUGAACAACCCUCAAAUCUUUAUAUUCAAGACCUUUAAUGAUAUUCGGAACAUUAACUUGGUCAUGGACAGCAAGCACCAACCCUUGAAGUGCAUCACAAAGUUGCUUGGCUCAUGCCCGUGUAACCGGUUCCAAAGGCACUCAAACCCUCUCGACUUGCAUAGCUGGCUACUCACCUUGAUCUCCAUCAAUGUGGCUGUACCUGGUACGAAGAGUGAUAUUUGACACCCUUUACCUUAGGGAGUGUAUAUAGGAAAAUUCCAUACUAAGCCACGCACAAUUAGCGAUAGAAAUAAAUUAAAAGAUAGUUCAGCUACUUGAUUUUAGUGAUUCCUAUAUUCGCGUUUAUCUACUUAGAAAUGCUGUAAUUUCCAAUCAACUUCUUGCAAGUGAACUCGAUACGUAAUAAAUUUUUUAUUCACAACCGUUAGAUUAUCACCACGGUUCAAAGUCACAAUCGCGACUCGAACCGUUCCACGCCGGUCUCAACAUAUCAUUCGUGGUAUGUGAGACGCAAAUUCUGAAGCAUUUAAUAUUCUAAAAAUUAUGAAUAAUAUAAAAAAUAUGUUAAACAAAAAUAAUAAAAAAUUAGCAAAAGAAACAAAAUAAUAUAAACAAAAUAUGCUAAACUCGGGAUGACUUGGAACGAUUCGGCGUGACUCGAUCGUUUCUACUUCGCAAUCGAGUUCUUGGUGACUCGUCCGAAUUCUCAACGACCCAUGUAUCUUGAAGUCAUCUCGUCCCAGUAUCGGAACAGGCUGCUCCGUUCCAGUGAUUUGAACCAUGAUUAUUGUUAUUCUUGAUUUUGAUGAUCACAAAAGCACUUUGAAAUGUUUAUCUAAUUCUCUUCAAAUAUAAGUGUUUUGCUUUUUAGAGAAUUAGAUACAAAGGUAUCAAGGAAAGAAAAUCAACCAAAAGAAGAAGCAAAAACAGGGCACUCAUGUCGGACGUCCGAAAGGAAGCUGUAGGACGUCCGAAAGGAUGAAGAACAUCAAGAAGGAAAUUCUAUCGGACGCCCGUGAGGAAGCAUCGGACGUCCGGAUGGAUCGGACGCACUCCUCGGACGCACAUCGAUCGCAUCGGACGUCCUAAAAAUUUCACGAAACUUUGAUAACACUCUGGACGACGUUCGGACACAGAAGCUCGGACGAUAAAAUCCCAUCGGACGUCUGAACAACAACUUGACUGUCUUUCGGACGAUGGGAUCGGACGAUGACUAAUCUGUCGGACGUCCGACAGCCCCAACGGCUAGCUGACUCUUCAUCUGCCUUCUAUCCGUUGGAAGCAUUAAUGAAGCCCAUUCUUGGUUACCUUUAAAUACAAACGACUCUAAAUCAGAGAGGGACUUUUGCACACUUUGUUUACAAGAUCUCAAGAGAUAUUUUAGUUAGAAAAUAGUCUCCAAAGCUAGAUUUGUUCUCCAAGUGGUGUGAAUUUCUUGUGAGCAUUUCUCUUGUGGUUGAAAAUUUCAUUAGUGUAGCUUUAUUGAGGGUUAUCUGAGUGAUUGUAAAACUUCUUAGUUUGACUAAGUGAGGCUUAGGGCAAGGAGAAAGUGCUCCCUCCAUUGUACAUCUAGUUGAUCAUCUUUCAUCAAAGAGAAGUUGCUCAACCUAGUGAUUGGUCUUCAAGUUUGAGGAAAGCUUGGUAGACAAUCGGUUUGAUAUUCUAUCAUAUUCUUUUUGUUUAAUAAAAUUCUCAUUGCUUAUCUAUACUUGUUUUUCUAAUCAACAUUGCUCUCUUCUUCUAAUCUACUUGGUUGAUUAUUACUAGAAAAGAAGGUAAAUUUUUAUUAAAGAAAAAUUGCAUAAAUUUGACUAAAAUUUUAAUCAACAUAAUUCACCCCUCCUCUUAGGUUGUCUUUUAGAUUGUCUUUGGGCCUUACAAUUAUCACGCUUUACACAUAGCUGUCCAAUACUACUAGUAGACAUAAAUACCUGCACUGAGGCCUAUCCUUAGAUCAAAAAAACAAGCAUUAGAAUACCAUUAAGCAAACUGAGAAAGAUGAUAAGCAUUCAUUGGCUAUGGACAGCUCUAGCCUUGGCUGUUGUCUGGUUUUUUCUUCAAGAUUUGUUCUUGAUGAAGAAGAGAAAGAGAUUUCCUCCAGGUCCAAAAGGGCUUCCUAUUAUAGGAAAUCUGCAUCUGUUAGGCAAGAAUCCUCACCAAGAUUUGGCAAAACUAGCCAAAAAGCAUGGCCCUAUAAUGUACAUGCGAUUCGGUUAUGUCCCAGCAAUCAUUGUCUCAUCCCCUGAAGCAGCUGAAAAGUUUCUCAAGACUUACGAUCAAGUUUUUUCUAGUAGGCCUUAUCAUGAAGCCUCUUGGUAUAUUUGUUAUGAGCAGAGGAACUUGUCUUUCUGCCAAUAUGGACCGUAUUGGCGAAACAUGCGUAAGCUUUGCAUGCUGCAGCUGUUCAGUAGCCACAAAAUCAAUUCAUUUCUAUUAGGGCUGGCCCAGGAACUAGACAAACUCAAGUUAGAACAAAGUAGGUGGUAUAACCGACCAUAUAAUAAUUAGGCGGUAGACACCAACCAUAUAAUAAUUAAGCGGUAAAACUGACCAUAUAAAAGGGUUGCGGCAACCCAAUAAAGACAAAUAAUAAAGCAAAUAAAAGACACAGAAGAUUUACGUGGUUCGGUCAAAUUGACCUACGUCCACGGGCGAGGGAGGAGCAAUAUUUCUAUUGUGAAAAAGAAAUACAAAAGCCGUAGGAAAGUGGUUCCUAGGCCAAAAGACACUUACAAAAGAGUUUAGAAAAUAUUCCUAAAUUCAAAACAAGAGAGCCUAAAAUAUUUGACUAAAUGGGUUAGAUGACUCAAGAAACUAAUAGCCCAUAUAACUCUCUUGAGUCGUGCGAGUUGAUUCCUUCAAUAGGCUUCCUUAUUUAUAGGAAUCCAGAGAAGGCUUUCCUCAAGCCUUUGCCGAUGUGGGAUGAAGGAAAACAAAAAAUUAUGCCACAAAGUCAGUCAACAUUUGCGGCCGUUGAAAUCAACAAAUAUCCACCUUGGUAUAAUUUGUAGUCUUACCAUCGAUAAUAGCAAAACUGCUCCACCUUCUCCACAUAAACCCCAAUGGGCUUAAAUCACCAACAACGAAUACCAACCAAAUCCAAGCACUGCUUGAACUUGUAAAGUGGAAGAUGUUUGGUAAACAUAUCGGCUGGAUUGUCCUUAGUAUUGGUUUUCUGAAUAAGGACUUUUCCCUCAGCAAUGAUAUCCCGAAUGAAGUGAUACUUCAAUCAAUGUGUUUCGUCCUCUCAUGAUACAUCUGAUCUUUAGUCAAGUGUAUGGCACUUUGACUAUCACAGUGAAUAUCAGUAACACCUUGAUAUAGACUUAACUCGCUAAAUAAACUCUUCAACCACAAGGCUUCUUUGAUUGCCUCGGUCAUAGCCAUAUAUUCUGCUUCUGUAGUAGACAAAGCUACGACAGGUUGUAGAGUAGCUUUCCACCUAACAUCACAACCGCCAAUACAAAAUACAUAGCCUGAAAGUGAUCUUCUCCUGUCAAGAUCCCCAGCGUAGUCUGAGUCUACAAAACCAACCAAAGUGUUUUUAUUUCUUCCAAACUCCAAACAUACAUUUGAAAUACCUCGCAAGUAUAUGAGAAUCCAAUUCACAGCCUGCCAAUGUGCUUUACCAGGGCAAGACAUAUAUCUGCUAACAACACUGAUUGCAUGUGAGAUAUCUGGACGAGUACAAACCAUUGCAUACAUGACACUGCCGACUGCACUGGAAUAAGGAACCUGUGCCAUAUAAUCUUUCUCUUUAUCUGAUUGUGGUGAUUGAGCAGCAGAUAGCCGAAAAUGGCUAGCAAGAGGAGUAGAUACUGGUUUAGCAUCUUUCAUGCCAAAACGCUCCAAAACUUUUUCAAGGUAAUUUUUCUGGGUCAAGAACAAUUUCCCUACUCCUCGAUCUCGAUUGAUAUCCAUGCCAAGAAUUUUCUUAACUGCUCCCAAAUCUUUCAUUUCAAAUUCACUAUUUCACUGCAGUUUCAAAGUGUGAAUUUCUGACAAAUUCUUGGCAGUAAUGAGCAUGUCAUCAACAUAUAACAAUAAGUAAAUGAAAGAACCAUCAUUUAACUUUCGGAAGUAAACACAACUAUCAUACAUGCUCCUUGAAUAACCAUGACCCAACAUAAAGGAAUCAAACCUCUUAUACCAUUGUCUUGGAGACUACUUCAAUCCAUAUAAGGAUUUCUUCAAUAAGCAAACAUGGUCUUCCUUACCUUCAAUCUCAAAACCUUGGGGUUGUCUCAUCUAAAUUUGUUCUUCAAGUUCGCCAUGUAAGAAAGCUGUCUUAACGUCGAGCUGUUCUAACUCCAAAUUAUACAUGGAAACUAAAGCAAGCAAAACACGAAUAGAGCUAUGUUUAACAACAGGUGAAAACACAUCAUUAAAAUCAACACCUUGUACCUGACUAUAGCCCUUUGCAACAAAUCGUGCUUUAUACCUUGCAUCUUCAACCCUUGGAAUACCUUCCUUCUUCUUGAAGACCCACUUACAACCGACAAUUUUCUUAGCUGACGGCGGCUUUACAAGAACCCCAGUUUCAUUCUGAUGAAGAGAUUCAAUUUCUUCAUUCAUCGCAAUCAACCACUUUGCAGAAUCAUCACAAGAAACUGCUUCUGAAUAGGUGGAAGACUCACCAACUGCAUCAGUUUCUUCUGCAACAGACAAAGCAUAUGCAACUAAAUUUGCAUAUCUUUGUGGUGAUCGAAUGUCUCUCCUUUGUCAAUCUCUGGCUAUGGAAUACUCUUCUUCUUCUGAACUAUCUUCAACAGUAGAUUCAAGUGCAUCUACUGGUAAUUGCUGAAUAGAAGAUUUGGACUGAGAAGGACCAGAACUGCCAAUAUCAAGCUCCACCUGCUUCUAUGUACUAUCAAUAGUACAAAAACUAGAAGACUCCUUCUUAGAAGAUAACAUAUACAAAUCAUCAAAAGUAACAUCUCUACUGAUCACAAAUUUUGGAGAUUUGAGAUCAGGACACCAUAAUCUGUAUCCUUUCACCCCAGAAGCAUACCCAAGAAAAAUGCACUUUUUAGCUCUAGACUCCAAUUUUUCAUCAUUCACAUGCAUGUAUGCUAGACAUCCAAAAACUUUUAAAUUGGAGUAAUCAGCAGGAGUACUUGACCAAACUUCCUCAGGAGUUUUGAAAUCAAGAGAUACAAAAGGAGAACAGUUGACAAUAUAACAGGCCAUGUUGAUCGGCUCUGCCCAAAAGUCGUUUGUCAACCCUGCAUUGGAGAUCAUACAUCUUGCUCUCUCCAAAAGAGUUCUGUUCAUACGUUCGGCCACACCAUUUUGUUGAGGCGUCAUCCUGACGGUGUAAUGCCGAACAAUUCCUUCAUUCUUGCAGAAUUCAUUAAAUUCACCUUCACAAAAUUUCAUGCCAUUAUCUGUCCUGAGCCCCUUAAUAUGUUUUCCUGUCUGUUUCUCAAUCAAAACUUUCCAUUGUUUGAAAGUUAGGAAAACAUCAUUUUUAUGCUUAAGAAAAUAUACCCAAACUUUCCUUGAAUAAUCAUCAAUGAAAGUCAACAUGUAUCUGGCACCACUUUUAGAAGGAGCACGAGAAGGACCCCAUAGAUCGGAAUGAAUGUAAUCGAGAGUACCUUUUGUCUUGUGAAUUGCUGGUGAACUGAAACUGACUCUUUUCUGCUUCCCAAAAUACAAUGUUCACAGAAUUCCAAUGACCCGGUACUUUGUCCACAAAGAAGUCCUCUUUUGCUCAAUAUGCCCAAACCUUUUUCGCUCAUGUGCCCCAAACGCAUAUGCCAUAAUUUGGUGAUGUCUAUAUUUGACAAAGAUGAUGUUGAAACAGCAGCAGCACCUGUAACAAUAGAUCCCUGCAAAAUAUAUAAAGUACCAGAUCUGUGUGCCUUCAUAACAACAAGAGCUUCUCGAGUGAUUUUGAGAACUCUAUCUCCACCUGAAUACCUGCACCCAAUAGACUCAAGAGUGCCCAAAGAGAUGAGAUUUUUCUUCAAAUCUGGAACAUGUUUAACAUCUGUGAGCGUCCUCACAAUACCAUCAUACAUUUUAAUCCGGAUUGUGCCUUUGCCAACAACUUUACAAACGGCGUUGUUACCUAUUAAGACAACUCCACCUUCAGUUGAUUCAUAUGUUAAAAACCAGUCCCUAUUGGGACACAUAUGAUAUGAACAACCCGAAUCUAAAAUCCAUUCAUUGUUAGACCUAAAAUUAUUUUUCGUUGCACAGAAAACAGUUCCAUCAUUCUCAUCAGCUGCUAUACUAGCUUCAGCGGAUUCAGUAUUUUUCUCAACAAAUUUUCCUUUUUGCUUUUCUUUAUUUUUCAAUUUAAAGCAAUCAGAGAUAACAUGGCCUUUCUUUUUACAAUAGUUGCACACCACAUUUUUAUGUCUGGACUUGGAUCUAUUUCUAUUUUCUGUGUUUCUUUUUUCAAAUCUACCCCGAACAAACAAGCCAUCAGCUUGACUCCCACUAGUUUCCACAGUAAUGUCCCUAUCUAUCUGCUCUUUAGAUUUUAAUGCAAAUUUAAUUUCCCGAUACGAAAUUGUUUCCUUUCCAUAAAUCAUAGUAUCACGAAAAUGCUUAAAAGAUUGGGGAAGGGAACACAAAAGUAAUAGGGCCUGAUCUUCAUCAUCAAUUUUUGAAUCUAUAUUCUCCAAAUCCAUAAUAAUGGAAUCAAAUUUAUCAAGAUGGAAGAGUAUAGAUGUACCUUCAGACAUCCGAAGCAUAUACAAACUCUGCUUCACAUAUAGCCGAUUCUCGACUGUCUUCUUCAUAUAUAAGACUUUCAAUUUAUCCCACAUAGCCUUGGCUGAAGUCUCCAUUGCUACCUCACGCAAUACCUCAUCGGAGAGAUUUAAAAUUAUGCUGGAUAUGGCCUUCUUAUCCAUAUCGGCGAAAUCCGCAUCCUUUACAUCUUCUGGCUUUUUCUCAAUUCCAUGAAUUGCCAAAUCAACUCCGUCUUGAACAAGAAUGGCCUCCAUCUUGAGCUACCACAUUCCGAAGUUGACAUUCCUGUCGAAUUUUUCGACAACCGUCUUUGUUAUCGUCAUUGUUGCCACAAAAUCUGUAUCCUGAAGUUUGCCUCAAAAACUGGUCAAACAAAUAUGCAAGUCUCGUGAGCGGACCCUACAGGGUGAGCGGGCCCCACGGGGUGAAUGGAUCCCACGGGAUGAGCGGGUCCCACAGAUAAACGGACCCCACAAGAUGAGUGGGCCCCACAGGAUGGACAGACCCCACCAGAUGAACCUGUCUUGCAAAAUAUAACAACCAGCUCUGAUACCAGUUUGUUAGGGCUAACCCAGGAAAUAGACAAACUCAAGUUAGAACAAAGUAGGUGGUAUAACCGAUUAUAUAAUGAUUAGGCGGUAGACACCAGCCAUAUAAUAAUUAGGCGGUAAAAUCGAUCAUAUAAAAGGGUUGCGGCAACCCAAUAAAGACAAAUAAUAAAGCAAAUAAAAGACACGGAAGAUUUACGUGGUUCGGUCAAAUUGACCUACGUCCACGGGCGAGGGAGGAGCAAUAUUUCUACUAUGAAAAAGAAAUACAAAAGCCGUAGGAAAGUGGUUCCUAGGCCAAAAGGCACUUACAAAAAGAGUUUAGAAAUAUUCCUAAACUCAAAACAAGAGAGCCUAAAAUAUUUGACUAAAUAGGCUAGAUGACUCAAGAAACUAAUAGCCCAUAUAACUCUCUUGAGUCGUGCGAGUUGAUUCCUUCAAUAGGCUUCCUUAUUUAUAGGAAACCAGAGAAGGCUUUCCUCAAGCCUUUGCCGAUGUAGGAUGAAGGAAAACAAAAAAUUAUGCCACAAAGUCAGUCAACAUUUGCGGCCGUUGAAAUCAACAAUUUCUGCCAAUGAGAAGAAAAGAGGCUGGCCCCCGCGUGAAUGGUCCAGCGGCAGCGCCUCUCACCAGUGAACCUUGAGGUCACAAGUUCGAGUCUCCGCUCCACUGGAUUCCUCCACGCACUUAACGUGUUCGGGCCAAGUUGGGGCGCCGGGCCCGGGCCGCAGGGGAUUAGUCGGGCCCCGUAAGGAUUGACCCGGACACCCCUGUGUCGACAAAAAAAAAAAAAAAGAGAAGAGAAGAGGCUGGAACAUUGGUUAAAUCACUCAAACAGGCUGCCUCAGACGGUGUUGCUGUUGACCUUAGUGCUGCGAUGUCAUCCUUUGGUGCAAAUAUGAGUUGCUUGAUGAUAUUUGGAAAGAAGUAUAUGGACAAGGAUUUUGAUGAUAGGGGGUUUGGAGAGGUCAUUCAAGAAGCAUUGCGUGUUGCAGCGCUGCCAAACCUUGGUGAUUAUUUUCCCCUGCUUGGUGUGCUUGAUCUUCAGGGACUUACUCGUCGAUUUAAGGUUUUAGCUAAGGUGUUCGAUAAUUUUUUUUGAUAAAAUCAUUGAUGGACAUCUUGAAUCCAAGGAGCACAAGAGAACCAAGGACUUCGUGGACAUCAUGAUGGGAAUUAUUCAAUCUGGAACAUCUGAAUUCGAUUUUUGAUCGUCGUCAUGUCAAAGCUAUCCUGUUUGUAAGUUUGGUAGCUUUAUAUUCUUAUUUGAUGUUUCGUUGGUAAGUCUGAAGAAAUGAUUAUUGUAGUGUUAUUCUAAUGCAAAGCAAAUUGAGGGCAGUUACCAAGAUCCAAUUCUAUUCAUUCUCUUUCUUUUUCUUCCAAUACUGCUGAGAAAGGGAUUGUUCCAAAUGCUAUAUCAAAUAAAUCAGUGCUUGUGAUAAAUGAAGCCAAAUUUGGCACAAUUCUUACUCUUUCAUGUAUCUAACUCAAAAUACAGGAUAUGCUUCUAGCCUCAAUGGACAGUUCUACGACAGCUGUUGAAUGGGCCAUGUCAGAACUCCUUAGGCAUCCCGAGGCAAUGCAGAAACUCCAGAAAGAAUUGGAAGAAAAAGUUGGAUUCGAGAGAAUUGUGGAGGAAUCAGAUCUUGAAGGCCGAGAGCAUUUGGACAUGGUUGUAAAAGAAUCCAUGAGGCUUCAUCCUGUGGGACCGCUAAUGCUUCCCCACGAGUCAAUGGAAGAUUGCACAGUUGAUGAUUUCCACAUUCAGAAAAAAUCGCGGAUCAUCAUAAACGUGUACGCAAUCGGACGCGAUCCAAAUGUCUGGCCUGAUCCUGAGACCUUCAACCCUGAAAGAUUCAAAGAUUGCAAUAUAGACCUUCGCGGCCAAGAUUUUCGACUCACACCAUUUGGCUCAGGCAGAAGAAGUUGCCCUGGUUUGCAGUUGGGGCUCCUCGUUGUUCAUUUUGUGCUGGCACAGUUGGUGCAUUGCUUCAAUUGGGAACUUGCAAAUAACAUUCCGCCAACAGAUUUGGAUAUGUCUGAGGCUUUUAGUGUAGUAACCCCAAGAGCAAAGCAUUUAAAGGUUGUGCCUUCUUACCGAUUGCACAAAUGAAUAAAAAUUGUGGACUCCAAUUCCAAUUCUGGAAGUGUAAAAGUAAUGCUCCUUGAAGAUUGUGUUGACUCUAGUGUCUUCUUGCACGUACCGCUUGUUGCUCUUUCCAUUUGUUGAUGAUAAAAAUAUUUGCCAAUUUGUGUUUUUUUUUUCCUAAUCUACUUGUUUCCAUCUCGAUCUGAAGAAGCAGCUUCUUCCUUGAGCAUUAGACAUCCUUAAGCAGCUUCUUCCUUUUGUCGAAUCACUUUUUGGUUCUGGGAUGAUAUGCAUUCACCGUUCAACACUUUAAUUAGAAUUAUUGUAUUUUAAUGUGGCAUGCACUAAUUAAAAGAAAUAAAACACCCCAAUUGAUUACAUCUUAAUAGUAUUGGUAAUUAUUAUUAUUAUUAUUAUUAUUAUUAUUGUUGUUGUUGUUGUUAUUAAAAAGUAUGAAUGUUGGUAUUAGGGAGUGUAAGUAUAAGCACUUUUUAUUUUAGUUUUUGUUAUUCCUAAAUUACCCUCAUGUCUUUUAAUUAGAAUUAUUGUAUUUUAAUGUGGCACUAAUUAAAAGAAAUAAAAUAGUCCAAUUGAUUACAUCUUAAUAGUAUUAGUAAUUAUAAUUAAAAAUUGCUUAUUGAAAGCGAUAAAACUAGCCUUGGAUUCCAUCUCCAAUUAUUAUAUGUAUCAAAAUUUCCUAAUUGAAACAUGAAAAAUUUCUCAUUAGUCAUUGGUUGAGAUUGUAAAAAAAAAAAAAUCAAUUUCAAAAAAUAGAUAUUCUCUAGAAAAUGGAGAAACAUACAAGGAGAAGAAAACCCUUAUCAUCUGUAUAUCUUUAUACAAAUAUCACGAGUAAAUUUUACAAUUAUGCAUUUUUUACCAAUAUAAAGAAUUUUCAUAUUGCACCCAAUGGAAUUUUAAUAUACAAAAAAUGAUGACAACUUUAUAAAUGAAAUAGUAGUAUUAAACUAGGAAAAAGAAAUCCGAAAUAGCACCAUACAAUCACUAUUAUCAUUAAUAGCAACCGAUCAAAACAAAAAAAAAAAACUGAAAAAAUUAAAAAUUAUUUAUAAAAUGACAUAAAGUAAAUAGCAAUGAAUUAAAAAGUUAGAAUAUAAUUCAAAUAUUAUCAAAGACAACAUCAAAAUCACUGAUAUCUAAGGGAAGACAAAUAUUAUUGUUAUCGACAAUAAUAUAGUAAUGCUUUGUUUGUAUUAGUUUGAGCAAACAAAAUCCAUUCAUCAAGCGAGAAGCCAUCUCCAAUGAUAAAAUAAGAAUUAUAAUAAGAGUAAAUUUAAGUUGAAGAGUGAUAAAAUGAAAAUGAUAUCCAAAUUGGUUUUCGUGAUGUCCAAAAUGCCCUUAUGUGUGAGGAUCCGAAAAUUUUGUGUAAAUUUUAUGCUUUUAUUUUUAAUUUUAUAUAUGUAACUUAUUAUUGAUGAAUUUAAGUAUUUAAUUGUUUCCUUUAUAAUUCAACAGUAUAAGAAUGCUUUAAAUUAUUGGAUGAUUGUCUUUAUGGAAACUACACCACUUAGAACAAAUUAAUGGGGCAAUAGUGUGACCAUUAGAAUUAUUUUGGCCAUAGUUGAAUAAUGUUUUGAGACAAAACACAUGCAAUUGACAAAUGUCCAACUACUUGCCAAAUGUUAAAAUCUUUAUUAGAUGACCAAACAGCUCUUGAAUGCCCCCAAAUUUGCCAUGCAACCAAGUUUUGAAUCCGAGGGAAGCAAACAAAAGAGAACCACUUCUGCCUUCCUCAAUUCAAAACCCAUCCGAGAGAGUGAGAAAGGGCGAGAAGUCUCGUUCUUUUCUUCCUUUUCCAGCCACACCCGAGAUAGUUGAGUGAGAGUUGAGAGAAAGAGCGAGAAACUUGCCCCUUGUCUUUUUUCAUUUCCAGCCGAAGAAGGAGUGGAGAAAAGCUGAGAAAAUCUUCCUUGGCCUUGUUCCUUAUCCAGCCGAGAGCUUGAGAGGAAACUAGAGUAAAACCAGAGCUUUUGUUUCCACUUCAGCCAAGAGAAAAACCAGAGUUCCGUGCUCCUUUUGCAGCCAAAAGAAACCAUAAUUUUCUGCUCCAUUUCCAGCCGAGGAGAAAGCAGGAAGGUGAACCGAUUUCCAGCUUGAGUUUGGGCAGAAAAAUAAGGUAAAAUGGCUAGAAACCACAACCUUUCUAUAUAGCUUAGUGGAAUUUUGUUGCAUGUAUAGUUUGAGGCUAGAUUGAAGUAGAACCAGGUGGUAGAAAUUUGUUUCAUCGCUGGAAAUUUUCCCAGCUUGAACUAAUUUAGAGUAAAGGCUGUUUCUUUCGAUUUUCUUCCUCAAACAAGGAUAAAUAUACUUGAACUCAUGAAAUAUGUUUAGUACACUCAUUAUUUGGUGUUGCAUGUGAAUUUUAUGGCCAGAAAUUCGAUCUUAUGGCUGGAAUUUUUUAUUGGAAGUUGUAUGACUGCUAAACUAAUUUUCCAGGUUAGCCGAUGGAAUUUUUUUGGGAGUUGUAUAGAUAUUUUGGUAUGAAAUUUGCUGGAAAGUGCUUGAUUCUCACUUGGUUGUGUGUUAUGAGGUUGUUGAUGUGUGCUUGGUGGCUAGAAAUAAUAUUUAAAAUGGUUAAAAUUGAAGGGAGUUGCUGCUGAAACUUCUGGACGGAGCCGUGAGUGUGAGCUGUGGAAUUGCAGGUUUUAUUUGCAAAUUUUGGUUGAGAAAUGACUUAUUUCCACUUUGCAUGAUACAUAUUGUAUGUUUACCUUUGAAUCUAGUGGAAACUUGAUAAAUUGGUUGGAGGAAAACUCGAAGAAUCUGAUGGAAAUCUGCUUGAUUGGCCGAGUGAGGGAGAGGGAGAGUUUCCAGCUUUUCCAUGACUUUUGGGGCAGCAAAAUUUUAGAUUGCUGUUCAAAAUACCUCAUAACAUGUUAAUCUUCUCAUGCAUGUUGAAUUGGAGUGAUAACCAAAGGGUUUUGUUGAAGAAAAGCUCCCAUAGCAAACUGUUUUCUGGCUGGAAAAUUUUCCAACUUUGAGCCGUAGAGAAAACUUGAACUUCUAGCUUUUUGAUACAAAUCUUCUUGUUGAUUAAUACCUCAUCUCAUGUUACAAGUCUAUUACUAAGUGAUUUGUGGUUGAAAACAAGUAUGAGAAGGGCUGUUUUGAUGACAAAAAGUGAAGAGAAACUUGCCUAAAUUUUCUUGCUUGAACAUAGGUAGGAAGCUGUGUUUUCCAGCUUGUAGCUUCCAUUUUUGUUGAAGUUUACAAAGAAGUUUAUGCCCUACAGUUACCUUAGGAUACAAUAUAUGAUUUAUGCUUGAAUCAGGACUCUGAACCAUGAUUAAAUUCCAGCUUUAACACUAAAUGUUGGUUGCGAAUUUGUACUCUUUUGGCUCAUUAAACUUCUAAUGUUUUAAACAUGAUAUACAUGAAUAGGUUCGUUGGUUUUUGGAAAAAUUUGGGGUGAUUUUAGUGAGAGAAUUUUAUUAAAGAAGCCUAGAGUAAGAGUAAAGUUCCAACCUUAUUUUCAUGAAUUUGGUUACAAAACUCUAUACUUUUAACCUUCAUGUUCAAUAACUUUUAAAACUAAAGUUUUAAGUGUAUUUCACUUGUUUUGACCAAGAUAAUUUAGAAGUUUGGAAAGAAAGUUGGUAUUGUCGAAAAGUCUAGUAAUUGUAGUUUGGGCUUAACUCAGGAGCCGAGAGUGAACCGAAAGAGGGUUCUGAAUGCUGAAAAGUAACUUCAAACUAAGUGGUGAGUGCUCUAUAUUUGUUUGUAGGUAUUGAAUAUAUGAUGAAUGAUAAAGGUUAUGUGCUUAGUUGACUAAUAUUUGUUCGAUUAUUGAUACUUGAAUUGUUUAGAGUAAAAAUUGAUAAUUGCUACUGUUUUACUCAAAGGCAAGCACACACUUUAUUACCCUCGACCUAAAUGAAUGUUGGAAAUGAUAAAUGCCUAAUUGUUACUAGAAUUGUGCAUGAAUGUAAGUCGAAAUAUAGGAUGGGAGAGAAAGAGAGAGAGAGAGAGCUCAAUUCUUUUUUAUAUACAAAAACUACAAAUAAGAAAGAAUUCAAUAUUUUAUUAUUUUAAAAUUACUUUCCUUUCUAUUUACCACCCAAUUUUAAUCCUAAUUCCGAUGACAUUAAGGUAAUACAAUUAGGAUUCUUUCUUAUUUUUCUUUUUUUUUUUGCAAAAUCUAAUUUUUUGUCUCCUUCUCUCCUAUCUCUUUUUCUUUUCGUAAUAUUAAUAAGUGUAAAAAAGAAAAUUUAAGAAAAUUCUUUUAUUUUUAUGUUUUUAGAACUCUUAGAGUAAUAAAGGGGAAAAAUAACCAUUCCAAUUUUUUAUUUUUAAUUAUAUAUAAAAAAGGGUUAAAUAUAUUUAAAAAUUUUUGAACAUACUGGUUAGAUUAAUGAUAGGGUAAAAUCCCUAGAAAAUAAUUUUAGAGAGUACAGUAAUUGUAUCACUACAAUUUAAAGGGAUAAAGUGAUCAUAAAUAAAGUGAUCAUAACAAUAUAGUAAGGGUAAAUUUUAUAUACAUUAUCACCGUUAGAUUCAUAACACAUGUGCAAAAGUUGGAUUUCAAAUUCAAAUUUUAUAUAUUUGUUAUUUAUCUAAGACUGACAGUCUAUACACUGUCAAUGUAGGAAAGAUUAAUCCAUAUAGUAAUGCUAUAAAAUAUAAGGGUAUUUUUAUCCAAAAUUUGUUAACAGUAUUGAAUUAUUUGUCAGGGUGAAAUGACUAAAAAAUAACGUUACAGGAUAAAUUGAUAGUAGUAACAUAGUUUAAGAGGAUAAAGUGAUAAUAACUCAUUUAGUUGUGAAGUACAAAUUCGUUUAACAUGCCACGUCAUUCAAUUCAUGACUAUUCCUAUGUUUGGAUAGAGUAUUAUUUAAAAUAUUAUUUGGAAUAAUUAUUGUAACACUUUUUAUAAUAUGAUAUAUUUGAGAUAAAAAAGUAAUUAGGAAUAUAAAAAAGUGGAUUGAAAAAUAUGUCUAUGAUACAUGCAAAAUAUCAUUUGGGAUAAUUCAGUAAUUCAAACACACUCAUUAUUUGUGCGUAGACUCGUAGAGUGUACGUAGGAAUAUUCGUUAAUACCUGGAUUAGAUGCACGCACAUGUGUUUCACGCAUCUAAGAACUUCCAUUCCUUUUUAUAGUAAACAAAAUGAAACGUCAAUCUAUCACCUCAAUUAAGCAUAUGUCAAAUCCAUUAAAUUUAGUUAAAUCCAAUGUCAGACCCAAAUUCUUGUGGGUUCGAAAAAGUAAACUCAAAUCCAAAUCCUCGUUGGUUUGGAUAUCUAAUAAAUAUCCGUAGGUGUUUUUUUGAACAUGCAAAAUUAAGUAAAAAUAUUUUUAAAAUACAUACAAUUUAAAAUAACAUACAUACCAUUCAACUUUUUGUUUAUAGAGGGAAACCAAAAAAACAGGACACAUAAUAAAUUGGCGGGUUAUGUGGUGUUUUCUUAGAUUAUGAACAUAUCCUUUAAUCUAAUAGUCAUGAAGUUUUACUAUAUUCGAUCCAAUAACCAUAUAAUAUUAGAUUAUUUUAUAAAUUUAUUGGUACAUACAUGCAUACAUAUUAUUUAUUUAUACAUGGAUGGGGAUGAGGUAUGAUUUGAAACUGGGUUUGAGCACGGAUCACAAAAAAUCAAAUUCUACUGAUAAGUGCAUAUUUUAAGUGUUUUUAGUGUAUUUUAUUAUUUAGUUUUGGUGUGUUUUAACUACUUUUAUAGUUAAUUAACUAAGUUUUUAGUGAAAAUAUGCAUUUUGUGAUUUAAGUGGUAAAAAUUACAUUUUUAAGGAUUUUAAUGGUGAAAAUUUCAUGUUUUUAUAGGUUUAAAAAUUCAAUUAUCACAUGGUAUGAGUUGAGAAGAUAAUUGGAUGAUUGAUGAUGGUUUGAAGUGAUAAAAAAAAGAAUAUGAAGUGCAAGAGAGGAAAUGCAAUAAAAAAUAAAAGAAGAAAUGUUUUACAGUUUUGACACAUGUUGGUAUUUCGACAAUAUUUUGAGUUACAAAUAUCGGAUUAAAAUGAUUUUUAAACAUUUUGAAGCUAAGAGAUGGAUCUAUAUUUGGUAUGAAGACAUCGAAAUCCAGUUCACAAGUUUUCUAAGUCAAAAUGUCAAAAUACAAAAGUGCAUUUUCAUUGUCGAAAGCUAAAACAGAGUUUUGACCAGUCAAGGAUACUUUGGUCAUUUAUCGGUCCAUAGAGCUCCUAAUUGGAUGAUUCUUCAUGCAUUGGAAAGUUAACUCAAAGAUCUACAACUUUUAUGUUUUAUACAAGAGUUAGUUCAGCCUCCAUCAUCGAGAAAAUAUCAGUUUAAAUCGGAUGAAGAAUAGAACAAUGAUGAAAUCUGUCCAGAAUGAGCAAACUUGCAAAAAGAGCAAAAUGAGGGGUCAAAACGCAGGCAUAGGCCACAUUUUCUAUCCGCGUUUUCAUGAAUUUCAGCUGCAACUUACUCUACAACUUGUGCUCCAUUCACACAACCUUUUUGACCACUUUGUCUGCAAAAAUCCUGGCUAGAAAUGAUCAGAUUAUGCAUGGAAACUAUGAGAAGCAACUUUGAAGAAUUUCAAGAGUCAAAAAUACCAACUAGAAACAACUCAUUUUGGCUCUUGAAUCCUCUAUAAAUAGAGGCCUUGAAGAACAUUUGCACGACUUUGGAAGGUUAGAGAAACUCAUCAAAAAUAUAGUUUUCACUAGAAUUUCCUUAGUUCAUUAGUUAGGGUAGUAUAGAGUAGUUAGUGUAGUUUAUCCAUCUUGUAUUUGUAAUUAGAUUUGGAUGAAGAUUUGACAAGUAAAGAUGGAGAGUUAGACCUCAUAUGAUAAGGGUGACUUCUCUCUUAUCACUUUUUCUUUUGUAUUUGAUUUCAUGUUUGGUUAUAAUACAAGUUUGGAUCUGUUUUUCUUCAUAUUUAGUUAAAUUUUAUACCUAGAGUUAUGAAUGAAUUUACUAUAUCUUGUUAGUGAUACUUACUUGGUUAUUUGAUGAUAUUAUUUUGAACAAGUUAUUUAUCAUUUUUGCUUUUCUAAUCAUGAUUAACCUGCCAUUAAUUAUGAUAAUUUUAAGGUGUUAAGUUUGCAAUGAGAAUUGAAAUUUAACACUAGUUCAAGGAAGUGAUAAACCUAAGGAGUUCACUCACGAGAGUAGAGGAGCACCUAUGUAGCUUUAGUGACUUGUUUCAUGUAAUUUCAUCGAAGAAAUGAACUUGUAACUAAUUUCAUAACCACGAGAGUAGGUAUGGUUUAAUUAUAAGUAUAAUUGAUUCACUACGAAACUAGAUUUCAUAUACAUUAGGAAAUUACGUCAUAACUAACCAAGAUAAUAGCAUUCACUUAACCGGUAACUUCAUUUGCAAGAGUAGUAAUAAAUUCCAUACCUCUAGGAGUUUUCUAUUGUUAAUUUUAUUACUUUUAUUUAAUGUUUGUAUUGUAGAUUUAAUCUUUUGCAUGUGUGAUAGUCUAAAUAAUAAAGGAGUUCGAAAAUCACCGGUAAUUAAAAAUCUUUUCUGUGGGUUCAAUUCUUAAUACCCUAUACUCAAUCGCGACUCGAAGACUUGUAAAAAAUCAUGUAUAAAAUAUUUAGGAUUCUAUAAAUAUAAAAUUUAACUGUGAAUGAAUUAAUUGUUAUAUGUAUACCUCGCGCAUGUCAUUUACCGAGACCCGUGACUCUCUUAUAGUUUGGAUCUAUGUAGGAUAUGAAUCAUGUGCAUGCAUAUAUGUAUGACUCUCUUAGAUUUUGAGUGUAUCCUUUAAUCUAACAACUAUGAAAAUAGUUGGAUAGAAUACAACAAAUAUGCCUGCAACUUGAACUUUAACAAGUUAGAUAACUAAAAAUUUUUAUAAAAUUUAAAUAUAAAAACCUACUAAAAAAAGCUCAUUCAACAAGUCAGAAACACCAAAGCAAGCGCCGUUCAAAAUGAAUCCUAAUGGUGCCUUCAACAAGACAAGGCAGGAUUUAAUUCGCUUAAGAAAAGCAUUGACUGAGAAAUCAUGGCAACCAAGGUGGAGAAAUUAUGUCGUAACCAUGAUCCAGGGACUUAUCCGAAGCUAUGAUUUUAGAUUUAGGGUGCAUUUGAUAAAAUUAAAAUCCGAAAUCUAAAAUUUGAAUCCACUGAAUUAUUGAAUUGCUAAGUAUUAAAUCUAGUACAUUUGAGUGUAUAUCACAUUCAGUGAUAAGUAAAUAACUUAUCACUUAAUUAUAAAAAGCAAAUUUUACCUAAAAAAUUCAGUGCCACUUGAUUAAUUCGAAUGUUCAAUUUUUAAUUAUCAAACGAUUUAAAUAUAUAGGAGGAGGGAUGGAUUGGCUGGUAUGGGGAGAGGGAGUGUAAGCGAGAGAUCUCGGGUUUGAGUCCCCCCCCUUACACUAAACAAAAAAAAAACUACCUAAAUAUAUUAAAAUCUGAAUCCAUUAAAUUUAAGUACUGAACUGAAUUAUCAAACAAAGCCUUAGCGUAACACUUGUCUGAAAAAAAAAAUUCUCUUUCUUUUUUUUUUCUUUUUAACGUAAAAGGUAAAUUUUAUUAAUCAAUCAUAAAGCAACAAAUACUGCUCAAUAAUUAUAGAGUUACGAUUUCAACAAGUAAACUGGCAAAGAAUCCCUCUCCAACUCGACCGCAUCUACCCUGUGCUGGUGUGAACUGCCAUAGUUUACAAAUUAUCUUCAUAUGAGAUACAGCUGCUGAUUUUGUAGCCGAUUCAGAAAAGAACUAAGACUUUAAAUUCUGUUCCAUAUAAUAAAUCUCACUAGGCCAUUGAUAAGCACCACCAUAUAGCACGGUACAAAUAUGCAACCGAGUCCACAAAUAGGCGGGAAUCACGCGUACAAGUAACUGAUUGAUGGACUAUUGUACUGUCCAAACCAAAGGACUCGUUACUUCGUCCUCCUCUCUCUCCUUCUCAGCUGAAUUCACAUGUUACCAGAGGAAUGCAUCCUGUAAUAACUAAUAAAUAUGCAAACCCAUACGAAGUUUUACCAUGAACAGAUUGUAUCCAUUAAGAAAAUAUAAAUUCGAUCAGGAUUUGCUUCUCCGGCCCAUGAGUGCAGCAUUCUUUGAAAAUGCGCGGGCUGAUUUCACUGGGAGACCUCAACUGCACUGGCCAUAGUCGAUCGACUUUCAUGCUAGUUCUUGCUCCAUCAUGAAAGUUCCAAAGGAUGAGCACGACUAAAGCGGCUAUACAUGCAAAUCUAUUUACAUUGUCAUAAUCUAUCGUUGACAGCUAGUCCAUCUUGCACACCAUUGGGAGAACAAAAGCAAACCUAGCUAAUCCAUCUUGCAUCUAUCUUGCAGACCAUCCAAAGACAAAUACAAACCUAGGAACGGGAGGGUUGAGUUGAAUGAUAAGAUAGGAGGGAUUGUAAACAGGAGGCCCUAGGUUCAAAACUUCCCCACUUAUAAAAACAAAAUCAAAAACAAAAACAAAACAAAAAAAUACAAACCUAGGAACAACCUUUGCAAACCAUACUACAGGAUACCAGGCAUUUGGUUCUAGUUAUUCUAUCUUACCAGGCCAUGCAGUAUUCUCUGCACUAUUUGCAGGUUUGGCUCCUUGGUGAAGAUGAGGCUGUAAUUUGGUUGGAUGAGCCCCUUCUUCAAUUUGGUCGUAAGGUCAAAGCUUUAUACUGAAACCAUAAUGAGAAAAAAUUUAUUCACACAUACAAGGAAUGUGAGACAAAGAACCCUAAAAAAAGGGUUAGAUAUCAAGGAGUUAAUGAUGUUGGGAGAACUUUGACAAUCCGUAGUGACUGCAAGUCCAUAUUUGAACCAUUUGAAAGAAAUGAAAAUCGCUCAACUCUGUCCACGACAGGAUAGAAUAAAGAAAAUAAGAGAAAAGAUAAAUGCAAGAGAGGGAAAAGAAAGAAAAGACCUAAGAGAAAAGAAUGGGGAAAUAUAAAAGGAGAUUGGAAAUUCUAGAGAGGAGAGGAGGAAGCAGGGAAACGAAGUGGAGGCAGCUUAUGAAAGAAUAGUUGUUGUCUUAACCCUAGUCAAUCUAAUAGAAGAGAAAAGACCUCACAACACGUCAAGCAAUGGAGGAAAAUGAAGUCCGCACAAUGCACUAAACAAAAUAACGUUGGGAGAAAAAGAUCAUGUGGACUUCGCAUGGUUGGACAAUGAAAAAUAAGAAGUGCCUUUGCACUUAUACUACUUAUGUAGAUAAAACACCAAAAAAAGUCCUUUACUUAUAAUGGUUUAAGAGAACAACUUCUUCUGGACCAAAAUCAACUCAGGAUAUGAUGAGGAAGCCGAAAUUUUCUUAACAUACACAACCAGAUAUCACCAUGCCCACAAAAACAAGACAUAUUCUGAUACUCAAGGUUACUAGAAACUCCUACAAAAUGAAUGCAGCAGAUAAAGAUGGAAACAAGUAAAGAUUGCCUUGAAUAUAGGUCCACAAUGGGCAUGGAUAAAGAAUACAAGGAAGAUGGUGAAUUUAUGGUGCAAAUUGGGAAAAACUCAACAUUUGUCGAAACUUGAUUGAAUCAAGGAUUCCAUUUUAAUCCUCAACUUUUAUUAGGUUACAAGUAUAGUACCUAAUGAACUUUGCUAUCAAUAUGUAGCUUAGAAGCAGUAAUUUAUUAUCGCAAAACUUCAUUUUACUGGUGGUCAGAGAAACUCAUAGUCCGUAUUUAACAUGAUGUUACCAAAACAUAGGUUACCAUGAGAGGUCCUCACAAUCUUUCUCAUUUUAACCAAUUUCUCUGAUCAUUACUAGACACCCCUUUAAGAGAGUUGCUAGUAAAUAUUUCUUGAGAAGAAACUAACUAAUAUAACCGUAACCAAAAAGGGUUGAAUUGUUCCACAAAUACAUACUGUUUCAACACCACUUGGUAGCAUUAUGGUCAAAAUGCUAGUUUUAGCCAGCACACAAUUGGAAUACCAGGCAUCCAUCCUUACAGGAACACAAAUCCUGAACUUUUUGAUAGAGUUGGACUCAAACACCACACCAAGAAAACAGGAAGACAAUAUUAACAAAUAGAGAAUAUCAUUAAAGCUACCACAAACUGCCACAACCAAUCAAAAACAGACUAAAGCUUCUAAGGUGAACUCUUGCAAUGUCUGAUCUCUAUUUCUACUUAAUACAACUUCACUAGGUUGGCUUUUCAUCUGUUAAACUUGAGGUGAUCAGGGAAGGAAUUAACUUGAUGCAAAAGGGGGGCUCAACAAAGGAUUUGAUAAAGGACUGAAAGUAGUGAAAUAGCAUUUGAUUGUCAGUUAAGAUAAGCUUCAAGGAAUCUCAAUAGUAAAGUCAAUAUACAAGAAAUAGUUCUGUUCCAUACUGCUCGAUAAGAACACUUAAUAAGCAUUUCUUUGGACAGAAACUAGUCAAAACUAGAGUUUAAGAUUUCAAUGCCUAAUCCAUAAACAAUCCCACUUGAUAAGCUCCCACUAAUCUUCCUGCAUUUCUUUUCCUCCCCUCCUCAAACCACCCUUUAUUAUUAGAAUCCAGGUCUCUUUUCUGGGAUAGAACUUUUUGCUCUCAUGUACCUACUGUAUGAGCAUGUCUGUAACCAAUUGUCUAAUAUCAGCUGGACUUGCAGAGUUUUAUUCUACUUUAUAUUUCUAAAGGAGACAAAAUAGGGGUUACGGAAAUUGAGUGGUCAUCUCCAGAGUCAAUGCCAAAUCAGAACAUCAAUUAGCUGUUGCAAAUGAAAGAAGCUCUAAUGAUGCAGCACCAAAGAAGAGACAGUGGACAAGAUGGAUUUUAGAAUUUUUAGCUGUACAAACGAUUAAGAAACAAUAUUAAAGGACAGGACAAAGGCAAGAAUCUUAGAGGAGAAAAGCAGAAACUACAGGAUUUCUGACUUUCUCCAAUGAGACACAGCAUAAGAUAACAGUCUCAAUUCCAUCCAACCUUAACAUGAAACUACUAUAUGUCAUUUAUAUCAAAAACAGGAGUUCUUUAGGUCUAAGUGAACUUCAUAGCAGAGUAUACUCCAGGAAACUAAAAAAAAGGUCAAAAACCCUACAUCUAAAACUCACCAUGGGUCCAGAUGACUUAAUUCACUUAAUUUGCCAUUAUGCAAGCAUCUGUAACCCAUUUUAGCAAUCUAAAAAGUGAUUAAUAUAGCCUUCAAUGGAUGAGUACUUACACACCACAAUUUCUUAUACUAGUUUCAAUUAAAUGUCGAUUUGAUGGCAAAAUUAGCUAGAACAUCCACAUACAAUGACAGGGAACUUGCAUUUUAUGUCAGUAAGCUAAUCAACAAUUUCCAAAAUAAUAGGAAAUGUACAGAGGUUAGUAAGCGCAUGAGGAAAAUUAACAAUCCAAAGGAAAAUUAAAAAAUAAAUAAAGGUGACGACCGAAUGGUAAUACUUUGUCCUCUUUAGGAUAUGGCCACCAAGGAUCGAGUCCCAGGGUUAACGUAUUCAAGAGGAAUGGGCCUCUCCUCUCGGGCCACAGGGAAUUAGUCGGGCCAAAGGCCUUGAUACCCUGUGUCCAAAAAAAAAAAAAAAAAAACAGAAUGGUAAUACUUUGUCAAAAUGAAAUGAAAUUCAUGUCUAACUUUCUCCAAGUAGAAUUACUAAAGGUACUACAGAAGCGACAGAAAGAAUCACUAAAGCCACAACUACAAGAUUGCAAAAUUAAACGGCAAAGAAAAAAAUGACACAAGUCCACAGAGAAAAAAGCAACAAACGCAGCUUCAGUUAAAACAUUUAAAUGAAUGUAGGAUUCAGAAAGCUUUGUGUUUGCGCUCACAGAUGAUAGGAAAGACCAACUUAAUGCUAGUGUAAAUUCAAGCAACUUAAACCAUGAUCUAUAUGUUCCCUCCUGAAAAUUUAAACAUUGCAAUACAUAAUCCUGUUGUAUUGAUUUUAUUUAUUGAACUAGAAAAGAAAAGAAAUUAAAUAACAAAUUUUUGAAUGGAAAUCAUGAAAGCAAUAUAUUUUCGAGGUUAUGUUAGAACAUUUUUAUGCAAUGUUUAACAAUAAGUCUAAAUUUUGGGAGUUUAAUCAACAUUAUCACAGUGUGAGAAAGUCUAUGACUGAAUUCC